This 105983-nucleotide long non-coding RNA is filed under the name Triticum aestivum (bread wheat). Its description in RNAcentral is "long non-coding RNA (TAES_LNC022029)". Lineage: Eukaryota; Viridiplantae; Streptophyta; Magnoliopsida; Poales; Poaceae. The record is from RNAcentral.
GCGAAAUAAAGAACGCCCGUUUGCUACCCGGCUUGUAGCAGGAAAAAGGAGUAGAAUUGAACUUGUCGAUACACACGUAAUCAUGUGAGCUGCCUAGCGUCUGGAGUCUCUGCUGACUUUCUUGUAAAUUUAAUUUUGGCUGAAUUGGAUUCUUAGGCAUUGGCAUCUUGGUGAGUUGAAGUUGCAGUUUCCGACGAGUAACAUUGGUUAGUGAACUCUUGUGUGGAUGUGUGGGUGAAGCUUUGAGCUAAGCAAGUCCUUGAUGUACCGACUAUCAAGUCCUCAAUGUACCGACUACCAAGUCAUACUGUAAUCAGUUUUCAGAUAUGAAUGAAAAAUUGUUGGGCUGAAUUUGAGCAGAGCAUUUGAGUAACGCUGUAUUUUUUUUAUGUUUCUAUGCGUCUUGAAACACUCCGCUGCUCUUGUCAGAAAAGUAUGUACACGAGGUACGAUCCGAUGGAUUCACCUAUGAUUUCACAAUCCUUUGUUGAGUUGUGAAGCGCAUGGACAUGUUUGGGGGAGUUUGUGGUUAUAGAUACAGCAAUCUGAUUGUCAAGAAUGUGAAAAAGGUUGCAGCUGUUUGGCAAAUAGGUUGGGUUUUUCUCAGAUCAUGUUAGCUUUUCACUUGGGUGUCAAGAAUGUGAAAAAGGUUUCAGUGCAACAGCAGUCUUACGUUCUCUGGCUCCUUCAGAAAUUUUCCUGUUCAUUUGAAUAUUACAAAUUCCACCGUCCAUCCUAACAUCUUCACCAAGCAACCAAAUAUUGGGCUUGUACCAUUGGGCAUUGCUUGGAAUCACUCGAUCUAAUUUGUUACUUUUAAUCCCCCGCAAAAUUUUUUUUUGUUACUUUUAAAGGAGCGACAACAUGCUCAGAAGAAACUGAUGAUAUUUAAAACUUUGCUAUCACCUAUCAGGUGAUUCAUAUUCUGGACCCUGAAUAUGCAGUGCUUGCAUUUGCAGUGCAUGAAAACUGAAUUUUAGGCAUAUUAAGACAAUAAUAACUUUGUUGGAACUUUUGCAUGCUCAAAUGCCAAAUCAUUCUAGAAGACAUAAUAUCUUUUUUAAUUAUAUUUUCUUUUCCUGCUGCAUUUUUUCCAUUGUGUGUUCAGUGACGAAAAAAUGCCUUUUUCUGCAGUUCUGCUGCAUUUUUCUGAUGAGUGUUGAAUGAUGAAACAAUUUCCAAGAUCUUACUGAACUUCUUUACGUAUACAAACAUAUUUUGAACUUAUUUACAUAUACAAACAUAUUCUGAACUUAUUUACGUCUACAUUUUCCAAGAUCUUUCUGAACUUCUUUCUGGACCAUUCUGAACUCUGAGGUCAGUUGUUUUUCUUUUGUUGUUCCUUCCUAACCUCAUCGAACUAGCUAAGUUGCUUGAUUAGACUGAUGAAUAAUGAACAUACAAAAUCAAUCAACCAUUCUGAGUUGGAACAUGCCAACAACCAUGUCCAUUCAAUGAACACAAAAAGAUGAAUAAAAUCACUUUCGCCCAGAAAGAUUUUGAGUGAAAGCACAUGGAGCUGGACAGCUGGAUGUAACAUCCCAGUUUUUAUUAAAUUUGGAUGUUAAAUAGAAUCAUCAAUGCAUAUCAUAUUUUAUUGCAUUUUGGAAUUUUUCUGAAAUAUUUAAAUAAUUCCUUCCUAACCUCAUCGAACUAGCUAAGUUGCUUGAUUAGACUGAUGAAUAAUGAACAUACAAAAUCAAUCAACCAUUCUGAGUUGGAACAUGCCAACAACCAUGUCCAUUCAAUGAACACAAAAAGAUGAAUAAAAUCACUUUCUCCCAGAAAGAUUUUGAGUGAAAGCACAUGGAGCUGGACAGCUGGAUGUAACAUCCCAGUUUUUAUUAAAUUUGGAUGCUAAAUAGAAUCAUCAAUGCAUAUCAUAUUUUAUUGCAUUUUGGAAUUUUUCUGAAAUAUUUAAAUAAUUUUUCCAAUCGUGAAAAAAUUAAAAGAGAGGGGAUGAGAUGACUUCCUCAAUUAUAAAAGAGUUGGGAAAUUUAUUAGAAUAUUAUUUGGAGUUUGGAGUUUAUUUGGUAUUUAUUUUAUUUGCCAAAAGUGCACUAAUUGCAUUAGGAAAUUAUUUUAGAAAAAAUUGUGCUUAGAUUAAUGUUCACUAUGCUCUAUUUAUUCUAUAAUGAUUUUAAAAUUAUUGUGGUAUUUUUAUAAAUUAGUUCGGUGUUGUUUUGGACCUCAAAAUGUUUUUUGUAAAGGAAAAAAAACAAAACACACGCACGCUAGCAGGCCCAAGCACCGCGCCAGCCGACCGGCCCGCUCGGCCGAAAGCGGCCCAAGGCCAGCCCCGUGUCUGACUGGCCUUCGAGCCGGCCGCCCGCUCUCACUUCUCGCUCCCUCACCCGCCGAAACUGGGCCCCGCCCAUCGCCUCCAACCUCCCGCUCGCCCCACUUAGAUGAGCACCGCACCGCGCCCGCUCACAACCACCAUCGCGCUCUACCCCCGGGAUGAGGCUUAUCCUGCUGCUCCUCGAGCCCCUAGUCGUGCCUAUAAAUGCCCCGCGACCCCCACUUCUCAUCUCGCCUUCCCGCAUCGUCCCACGCCGCUCCUACCCUGCGCCGUCGCCACUUGGAUCUCGCCGGCCGAGCCGACCUCGCCGGAGCUUUCCGACGCCCAUAAGCGACCUCGGCCCCGUUUUCUUCGUCAAACGAAUUCCCGGCUCUUUGCGCAUCUUUUUGACACGUUUUGGUCGCCUAGGUCUCGCCGAAGCCGCCGCCCCGACGACCCCGCGCCGUCGCUGGAGCACUAGGCCGCUGCCUUCGCCUCACCUGUCCUGGCCACCUCGAGGACCCCACCACCAUCGUCAUGACUGAGGGAGUCCUGGAUUAGGGGGUCCUCGGACAGCCAGACUAUGUACUUGUGCCGGACUGUUGGACUAUGAAGAUACAAGAUUGAAGACUUCGUCCCGUGUCCGAGUGGGACUCUCCUUUGCGUGGAGGGCAAGUUUGGCAAUUCGGAUAUGUAGAUUUCCUUCUUUGUAACCGACUUUGUGUAACCCUAGCCCCCUCCGGUGUCUAUAUAAACCGGAGGGUUUAGACCAUAGGACGAGAACAAUCAUAAUCAUAGGCUAACUUCUAGGGUUUAGCCUCUACUAUCUCGUGGUAGAUCAACUCUUGUAAUACUCAUAUCAUCAAGAUCAAUCAAGCAAGAAGUAGGGUAUUACCUCCAUAGAGAGGGCCCGAACCUGGGUAAACAUUGUGUCCCCCGCCUCCUGUUACCAUUAGCCUUAGACGCACAGUUCGGGACCCCCUACCCGAGAUCCGUCGGUUUUGACACCGACAUUAGUGCUUUCAUUGAGAGUUCCACUGUGCCGUCACAAUAAGGCUUGAUGGAUCCUUCAAUCAUCCACAAUGAUGCGAUCCAGGGUGAGGUUUUCCUCCCCGGACAGAUCUUCAUAUUCAGCGGCUUCGCACUGCAGGCCAACUCGCUUGGUCAUCUGGAGCAGAUCGAUAGCUACGCCCCUGGCUAUCAGGUCAGGUUUGCAAGCCUGAAUUACACUGCCGACGUCCGCAGAGACUUGAUCUUCGAUGGAUUCGAGCCCAUGACAGGUGUGUCGUACAGUCACGUUGAGCAUGACUUAGAUCUGCCAUCGGACGGCGUUCAAGAGAACGCACCUGCAGCUGCCCUGGCCUUAGAUCCGGAGCAGAUCAUGCCAUCCGAGGACGGGUGGAUAGACCCCGCCACGGAGGCCGCACACUCAUCGGCGAUAGAGCCGAACACAGACUUCGCCUCUAAUGAGGUCUGUGUCAUCGGACCCUCGGACUCGUCUCCGCCCAUAGGCUCCAAACCGCGCACAUCCGUGCCUAUCGAACCUGAUUGGGCACCGAUCAUGGAGUUUACCUCCACGGAUAUCUUUCAGCACUCGCCCUUGGGCGACGUGCUAAAUUCAUUGAAAUCACUCUCCCUGUCACGAGACUCCUAGCCGAACUUGAGAGGGAAGCAGACGACGAAGAAAUUCAUUUCCCACCCACCACCCACUUAAUAGCCACUGUCGAUGACUUAACUGACAUGCUUGAUUUCGACUCCGAAGACAUCGACGGUAUGGACGACUAUGCCGGAGAAGAACAGGAACCACCGCCCACAGGGCGCCGGACAGCCACCUCAUUAUGUGAUAUAUAUAUGGUGGACACACCCAAAGAAAGCAAUGGCGAUGAGACAACGUAGGAUAACCCCCCUGAGAAGCAAUCCAAGCGCCGGCGUCAGCGGCGCCGCUCUAAGCCCCGCCAUAGCAAAAAUAGCGAUACCGGCACAAGAGACAAUAGCACUCCAGAAAACAAUCCCGCCCAGCCAAGCUUCGAGCAAGCCGGACGGGAGGAUGGGCAAGCUAGCCCUGAUGAAUAGGCAAUGGAUGGAGACUCGGAGGACGAAAAUUACAUGCCCCUCUCUGAAGACGAGGAGAGCCUCGGCGAUGAAGAAUUUAUCGUGCCUAAGGAUCCCGCUGAGCAGGAGCGCUUCAAGCGCCGGCUUAUAGCCACUGCAAAAAGCCUGAAGAAAAAGCAGCAGCGGCCUCAGGCUGAUCAAGAUCUGCUAACUGAUAGAUGGACUGAGGUCUUGGAAGCCGAGGAAUACGGACUCGAGCGCCCAAGCAAAAGUUACCCAAAGCGCGGGUUGUUACCUCAAUUCGAGGAGGAGGCACUAGAGCCUACACUACCAGCGCAUGAUGCGGCUGACCGGCCACCUCGUGGCCGAGACAAGGCGGCGUAUCAGCCCGAACACCAGCCCGCACCCCGUUGCAAACCAAACAAAAACACGAAGGCCCGGGGCUACACGCAUGAACUGCAAGAGGAAUUGGAAAACAAAGCAGGACGGUCAAGAUCGAUCUAUGGAUCACGGGGGCGCGCCCCAAUGCGUGACGAUGACCGCCACGCCGGAUAUACUAAAUGCAAAUCUGGCCGGGCCGAAUACAACAGACCAGACUCAUUUGAAUUGCGUCGUGAUGUAGCCCGGCAUAGAGGUGCCACACACCCCCUAUGAUUCACUAACGAAGUAAUGGAGCAUGAAUUCCCAGAAGGGUUUAAGCCCGUGAAUAUCGAGCCCUACGAUGGGACUACGGACCCCGCGGUAUGGAUAGAAGAUUUCCUUCUCCACAUUCACAUGGCCCGCGGGGAUGAUCUACACGCCAUCAAGUACCUCCCACUAAAACUCAAGGGACCGUCUCGGCAUUGGCUGAAUAGUUUGCCGGCAAACUCCAUUGGAAGUUGGGAGAACCUGGAAGACGCAUUCCUGGAUAACUUCCAGGGCACUUAUAUGCGACCACCGGAUGCUGAUGAUUUAAGUCACAUAACCCAACAGCCCGGAGAGUCAGCCACGAAAUUCUGGACUCGGUUCCUAACUAAAAAGAACCAAAUUAUCGACUGCCUGGAUGCUGAAGUCCUAGCGGCCUUUAAGCAUAACAUCCAUGAAGAGUGGCUUGCCCGACACCUCGGCCAAGAGAAGCCGAAGUCCAUGACAGCCCUCACGACACUCAUGACCCGCUUUUGUGCGGGCGAGGAUAGCUGGCUGGCUCGUAGCAACAGCACAUCAAGAAAUCCUGGCAUCUUAGAUGCCAGAGAUAGCAACGGCAAGCCCCGACGCAACAGACACAAGCGUCGCAAUAAUGGCGAUAACACCAAAGACACGGCCGUUAAUGCCGGAUCCAGUGGCUCUAAGUCCGGUCAGCGGAAAAAGCCAUUCAAAAGAAACAAUCCGGGCCCAUCCAGUCUGGACCACAUACUCGAUCGUUCAUGUCAAAUUCACGGCACCCCCGAUAAACCAUCCAACCACACCAACAUAGGUUGGGUGUUUAAACAGGCCGGCAAGUUGAAUGCCGAAAACAAGGAAAAGGGGCCGCAUAGUGAUGACGACGAGGAGCCCCGGCUGCCGAAGACAGGAGGACAGAAGNNNNNNNNNNNNNNNNNNNNNNNNNNNNNNNNNNNNNNNNNNNNNNNNNNNNNNNNNNNNNNNNNNNNNNNNNNNNNNNNNNNNNNNNNNNNNNNNNNNNNNNNNNNNNNNNNNNNNNNNNNNNNNNNNNNNNNNNNNNNNNNNNNNNNNNNNNNNNNNNNNNNNNNNNNNNNNNNNNNNNNNNNNNNNNNNNNNNNNNNNNNNNNNNNNNNNNNNNNNNNNNNNNNNNNNNNNNNNNNNNNNNNNNNNNNNNNNNNNNNNNNNNNNNNNNNNNNNNNNNNNNNNNNNNNNNNNNNNNNNNNNNNNNNNNNNNNNNNNNNCGGUAAAUAUGAUAUACGCAACCCAUAUUCCCAAGCGGGAAUGGAAGCGUGCACUAAGGGACGUCUAUGCGAUGGAGCCAGUCGCCCCAAAGUUCAACCCAUGGUCUUCUUGUCCGAUCACCUUCGAUCGCAGGAACCAUCCGACCAGUAUCCGUCAUGGUGGUUCAGCCGCGCUGGUCCUCAACCCCAUCAUUGACGGAUUCCACCUCACACGAGUCCUUAUGGACGGUGGUAGCAGCCUGAACCUGCUCUAUCAGGAUAGAGUGCGCAAAAUGGGCAUCGAUCCCUCAAGGAUCAAACCCACCAAAACCACCUUUAAAGGUCUCAUACCAAGUGUAGAGGCCUGUUGCACGGGCUCAAUCAUACUGGAAGUAGUCUUCGGAUCUCUGGACAACUUCCGAAGCAAGGAGCUAAUCUUCGAUAUCAUCCCCUUCUGCAGUGGCUAUCACACACUGCUCGGACGAACCGCAUUUGCCAGAUUCAAUGCAGUACCGCAUUAUGCAUACCUCAAGCUCAAGAUGUCAGGACCUCGCGGGGUUAUAACAGUCAAUGGAAACACAGAGCGCUCCCUCCGCACGGAGGAGCACACUGCAGCCCUCGCAGCAGAGGUAUAGAGCAGCCUUCUUAGGCAGACCUCCAAUUCGUUAAUAAAACCCCGGACACCGCCAAGCGAGUCCGAAGUACUCUGCAAUAGGAUCGUCCGGCACAUCCAGAGCUCGCGUAGCAAUUCGGCCUCCGCCCUAUUCCCAGUCAAGCGGUGAAAUUUGUGCCGUGCGUACAUAAUUACGCACUUAAAAUACCAUGGGCAUAGACGGAGGCACAACUAGAAUGCGGUCCAUAAUGCGGCUCAGCCGCCCCAGGAUCCGUAUACCUUCACCCCUUUCCUUUCUUUCAGGUCUCUAUUUUCUGGAGGCUCUUCCGAUAGCCUGAUUAUCGGACCCAUCACGGGACGGAAACACCAAGGAGGCAAGGAGCUUUGACGUACAAGGGAAUCCCCAUGUGGUCUCUGAUAAUGAUUGAUAUACAUGUUUUACAUACCCACACGUAGCUCGCUCUUGGUUAGGACAUGUUAAAUAGUCCUAUUUUGCUUAUCGCACUACUUGUAUACAUACGCUUUGACGUAUUAUUCAAAUAAUAAUGGAAAAUAAUGUACAACUUCAGCUUAUUAUUACAUUUCUUUAUCUUUUUCCUUGACUGUUUAUUUAUUACAAAUUGCACCCGUACAUUUUGGUACGUUCAGCUCGCCAGAGGCUUUAGUGUACCCCAUAACACGGCAAGAAAAGUCCGAACACUUUCGACAGUGUGGCACCCCGAACUUAUAGCAUCAUAUGCAUCAGCUCCAAAUCAUGUCUUGGGUCAAUAGUUGGGAUUGCCCGGCUCCCAUGUUUUGCUGCCUUACGUUCCGCUAUAUCGGCUAAGGUGGCACAGGGAGAACUACUGCGAUUGUGUCCCGGUUCUUUCGGAUGAGCACCUCAGUAGAGAAAGCCGAAAACUGACUAUCAUGAUGUGGCGAGAGCUGGUCACUGUUCGAGAGGUCUCAAAUCCUUAAAGAAUUUUCCGCUUUGGGUGAGGAAUCGGCCUUUGUCCGAUUUAGGCGUGUAUAGUGCCCCAAGUUCGGCCUUCCGAAUACCAGGGGCUACGCCAAAAUUUAAAAUUAUAGAACUUCUAUGGCUAAGUGAGAGUGAUAAAGUCGUAUAGUCCAAUUGCCUUGUUCGUUGCGCUAAACACCUCCUUAAAGGACCAAAUUUUUUGAUAAAGAGUGUUUAGAUUUAUCCCGAACACCCCGGUACUAGUUACAUUGGGGCAGAAGCCGACGACUGGCCAACUCUCAGAUUUUAUAAACGGCCGCACAGAAGGUAAAAAAUUUAAAUCAGCAAGCGUUAUAUUGCACACAAAAAACUUGUUUCAUAUUACAGGAUAAAAUGAGUAUAUUCACUCAAAGAUUACAUCCUUCGCACAUUGCUCCGCCACAAGGCGGGAGCCCUUUAGGGCACUAUCAUAAUACUUUUUGGGGUGGCGAUGCUCCUUGCCCUUCGGAGGCCCUUCGGUCAUCAGCUUCUUGGCACCCAUCUUCACCCAGUGCACUUUUGCACGGGCGAAGGCCAUUCACACAUCUUCAAUGCAAACUGACCGCUUUAUAACUUCAAGCCACGGGCAGGCACUCACAAGCCGCUUUACUAGGCCAAAGUAGCUGCUGGGCAGAGGCUUGGCAGGCCACAGCAGGACUAUGAGGUCCUUCAUGGCCAAUUCGGCCGCCUUGUGCAGUUCGACCAGUUGCUUCAGCUGGUCGCUCAAGGGCAUCGGAUGUUCGGUCCCAAUAUACUGAGACCAGAACAACUUCUCCGUUGAGCUCCCUUCUUCAGCUCGGUAGAACUCUGCGGCAUCAGAUAUGCUGCAUGGCAGAUCUGCGAAUGCUCCUGGAGAGCUCCAAAUUCGGGUAAGUAAAAGGAAAGUCUCCUUCACAUGCUUGCUUUGCAUAAUGAAUGCCUUACCCGCCGCAAUCUUCUUGGCCGCCUGAAUCUCCUGGAGGGCCUUUUGCGCUUCAGCUCUGGCAUCUCGUACGCUCUAGAGGGCCUUCGCAAGCUCGGACUCUUGCAUCUUAGAGUCACGCUCCAAGGACUCGUAUUUUUGGACGAAAUCCUGGAGCUCUUGCUGUACCUCGUUGACUCGGGCCUCUUGCUUCUCGCGCUCGGCGCACUCCUUGGCCGCUUUGUCUUCGGCCUCGGUCAGCGCCGUCUUAAGGGCCGCCACUUCGGUCGUGGCCCCUAGUAAAGUUCAUGACGCUUUCAUCAGCAGAAACCAUUUUUUCCUUUCUAAAUAUACAGACGGGGUAUUGUGUACCUUCGUUUUCCUCGAGCUUCCUCUUCACAAGGUCGAGCUCUCCCUCGGUCCGCUCCAGGUCCCGCUUCAGUCCGGAGACCUCCGCAGUACGAGCGGCAGCGGCCAGCAGUGACGCCUGCUUAUUCACAUAGACAUCUUUUGUUAGACUCCUGCGGCUGUUAUUUGAUCCUCUGUUCGGCCUUUCUUUCCGAACACCAAACAGAGCAUCAGGGGCUACCGUCUAUUCUGUGAUAUUUUCUUACAAUUUUGUUACUUACCUCAAAGCCUGUUAGGAGGCUGGCGCAGGCUUUGGUCAAUCCGCUUUUGGCGGACCGGACCUUCUCAAUCACCGCACUCAUAAGAGUACGGUAUUCUUCAUCAAUGGAAGUGUCGCGAAGCGCUUCCAGCAAGUUGUUCGAUGCCUCUGGAUGGACAGAGGUCAUCGGUACAGGAGGCUCGCCCCUCUUAGAGAGAGGCUGCCUCCCUGAAUUCGGAACCGCUUGGGUUUCCGGAGUCAUAUUCGGCUGAGGGCUAAACUCGCUGCGGCCCCCUUUUUUGGAGUCCAUGGGGGUUCCCCCCCCAUGUGCCCGGCGAUUAGGAUUUCGCCUGGGGGCGUUUCCAGAACUGUCUUCCCCUGGUCCGGUAUCCUCUGAGACAACACCUCGGUGUCAUCCGCGGGCCUAGGGGAGGAGGCUGUCGGGAGUGAAUCGCUGUUCAUCGCUGACGGGCCCAGGGAUCCCUCCGAAGAGGAUACCCCAAUGAGGGAUUUGGCUGGACUGCAUAUGCAUGUUCGGCAUGAUAAGAAGCAAUACUGGAAGCAUUAUAGUGUCUGGAUACUUACGACUUACCUAGGGGCUUGUCCCUGGGCAACCACUCCUCGCCGCUGUAGGUGGUCGUGGUGAAGUGGUCUGGAAGGAAGGUCUUUCCCUUCUUGGACACCUCGGCCUCCCCCUGCAGGGUGGCCUUUCUCUUCUCCCCCUCCCCAGUUGGGGGGAGGGACUUCCUCUUCCUCCUCCUCGUCUUCAUUGGAGGAGUGCGCCUCGGUGUCUUCGGACGUCAUGUCCGAUACAACCUUGCGCCGGAGACCUUUCCUGGUCCCCACGACCUUCUUCUUGGCCUUCUUCUCUGGCACCUCAUAGGGCGCCGGAAACAACAUUUUCAUUGGAAGAGAUGAUGCUGGAUCUUCAGGUAGCGGAGCCGGACAGUCGGUCCGGUCCGCUAUCGCUACCCAGUCCUAUUGAAUCAGCAUGGAGGCUUAGAUUCCUCCCGCGAAUGUGCUGGUAAAAGGCACAUCUUGCAAAAUGUAAAAACUCACCGGAUGCGCUUGGCGUUUCACGCUGAGUCCGCGAUCUUCGGUUAGGGGUGGGGCGACCUCGUUGGCCUUGAAGAGCACCUUCCAGGCGUCUUUGUGCGUCGUGCCGAAGAGCUCUUGCAGCAUCUGGUGUUCGGUCGGGUCGAACUCCCGCAGAUUGUAAGCCCGUCUCUGACACGGGAGGAUCCGGUGGAUGAGCAUGACCUGGACCAUGUUGACAAGCUUGAUUUUCUUGCCUAUCAUAUUUUGGUCGCAGGUCUGAAGUCCGGUCAGCUCCACCGAUGAGCCCCAGGCUAAGCCCUUCUCUUUCUAGGAGGUGAGCCGCAUGGGGACGCCAGAUCGAAAUUCGGGGGUCGCUGCCCAGUUGGUGUCGUGCGGCUCGGUGAUGUAGAACCACCCCGAUUGCCACCCCUUCACAGUCUCCACGAAGGAGCCUUCAGUCCAGGUGACAUUGGGCAUCUUGCCCACCAUGGCGCCUCCGCACUCCGCUUGCUGGUCAACCACCACCUUUGGCUUCACGUUGAAGGUCUUCAGCCAUAGGCCGAAGUGGGGCAUAAUGCAGAGGAAGGCCUCGCACACGACGAUAAACGCCGAGAUGUUGAGGAUGAAAUUGGGGGCUAGAUCAUGGAAGUCCAGCCCGUAGUAGAACAUGAGCCCGUGGACGAAUGGGUGGAAAGGGAAUCCCAGUCCGCGGACGAAAUGAGAGAGGAACACUACCCUCUCCUGGGGUUUUGGGGUGGGGAUGAUCUGCCCUUCAGCCGGAAGCCGGUGCGCGAUGUUUGUGGACAGGUAUCCGGCCUCCCGAAGCUUUGUAAUGUCCUCCUCCAUGACGGAGGAGGCCAUCCACUUGCCUCCCGCUCUGGACAUGCUUGGAAUGACUUUGCGGAGAAGGUGAAAGCUUGGGCGCUAGAGCUCGAGCAAGAAUGGAUGAGCAGAGGAAGAACAGGGCGUGGGUGAAAAAGGGGAAUCCUUAUCUCUUUAUAAAGGCGGUAGAAACUGUGCGCUUCCCCACUUGCCCCGUAAACUCGCUUAUUCCCCAAGCGCCGCAUUGAUAGCGCGGUUGGGUUACCCACACCCGUAUUGAUGAGAAUCCCGUGAUAAGGGGACACAAUCUCUGCUUCGAUAAGAUGUGCCAAUAAAACUGCCUCGCAAUAUGUGCAGUAGCAGGCUGGGAAAAACGGUUCGAAUACUGACCGGGCCGGGGUGUGAUGUCACGCUAUGAAAAAGUUGUCAGUAGGUUAGAUUUGUGGGAUAUUGUGCUCUCUACGAUUAUGUGUGAAAUUUGUUUUGCAGAGCCGGACACGAUUCAUGUGUUCAAAAACCUACCUUGGAGUAUUCGGAGAAGGAACCCGCCUUGCAAUGCUGAAGACAAUCUGCACGCGGAACUCAUCAUCAUUGAAGCCUGGUUCAGGGGCUACUGAGAGAGUCCUGGAUUAGGGGGUCCUCAGAUAGCCGGACUAUGUACUUGUGCCAUACUGUUGGACUAUGAAGAUACAAGAUUGAAGACUUCGUCCCGUGUCCGAGUGGGACUCUCCUUUGCGUGGAGGGCAAGCUUGGCAAUUCGGAUAUGUAGAUUUCCUUCUCUGUAACCGACUCUGUGUAACCCUAGCCCCCUCAGGUGUCUAUAUAAACCGGAGGGUUUAGUCCGUAGGACGAGAACAAUCAUAAUCAUAGGCUAACUUCUAGGGUUUAGCCUCUACUAUCUCGUGGUAGAUCAACUCUUGUAACACUCAUAUCAUCAAGAUCAAUCAAGCAGGAAGUAGGGUAUUACCUCCAUAGAGAGGGCCCGAACCUGGGUAAACAUUGUGUCCCCCGCCUCCUGUACCAUUAGCCUUAGACGCACAGUUUGGGACCCCCUACCCGAGAUCUGCCGGUUUUGACACGGGCAAUGACCGCUUCGACACACCGGACCCUGCCGCCUCCUUCCCCGUCGCUAGAACCUGCCGGAGCGGCCGCCCCGCCGAUGCCGAGCCUACCCGACGCCGAUGUCGUCACUACUGUGAGCCACCGCCCCUUCUCCCGUACGUUUAGUUUAUUUUUUCGAACCGUUCGGUUUUAGUUAAACCAAUCUUCAGUUUACUUUCUAUUUAGCCACCGCCGCUGUUUUUCUUAGUUGCCAGUCGUCUGCUGUUUAAACACCGCAGCAAACGGGUAUGCAUCAGUAGGAAUCUCCCACAUGGCCAAGGGCCUGUUUGUAGUUAUAUUUUCUUUUUUGUUUCACUGUUUAGUCCCUAAAUUUAGCAAAUUAGUCCCUAAAUUUUCAAUUAGCCAUAACUUUUAAACCGUAGAUCCAAAUUUGAUGAAACCAGCGUGUCCUGGUUUUGUCACGGCAGAUGCUCUAGUGAAAGGACUUAGGUGUGGAUCCAUUGCAACUACGUUUGCUUGAAGGGGUUGAACAGUACAAAGGACACAACUAGAGUUGUAUUGCUUGAGCUUGAAGGGGUUGAAUGGGACAAUCACAACUAGAGUUAUAUCCCCAACAUUAGGCCCCAGGUUGAUUUGAACUUGUUCAUAUCAAUCUUCAUUGUUAAACUUAGCAGAAUGUAUUAGUGCCGAAUCUUCAUCAGACCGCUGUAACUCGCCAUGACGUCACAUAAGCAGACCCAUUGUAACCCGCCAUGACCUCAUGCACAUUAAUUCCACACAAGACCCAGGAUAUCUCAACGGAUCUUUAUCUUAAUGGGCUUCCCAAGAAUCGAGGCAUUCACAUUGUUAACAUCACCAUUUUGCCUGCUCGAUUUCCGCGCAUGCCAUCUUAUCACCUCCUUAUAAAUAGGGACAGGGGGCCCUCUUUUCACUUUUUACCCCUACCUCUGCCUCUUCUUCUUCCUCCUCAUGACACCACUACGACCCGAGCUCCGCCGCCACCGUCCUCCUUCAGCGACGUCAACACCAGCCGCUCCAUCAACCUGAAUGAACCCGAGAAACGCGGUGUACUCCCGCUCCCCAUCUCCAUCAUCAGGUACCACUUCCUAGUCUUUUAGAUCUGCAUUGGUUACCAACCUUUCGCGAUUUCGUCGGUGUUCAUCCCUGUCGUCCGUAGUUCAUCCAUCACGCCAGCUAGUCGAACUUAGAUGUAAUGCCAAAAUCAUGUUUUAAUCCAUUUGAUGCCUGCUUGUCAACUACAGACCCAUUACUUUCUGUUGAGAUUCACCCCCAACAUAGCAGUUCAUCCUCUGCAUAUUAGGUUUAACAAUUUCCACCUGUUUUUCGAACGGUCGUAGAUCCGAAAUUAUAGGCUGAAUCUGUGAAACUUGUUUGUGUAGCACUUAGUGAACUUUUAUUCAAUUCCCAGAUCUAUAACCAUCUACUUGACCAUUGUCGUAUAGGCGGCUCAAAUGACACUUUGUAAUCCACCAAAUACAAGCCGGCUUACUUUAUGAGUUGUUUAAACCGCCAGUACUUAUCCAAGGUUGACAUUAUCCAGCUAUUUUAUUGUCUUCUACCAUUAAGCAGCUUACCGAUCCUUGCGCAUAACCAAUUCAACAUAAUAAAAUUACUUUGUUCAGCCAUCAGGCGACUCAUCAUCACAAAUUUGACCCGUCAUGAUUUCCUUUCUAGGCUUUUACUUGAUGAAAAUGACUAAGACCGUCACCACCUGCGACUGGGUCGUUUCCACUGUCACAGAACGGUCUCUCCAAGAGUUUGUUGACAUGGGCGUCUUGUCGUCUAAGGAUGUCAUCCAUUGGAGGGUUCCUGGAGCUGAGGUCCCACCUCAACCAAAGUAAGGAGAAGUCAUAGUAUUCUCUGAUCACAUGCUCCGAGGUGUCUCACCGCCUGGCUCAAAAUUCUUCCGUGAUGUUCUGAAUUUCUAUCAGCUGCGCCCUCAAGACAUCGAACCCAAAUCAGUUUCCAAUAUCUGCAAUUCCCAAGUCUUUUGUGAAGUAUAUCUUCAAGAGGAGCCCAGCAUUGACGUCUUUAGAUAAUACUAUUAUCUGAACCGCCAAACAGAAAUGACAAAUGGACUCAGAAUUGAACUCGGCGGAAUCUCUAUCCAGAGAAGAAGAGACAAUGUCUUUCCUGCAGCCUCUCUUCCCAGUCAUCCUAAAGAUUGGAAUCGGACUUGGUUUUAUUGCCAAGAUACCUCUCUGGCAGGUGAGAACCCUCUACCGGGUUUCCGUAUCCACCGGCUCAACCCAAGAGACCCACUUCUAGACUAGACCAACUCUGUUGAACGGGCCAAAUAUGGACCCAUUUUUGCCAAAAUAAGGGCCUUGGUGGCAAAUGCCUUAGCCGUCGCCCCAGCUUAAUGUGCACAUACACAGGCGAUGUCAAAGAUCCCCUACGGUUUAAUUCAACAUGCCCUGAAGAGAAGGAUAUUAAUGAAAUGACCGAGUCCUUGCUCGGAGAGACUUUAGAAAACUGCGGUAAAACAGGGCUGAGCCCAUUCUGUAUUCUUAACCCGGCUCUAGCUGUAAGUGCUUCAAAUCAUUUUUUACUUUACUUACUAUUCUUAUACAUUUUAUUCUCCUUAUCCUCACUUGCUUUAUCAUCUUGCUUUCUUCAGGUCGAUUCUCCUUUUUGGAACAAGAAGCUUCAAGAUAAACCGGCUAAAAAGGCUAGGGCAAAGACUAAGGCUCCGAAGAAACCCGCUGAUAACCCACAAGUGUAGGGGAUCGCAACAACUUUCGAGGGUAAAGUAUUCAACCCAAAUUUAUUGAUUCGACACAAGGGGAGCCAAAGAAUAUUCUUGAGUAUUAGCAGUUGAGUUGUCAAUUCAACCACACCUGGAUAACUUAGCAUCUGCAGCAAAGUAUUUAGUAGCAAAGUAGUAUGAUAAUAAAGGUAACGAUAGCAAAAGUAAUGUUUUUGGGUUUUGUAGUGAUUGUAACAAUAGCAACGGAAAAGUAAAUAAGCGAAGAACAAUAUGUGAAAAGCUCGUAGGCAAUGGAUCAAUGAUGGAUAAUUAUGUCGGAUGCGAUUCCUCAUGUACUCCCUCUGUAAACUAAUAUAAGAGCGUUUAGAAUACUAAAAUAGUGAUCUGAAUGCUUUUAUAUUAGUUUACGGAGGGAGUAAUAGCUAUAACAUAGGGUGACACAGAACUUACUCCUGUUCAUCAAUGUAAUGUAGGCAUGUAUACCGUAAAUAGUCAUACGUGCUUAUGGAAAAGAACUUGCAUGAAAUCUUUUGUCCUACCCUCCCGUGGCAGCGGGGUCCUAGCGGAAACUAAGGGAUAUUAAGGCCUCCUUUUAAUAGAGAACCGGAACAAAGCAUUAGCACAUAGUGAAUACAUGAACUCCUCAAACUAUGGUCAUCACCGAGAAGUAUCCCGAUUAUUGUCACUUUGGGGUUGUCGGAUCAUAACACAUAAUAGUGACUAUAGACUUGCAAGAUAGGAUCAAGAACACACAUAUAUUCAUUAAUACAUAAUAGGUUCAGAUCUCAAAUCAUGGCACUCGGGCCCUAGUGACAAGCAUUAAGCAUAGCAAAGUCAUGGCAACAUCAAUCUCAGAACAUAGUGGAUACUAGGGAUCAAACCCUAACAAAACUAGAUUACAUGGUAAAUCUCAUCCAACCCAUCACCGUCCAGCAAGCCUACGAUGGAAUUACUCACGCACGACGGUGAGCAUCAUGAAAUUGGUGAUGGAGGAUGGUUGAUGAUGAUGACGGCGAUGAAUCCCCCUCUCCGGAGCCCUGAAUGGACUCCAGAUCAGCCCUCCCGAGAGAGAUUAGGGCUUGGCGGCGGCUCCGUAUCGUAAAACGCGAUAAAACUUUCUCUCUGAUCUUUUUCUCCGCGAGACGGAAUAUAUGGAGUUGGAGUUGAGGUCGGCGGAGCCUCAGGGGGCCCACGAGACAGGGGGCGCGCCCCCACUCUCGUGGACAGGGUGUGGGCCCCCUGGUCUUGAUUCUUUCGCCAGUAUUUUUUAUAUUUUCCAAAAAGUGCCUCCGUCGAUUUUCAGGACAUUCCGAGAACUUUUGUUUUCUACACAUAAAACAACAUCAUGGCAGUUCUGCUGAAAACAACGUCAGUCCGAGUUAGUUUCAUUCAAAUCAUGCAAGUUAGAGUCCAAAACAAGGGCAAAAUUGUUUGGAAAAGUAGAUAUGUUGGAGACAUAUCAACUCCCCCAAGCUUAAACCUUUGCUUGUCCUCAAGCAAUUCAGUUGAUAAACUGAAAGUGAUAAAGAAAAACUUUUACAAACUCUGUUUGCUCUUGUUGUUGUAAACAUGCAAAGCCAUCAUUCAGGUUUCAGCAAAUAUUAUGAACUAACCAUACUCACAAUAACACUUAGGUCUCACAAUUACUCAUAUCAAUAGCAUGAUCAGCUAGCGAGCCAUAAUAAUAAAACUCGGAUGACAACACUUUCUCAAAACAAUCAUAACAUGAUAUAACAAAAUGGUAUCUCGCUAGCCCUUUCUGAGACCGCAAAACAUAAAUGCAGAGCACCUUUAAAGAUCAAGGACUGACUAGACAUUUUAAUUCAUGGUAAAAGAGAUCCAGUCAAGUCAUGCCCAAUAUAAACCAAUAAUAAUGAAUGCAAAUGACAGUGUGCUCUCCAGCGGGUGCUUUUUAAUAAGAAGGGUGAUGACUCAACAUAAAAGUAAAUAGAUAGACCCUUCGCAGAGGGAAGCAGGGAUUUGUAGAGGUGCCAGAGCUCGAUUUUAAAAUAGAGAUUGAAUAACAUUUUGAGCGGCAUACUUUCACUGUCAACGCAACAACUAUGAGAUGGCUGUAUCUUCCAUACUACAUGCAUUAUAGGCAGUUCCCAAACAGAAUGGUAAAGGUUUAUACUCCCCCAACCACCAACAAGCAUCAAUCCAUGGCUUGCUCGAAACAACGAGUGCCUCCAACUAACAACAACCCUGGGGGAGUUUUGUUUAAUUACUUUGAUUUGCUUUGAUCUUUUUGGAUCAUGGGACUGGGCAUCCCGGUUACCGGCCCUUUCUCGUGAAUGAGGAGCGGAGUCCACUCCUCUUGAGAAUAACCCACCUAGCAUGGAUGAUAUAGGCAGCCUUAGUUGAAACAUGAGCUGCUCGAGCAUGCAAAACCGAAUUUCAUUUGUAGGUUUGGAGUUUGGCACAUACAAAUUUACUUGGAACGACAGGUAAAUACCGCAUAAAGGAAGGUAUGGUGGACUCAUAUGGAACAACUUUGGGGUUUAAGGAGUUUGGAUGCACAAGCAGUAUUCCCGCUUAGUACAGGUGAAGGCUAGCAAAAGACUGGGAAGCGACCAACUGAGAGAGCGACAACAGUCAUAAACAUGCAUUAAAAUUAAUUCACACUGAGUACAAGCAUGAGUAGGAUAUAAUCCACCAUGAACAUAAAUAUCAUGAAGGCUAUGUUGAUUUGUUUCAACUACAUGUGUGAACAUGUGCCAAGUCGAGUCACUCAAUUCAUUCAAAGGAGGAUACCAUCCCAUCAUACCACAUCAUAAUCAUUCUAAUAGCAUGUUGGCACGCAAGGUAAACCAUUAUAACUCAUAGCUAAUCAAGCAUGGCACAAGCAACUAUAAUCACUAAAUGUCAUUGCAAAUAUGUUUACUUCAUAAUAAGCUGAAUCAGGAAUGAUGAACUCAUCAUAUUUACAAAAACAAGAGAGGUCUAGUUCAUACCAGCUUUUCUCAUCUCAAUAAGUCCAUCAUAUAUGGUCAUUAUUGCCUUUCACUUGCACGACCGAACGAUGUGUAUAAUAAUAAUAGUGCACGUGCAUUGGACUAAGCUGGAAUCUGCAAGCAUUCAACUCAAGAGAGAAGACAAGGUAAUAUGGGCUCUAAGUUAAAUAAACAAUCAUGCACAUGAGAGCCACUAAACAUUUUCAAUAUGGUCUUCUCGACCCCCAAAGGAAAGAAAAGAAAAUAAAACUAUUUACAUGGGAAAGCUCCCAACAAGUAAGAAGAACAAGAAAUCUUUUGGGGUUUUCAUUUUAAUUACUACUACAAGCAUGGAAAUUAAACUAACUAAUUUUUUUGUUUUUUUCUUAAGGUUUAUCAAACACACAAGAAGAAAGCGAGAAAAAGGAAAUUAAACUAGCAUGGAUAACACAAUGAAAAAGUAUGAGCACUGACGACUAGUGUGUGAACAUGAAUGUAAAGUCGGUGAGAAAUAUAUACUCUGAUACGUCUCCAACGUAUCUACUUCUCCAAACACUUUUGCCCUUGUUUUGGACUCUAACUUGCAUGAUUUGAAUGAAACUAACCCGGACUGACGCUGUUUUCAGCAGAACUGCCAUGAUGUUGUUUUAUGUGUAGAAAACAAAAGUUCUCGGAAUGUCCUGAAAAAUCCAUGGAGGCACUUUUUGGAAAAUAUAAAAAAUACUGGCGAAAGAAUCAAAACCAGGGGGCCCACACCCUGUCCACGAGGGUGGCGGGCGCACCCUCCCCCUGGGCGCGCCCCCCUGUCUCGUGGGCCCCCUGAGGCUCCUCCGACCUCAACUCCAACUCCAUAUAUUCCGUCUCGCGGAGAAAAAAAUCAGAGAGAAAGUUUCAUCGCGUUUUACGAUACGGAGCCACCGCCUGAUACGUCUCCAAUGUAUCUAUAAUUUUUGAUUGUUCCAUGCUAUUAUAUUACCCCUUUUGGAUGUUUAUGGGAUUUAUUUUACACAUUUAUAUCAUUUUUGGGACUAACCUACUAACCGAAGGCCCAUCCCAUAUUGCUGUUUUUUUGCCUAUUUCAGUAUUUCGAAGAAAAGGAAUAUCAAAUGGAGUCCAAACGGAAUGAAACCUUCGGGAGCAUGAUUUUUGGAACGAACGUGAUCCGGAGAGCUUGGAGUGCAAGUCAAGAAGCACCCGAGGCCCCCACGAGAUAGGAGGCCACGCCCCCUGUCUCGUGGGCCCCUCGGGCGGCCACCGACGUAUUUCUUCCUCCUAUAUAUACCUACGUACCCCGAAAACAUCCAGGGGCACCACGAAACACAAUUUCCACCGUCGUAACCUUCUCUAUCCGCGAGAUCUCAUCUUGGAGCCUUUGCCGGCACUCUGCCGGAGGGGGAAUCAACCAUGGAGGGCCUCUACAUCAACAUCCUUGCCCCUCCGAUGAGUUGUGAGUAGUUUACCACAGACCUACGGGUCCAUAGUUAUUAGCUAGAUGACUUCUUCUCUCUUUUUGGAUCUCAAUACAAUUUUCUCCCCCUCUCUUGUGGAGAUCUAUUCGAUGUAAACUCUUUUUGUGGUGUGUUGUUCGAGAUCCGAUGAAUUGUGGGUUUAUGAUCAAGUUAAUAUUUGAAUCUUCUCUGAAUUCUUUUAUGUAUGAUUGAGUUAUCUUUGCAAGUCUCUUCGAAUUAUCAGUUUGGUUUGGCCUACUAGAUUGAUCUUUCUUGCCAUGGGAGAAGUGCUUAGCUUUGGGUUCAAUCUUGCGGUGUCCUUACCCAGGGACAGAAAGGGUUCCCAGGGACGUAUUGUAUUGUUGCCAUCGAGGAUAACAAGAUGGGGUUUAUAUCAUAUUCCUUGAGUUUAUCCCUCUACAUCAUGUCAUCUUGCUUAAUGCGUUACUCUGUUCUUAUGAACUUAAUACUCUAGAUGCAGGCAGGAGUCGGUCGAUGUGUGGAGUAAUAGUAGUAGAUGCAGGCAGGAGUCGGUCUACUUGUUAUGGACGUGAUGCCUAUAUACAUGAUCAUGCCUAGAUAAUCUCAUAACUAUGCGCUUUUCUAUCAAUUGCUUGACAGUAAUUUGUUCACCAACCGUAAUACUUAUGCUAUCUUGAGUGAAGCCACUAGUGAAACCUAUGGCCCCCGGGUCUAUCUCUUAUCAUAUUUGCUUUCAAUCUACUUUUAUUUGCAUCUUUACUUUUUGCAUCUAUAUUAUAAAAUACCAAAAAUAUAUUUAUCUUAUCAUACUAUCUUUAUUAGAUCUCACUUUCGCAAGUGGCUGUGAAGGGAUUGACAGCCCCUUUAUUGCGUUGGUUGCGAGUUCUCAGUUUGUUUGUGUAGGUGCGUGGGACUUUUGAGGAGCCUCCUACUGGAUUGAUACCUUGGUUCUCAAAACUGAGGGAAAUACUUACGCUACACUUGCUGCAUCACCCUCUCCUCUUCGAGGAAAACCAACGCAAGCUCAAGACAUAGCAAGAAGGAUUUCUGGCGCCGUUGCCGGGGAGGUCUUCGCUCAAGUCAAGACAUACCAAGUACCCAUCACAAACCCAUCUCCCUUGCAUUUACAUUAUUUGCCGUUUGCCUCUCGUUUUCCUCUCCCCCACUUCAUCCUUGCUGUUUUAUUCGCGCUCUCUUUCCCAAUCUCCUCCUCUCUUUUUCGCUUGCCGUUUUUCUGCUUGCUUGUGUGCCUGUUUGUCCUUAUGGCUUCGCCUAAGGGUCCUGACCACCUUCUCAGAAGGAUGGAUGAGAUUGAAUCAAAUAUUAGAAGCUUUAUGAAUUUGCAAUUUGAGCAUAAUAAUUUCUUUAGAAAAGAACUUAAGGAACAAAAAGGUUUUUUGGGGUUUAUGAACAAAGAGCUUGAUGAUAUGAAUAAAGAAUUUUAUGGUGUUAAUGCUCAAAUUACCCGUCUUGAAAAUGCUAUAGCCAAAAUUUCCGAUAAGCAAGCCACCUUAGUCAAUAAGAUGGCCGCUAAACCAGAAAAGUUAGAUGAAAAUAAUGAUGAGGAUCUUAAAGUUAUUGAUGCGUCUCCCUUUAGAUCUAUGUUUUGCAAUAUGAAUUUUGAUGAUUAUGGGACUGAUGAUGAAUCAACUUUGCCUAGAAGGCGUCCCAAGAAUUCGGAAUCUUUAGAUCUUGAUGCUAAAUUUGGUAAAAGUGAGAUUGGAGAAUCCUCAACUUCUAAACCUUAUAUACCGGACUUCAAGGAAUUUGAUUAUGAUAAUUGCUCUUUAAAAAGUUGUAUUUCCUUGUUGCAAUCCGUUGUUAAUUCUCCUCAUGCUUAUAGUCAAAAUAAAGGUUUUACCAAACAUAUUGUUGAUGCCUUGAUGCAAUCUUAUGAUGAAAAACUUAAUUUGGAAGUUUCUAUACCUAGAAAACUUAAUGAUGAGUGGGAACCUACUAUAAAGAUUAGAAUUAAAGAUUAUGAGUGUUUUGCUUUGUGUGAUUUGGGUGCUAGUGUUUCCACGAUUCCGAAAACUUUAUGUGAUAUUCUAGGUUUCCAUGAUCUUGAUGAUUGCUCUUUAAAUUUGCACCUUGCGGAUUCCACCAUUAAAAAGCCAAUGGGAAGGAUCAAUGAUGUUCUUAUUGUUGCAAAUAGAAAUUUGGUGCCCGUAGAUUUUAUCGUGCUUGAUAUAGAUUGCAAUCUUUCUUGCCCUAUUAUUCUUGGUAGAUCUUUCCUUAGAACGAUUGGUGUGAUUAUUGAUAUGAAGGAAGGGAAUAUUAGAUUCCAAUUUCAAGGCAUGGAGCACUUUCCAAGAAAGAAAGUCAAAUUACCUUCUGAAUCUAUCAUGCGUGCUACUUAUGAAUUUAGUGCCAAAAGAUGGCACUAGUUAGAUCUAUCUUUGCUUUUUAUGCCUAGCUUGGGGCGUUAAACGAUAGCGCUAGUUGGGAGGCAACCCAAUUUUCUUCAUGUUUUUUGUUUUUGAUCCUGUUUAGUAAUAAAUCUUGCAUCUACCUUCUGUUUAGAUGUGUUUUUAUCUUUUAAUUAGUGUUUGUGCCAAGUAGAACCUAUAGGAUAACCUACGAUGAUAGUUGAUUUGAUUCUGCUGAAAAACAGAAACUUUGCACGCACGAAUAUAAUUUUUUUAAAUCACAAGAACGUGCUUUUGUAUUGAAUCCUUUUGCUGCUGUUCAAUAAACAAAUUUUCCAGGACUUCCUAUUUUGGUAGGAUUUUUAGAGGUCCAGAAGUUUGCGUUAGUUACAGAUUGCUACAGACUGUUCUGUUUUUGACAGAUUCUGUUUUUCGUGUGUUGUUUGCUUAUUUCAAUGCAUCUAUGGCUAGUAUAUUAAUUUAUAAACCAUAAGGAAGUUGUAAUACAGUAGGUUUAACACCAAAUUAAAUAAAUAAUGAGUUCAUUGCAGUACCUUAUGUGGUGGUUUUGUUUUCUUUCACUAACGGAGCUUAUAAGAUUUCCUGUUGAGUUUUGUGUUGUGAAGUUUUCAAGUUUUGGGUAAAGCUUUUAUGGACUAUGGAAUAAAGGGUGGCAAGAGCCUAAGCUUGGGGAUGCCCAAGGCACCCCAAGAUAUUCAAGAAUAGCCAAAAGCCUAAGCUUGGGGAUGCCCCGGGAAGGCAUCCCCUCUUUCGUCUUCGUUCAUUGGUAACUUUACUUGGAGCUAUAUUUUUAUUCGCCACAUGAUAUGUGUUUUGCUUGGAGCGUCGUGUAUUAUAGUAGUCUUUGCUUUUUAGUUUACCAUAAUCAUCCUUGCUGUACACACCUUUUGUGAGAAGCCUAUUUGAUUAGAAUUUGCCCACAAUCAUCCUUGCUGUACACACCUUUUAUGAGAAGCCUAUUUGAUUAGAAUUUGCUAGAAUACUCUAUGUGCUUCACUUAUAUCUUUUGAGCUUGAUAGUUUUUGCUCCAGUGCUUCACUUAUAUCUUUUAGAGCACGGUGGUGUCUUAAUUUUGAAGAAAUUUCUAGUCUCUCAUGCUUCACUUAUAUUAUUUUGAGAGUCUUCUAGAACAGCAUGGUAUUUGCUAUGGUCAUAAAGUUGGUCCUAGAAUGGUAGGCAUCCAUGUUUGGUAUAAUAAAAACUAUCAUAGGAAGUGAAUUGGAUGCUAUGAUCAAUUUCAUACUUGAUAAUUGUUUUGAGAUAUGGAGGUAGUGAUAUUAAAGUCAUGCUAGUUGGGUGAUUAUGAAUUCAAAGAAUGCUUGUGUUGAAGUUAGCAAGUCCCGUAGCAUGCACGUAUGGUUAAAGUUGUGUAACAAAUUUGAAACAUGAAGUGUACCUGGCUUGUGCAUCCUUAUGAGUGGCGGUCGGGGACGAGCGAUGGUCUUUUCCUACCAAUUUAUCCCCCUAGGAGCAUGCACGUAGUACUUGGUUUUUGAUGACUUCUAAAUUUUUGCAAUAAGUAUAUGAGUUCUUUUGACUAAUGUUGAGUCCAUGGAUUAUACGCACUUUUACCUUUCCACCUUUGCUAGCCUCUUUGGUACCGUGCAUUGCCCUUUCUCACCUUGAGAGUUGGUGCAAACUUCGCCGGUGCAUCCAAACCCCGUGAUACGGUACGCUCUAUAACACAUAAACCUCCUUAUAUCUUCCUCAAAAUAGCCACCAUACCUACCUAUUAUGGCAUUUCCAUAGCCAUUCCAAGAUAUAUUACCAUGCAACUUUCCACCAUUCCGCUCAUCAUCAUCAUGACAUACUUUACUUUUGUCAUAUUGCCAUUGCAUGAUCAUGUAGUUGACAUCGUAUUUGUGGCAAAGCCACCAUGCAAUAUUUUCAUACAUGUCACUCUUGAUUCAUUGCACCAUCCCGGUACACUGCCGGAGGCAUUCAUAUAGAGUCAUAUCUUGUUCUAGUUUCAAGUUGUAAUUCUUAUGUUGUAAUCAAUAGAAGUGUGAUGAUCAUCAUUAUUAGAACAUUGCCCAAAGAAAAAAAAAAGAAGAAAGGCCAAACAGAAAAAAGAAUGGCCCAAAAAAAGAAAAAGAAAAAAAAAGAAAAGAAAGAAAAGAAAAAAAGAAAAUAAAUAAAAAGGGCAAUGUUACUAUCUCUUUUUCCACACUUGUGCUCCAAAGUAGCACCUUGUUCUUCAUGUAGUGAGUCUCAUAUAUUGUGCUUCAAAGUAGCACCAUGUUUUGAGUCUCAUAAGUUGUCUUUUUCAUACUAGUGGGAAUUUCUCAUUAUAGAACUUGGCUUGUAUAUUCCUAUGAUGGGCUUCCUCAAAUGCCCUAGGUCUUCGUGAGCAAGCAAGUUGGAUGCACACCCACUAGUUUUCUUUUGUUGAGCAUUCAUUUGUAGCUCUAGUGCAUCCGUUGCAUGGCAAUCCCUACUCCUCAUGUUGACAUCAAUUGAUGGGCAUCUCCAUAGCCCGUUGAUUAUCCUCGUCAAUGUGAGACUUUCUCCUUUUUUUGUCUUCUCCACACAAUCCCCAUCAUCAUAUUCUAUUCCACCCAUAGUGCUAUAUCCAUGGCUCACACUCAUGUAUUGCGUGAAGGUUGAAAAAGUUUGAGAUUAUUUAAGUAUGAAACAAUCGCUUGGCUUGUCAUCGGGGGGUAUAGAAGUUGGGAACAUCUUUGUGUGACGAAAAUGAAGCAUAGCCUAACUAUAUGAUUUUGUAGGGAUGAACUUUCUUUUGCCAUGUUAUUUUGAGAAGACAUGAUUACUUUAAUUAGUAUGCUUGAAGUGUUACUAUUUGUUUUAUCAAUAUGAACUUUUAAUUUGUAUUCAUUUGGAUCUGAACAUUCAUGCCACAAUAAAGAAAAUUACAUUAUGAAUUAUGCUAGGUAGCAUUCCACAUCAAAAAUUCUCUUUUUAUCAUUUACCUACUCGAGGACGAGCAGGAAUUAAGCUUGGGGAUGCUUGAUACGUCUCCAACGUAUCUAUAAUUUUUGAUUGUUCCAUGCUAUUAUAUUACCCCUUUUGGAUGUUUAUGGGCUUUAUUUUACACAUUUAUAUCAUUUUUGGGACUAACCUACUAACUGGAGGCCCAGCCCAUAUUGUUGUUUUUUUGCCUAUUUCAGUAUUUCGAAGAAAAGGAAUAUCAAACGGAGUCCAAACGGAAUGAAACCUUCGGGAGCGUGAUUUUUGGAACGAACGUGAUCCGGAGAGCUUGGAGUGCAAGUCAAGAAGCACCCGAGGCCCCCACGAGAUAGGAGGCUGCGCCCCCCUGUCUCGUGGGCCCCUCGGGUGGCCACCGACAUACUUCUUCCUCCUAUAUAUACCUAUGUACCCCGAAAACAUCCAGGGGCACCACGAAACACAAUUUCCACCGUCGUAACCUUCUGUAUCCGCGAGAUCUCAUCUUGGAGCCUUCGCCGGCACUCUGUCGGAGGGGGAAUCAACCACGGAGGGCCUCUACAUCAACAUCCUUGCCCCUCCGAUGAGUUGUGAGUAGUUUACCACAGACCUACGGGUCCAUAGUUAUUAGCUAGAUGGCUUCUUCUCUCUUUUUGGAUCUCAAUACAAUGUUCUCCCCCUCUCUUGUGGAGAUCUAUUCGAUGUAAACUCUUUUUGUGGUGUGUUUGUCGAGAUUCGAUGAAUUGUGGGUUUAUGAUCAAGUUAAUAUUUGAAUCUUCUCUGAAUUCUUUUAUGUAUGAUUGAGUUAUCUUUGCAAGUCUCUUCGAAUUAUCAGUUUGGUUUGGCCUACUAGAUUGAUCUUUCUUGCCAUGGGAGAAGUGCUUAGCUUUGCGUUCAAUCUUGCGGUGUCCUUACCCAGUGACAGAAAGGGUUGCAAGGCACGUAUUGUAUUGUUGCCAUCGAGGAUAACAAGAUGGGGUUUAUAUCAUAUUGCUUGAGUUUAUCCCUCUACAUCAUGUCAUCUUGCUUAAUGCGUUACUCUGUUCUUAUGAACUUAAUACUCUAGAUGCAGGCAGGAGUUGGUCGAUGUGUGGAGUAAUAGUAGUAGAUGCAGGCAGGAGUCGGUCUACUUGUUAUGGACGUGAUGCCUAUAUACAUGAUCAUGCCUAGAUAUUCUCAUAACUAUGCACUUUUCUAUCAAUUGCUCGACAGUAAUUUGUUCACCCACCGUAAUACUUAUGCUAUCUUGAGAGAAGCCACUAGUGAAACCUAUGGCCCCCGGGUCUAUCUUUUAUCAUAUUUGCUUUCAAUCUAGUUUUAUUUGCAUCUUUACUUUUUGCAUCUAUAUUAUAAAAUACCAAAAAUAUAUUUAUCUUAUCAUACUAUCUUUAUUAGAUCUCACUUUCGCAAGUGGUCGUGAAGGGAUUGACAACCCCUUUAUUGCGUUGGUUGCGAGUUCUCAGUUUGUUUGUGUAGGUGCGUGGGACUUUUGAGGAGCCUCCUACUGGAUUGAUACCUUGGUUCUCAAAACUGAGGGAAAUACUUACGCUACACUUGCUGCAUCACCCUCUCCUCUUUGAGGAAAACCAACGCAAGCUCAAGAUGUAGCACCGCCAAGCCCUAAUCUCUCUCGGGAGGGCUGAUCUGGAGUCCGUUCGGGGCUUCGGAGAGGGGGAUUCAUCGCCGUCAUCAUUGUCGGUGUCAAAACCGGCGGAUCUCGGGUAGGGGGUCCCGAUCUGUGUGUCUAAGGCUAAUGGUAACAGGAGGCAAGGGACAUGAUGUUUUACCUAGGUUCGGGCCCUCUCGAUGGAGGUAAAACCCUACUUCCUGCUUGAUUGAUAUUGAUGAUAUGGGUAUUACAAGAGUUGAUCUACCACGAGACCAUAGAGGCUAAACCCUAGAAGCUAGCUGUCGGUGUACUAAAGUAGGGGUACCUUAGUACCCCGAACUUGUGCACGGGCAGUCGCAGCGUCCCGCGGCAAGACUUGCCGGGCAUCCACCAAGAUCCUCCGUCAUUCCUAUUUGAUGCCAUUCAAGAACAAAGUGUUUAACUGAGAAGACAAGGCCCCGACAAGAGGAGCUUGCCGGGAAGGACAAGGCCCCGGCAAGAGGAGCUUGCUGGGAAGGCCAACCAAGGCAUUUUCAAGAGACUUGCCACGACGCGCCGCGCGUCCCGGCAAGACCCGUCGAGCGACAAGCUUGCGGGUGCGACAGGACAGCGACCGCGGCAAGGCGCUUGCCGCGACGAAGCCACCACUCUGCGCCCACGCUCCAGCGCAUCCGACGACGUGUCGCCGCAGGAUCGUUCUUGGUGCACGUGGCGAGUAGCUGUGCAGCCGAGCGGUGCGAGGUGGCGAGUGGAGAUGACGAGAAGGCCAUCGUGGCGAUCGGUGGCGCCCCUAACGGUCGUUUCUUGCACUGUUUGGGCGACCGGACGGGCAUUAAAUGCCCUUGUCCCCUGCCGUCAGAGUUAGGUAGGGGGCACUGUUGAUAGCGGUUGUACCAACCUCUCUUUUUACUUCUUUACCCCUCUCUGCGUUGCCACCUGUUGGUGACCCCUUUAGCCUAUAAAAAGGAGGCCCAUGCGCACGUAGGAGGGGUUCGACUCAUUCGAAACUACAACACACGCACGCUCUCAAGCAAGAACAGGAUACAAACACAAAGCAGCAGUAGGAGUUUUAUCUCUCCGGAGAGCUCCGAAGCUGGGUAAAAUCCCUCGCGUGCAUUACCUCGAUCUGCUCUUCGUGCGCCCUCCGCUCCCUGCCGGACCGAGAAGGGGCCCUGCCCCAUAGGUGCUCGUUUCCCACGACACUAGCCUAUGAUGAUUAUGAUUCUGUCUCUAAGGACUAAACCCUCCGGUUUAUAUAGACACCGGAGAGGGCUAGGGUUUACAUGGAGUCGGUUACAAAGAAGGGAAUAUAAUAUCCGGAUCGCCAAGCUUGUCUUCCACGCAAAGGAGAGUCCCAUCCGGACACGGGACGAAGUCUUGAGUCUUGUAUCUUCAUGGUCCAACAGUCCGGCCAAAUUAUAUAGUCCAGCUGUCCGGAUACCCCCUAAUCCAGGACUCCCUCAGCAGCCCCUGAACCAGGCUUCAAUGACAAUGAGUCCGGCGCGCAGUUUGUCUUCGGCAUUGCAAGGCGGGUUCCAUCUCCGAAUACUCCAAAGUAGUUAUCGAACACUUAAACCGUGUCCGCAUCUUCAAGAUGAUCUUCACAUACCACCGUAGAGAGCAUAGCACUUCAUAAAUUUGAUUUGCUGGCAAUUUUUGUACGGCGUGCUCCUGCAUCGUGGCUCGGCCCAACACGAACCGGUUUUACUUGGCCUCCCUCGAUACGCGUUGCGAGGCGGUUUUACUGGCACACCUUGCCAAAGCAGAGAUCGUGCUCCCCUUAGCGUGGGAUCUUCCAUUAAUAUAGGUGCACACGUACCCAUGAUGUUUGUUGGUAUGAAUCUAUGUUUUUAGGUAAGUCCUGAGCGGUUACGCUGAGGGCGCUUGAUAUUCUCCCCCUUUAUAAAGGGGCCGAGGCCUAUCCCUCUUUUCCACCUCCCUUGCGCUUCUUCGCAUCUCGAGUUCUAACACCCGAAACCCAAGCUCAAGCACCUCGGACCCUCAACCAUGUCCGGAUCCAACCCUCAAGGCCGGUGGGUGGCCUCCUCGGUCACAGAGGAGGACAUUGCGAAGCUUAGGGAGGUCGGAUAUCUGACCGCCGACAUCAAGCACAGGCUUCCUGCUCCAGGGCAGGUCAUUCCUACUCCCGAGCCCAACGAGAGCGUCGUAUUUGUUUCUCACUUCCUUCGCGGCUUGGGCAUUAGCCUUGUCAUCAUAAUUCAGGUAAUGCUAAUCCGAUGGAUGUUGCUGUGCAAAUGCCAGCCUCUCCGGAUGUGGGAAUUCAAUCCGGAAGGUCCGCAGACUAUUCUGCACUUCUUCGGCCUGACACUCGAAGGGAUGUGUAAAUUAUUCUUCGGACCACAAGUAAAGUGUCCAGACACCACCAAGGAUGCAAGCCUGAGCUGCAAUCGCCCAGAUACCCAAGUAAGUAACCCAGAAAUCGAACACUUCGUUUAUAUUUAUCAUAACCAUUAUUAUGAAAAUCCUCCGUGGCCAGGAAUGGCUCAGCAAGGUGGAGAGAAUCAGGUGUCCGACGCCACUUCCCGAAGGCUCGCCAAGUCCCACCAUAGCCAAGAUGCUUGGUCGUGUGCUAAGUAAAGUGCCUUCGGGGAAAGGCGAAGGGAAGAAUAUGGAAGCAGAACUUCACACAUUGCACAUCCAAACAGGGGGAAUUGCUACCUCCCCAGAGGAGGAUAGUCGGGGAGGGGAAUCUAAGGUCUCCUCCCCUCGCGGGAAGAAGAGGGUCGCCUCCGAAGACUUGGAGACGGAGGCGCCCAGACAAGGGAAGAAGACUUCACCAUGGGGCCCUGCCCCGAAGGGCGUCUUCGCCGCGCCUUGCCUGCAAACGGGCCAGUCCUCAGCAGAGCCAUAAGUUAAUUGUAAAUACAAAGCCAGUGCUUCCUUCUCCAAAAACAGUAACCAGGAUCCAUUCCUUGCAGUCCGGCUAGCAGCUUUUCUCGACAGAGUUCGUCUUCGGGGGAUCUCCUUCCGGAGAUGAUGGAGAGUGAGACCCCAUGUCGGUGUCAAAACCGGCGGAUCUCGGGUAGGGGGUACCGAACUGUGCGUCUAGGCGGAUGGUAACAGGAGACAAGGGACACGAUGUUUUUACCCAGGUUCGGGCCCUCUCGAUGGAGGUAAAACCCUACUCCUACUUGAUUAAUAUUGAUGAUAUGGGCAGUACAAGAGUGGAUCUACCACGAGAUCAAGGAGGCUAAACCCUAGAAGCUAGCCUACGGUAUGAUUGUUGUAAUGGUUGUUUGUCCUACGGACUAAACCCUCCGGUUUAUAUAGACACCGGAGAGGGCUAGGGUUACACAGAGUCGGUUACAAUGGUAGGAUAUCUACAUAUCCGUAUUGCCAAGCUUGCCUUCCACGCCAAGGAAAGUCCCAUCCGGACACGGGACGAAGUCUUCAAUCUUGUAUCUUCAUAGUCUUGGAGUCCGGCCGAUGAUGAUAGUUCGGCUAUCCGGACACCCCCUAGUCCAGGACUACCUCAGUAGCCCCCGAACCAGGUUUCAAUGACGACGAGUCCGGCACGUAUAUUGUCUUCGGUGUUGCAAGGCGGGUUCUCCUCCAAAUUCCAUGUGCUUGCCGAAUAGUGUCCGGCUUCCCUACAAAUGUUGCGCUCCUUGGCUUCCAUGCCCAAUAAUGGCCCUCUUCCACGUGUCGCACGAAUGCGAAAGGCCAGGGUAUUUUUAUAUUUUACCCCCUAGCUGCGCAAAUAAUCUGCCUAUAAGAGAGGCAAGAAUCCACAUCCAAAUCACACCAUCUUCCUUCUGCGAGUACUCAUCGGAGCGCUUCUGACCAAAAAUCCAUUUCAUCAUGGACCGUCGACGCGGCUCCUCCUCUCACGCUCCUAGCCCUCAGCCAGGAGAUUGGAGGAGAUGUUCAGUUCCGCACAACGAGCUGGUGACGCUCCAAGCGGAGGGAUACCUUCCUCCGGCCUUUAUGGUCCCAGUUCGAGCCGGGCUGGCCACCUACAAAGGUGGAAAGCAAGCGGAGGCCACCCCUAGUCCCUCCAAAUGAGAGCGGGUGUGCUUCGUCCCUUAUCUAAUAAGGGGGCUCGGAUUUCCCAUACAUCCGUUUCUCCGGGGGCUUCUGGAGUUCUACGGACUCCAGCUUCAUCACCUCACGCCCGCCUCUAUUCUGCACAUCGCGGGUUUCGUAGCUCUUUGCGAGCUGUUCCUGGGCAUCGAGCCCCAUUUUGCGCUGUGGAAGAGACUAUUUUGCCUCGCACCCUGUUCUCACGAGGGGUCAAUAUAUCAAGUGGGUGGAGCCGAAAUAUGGCGCAUCGCCGGGACCGGAUAUCUAUCCGGAACCCCAAAGAAGGCGUCCGAAGAUUGGCCCUCGGAAUGGUUUUAUGUGGAAGAUGCUCCACUGCCAGACCCAGUUCGGAUUGGCCUCCCGAAGUUCAGCAAGGCUCCUCUGAAGAAACGCCUAAGUUGGCGCCCGCGGAGCCCUCAACAGGAGGAAGACAGGAGCGUCCAUUAUUUGAUGGGCCGGAUAAGGUUGCUGGCCCAUUCCGGAUUGACCAUGAUUGGAGUCAUGGCCACGUGCAUUAUGCGAGGGGUGCAGCCGCUCCAAUAUAGGGGCCACCCCAUGUGGGAUUUCAACGGGGAGAAUGACGCCACCCGUCAUGGCUGCAAGGGGCCGGGAUCGGCCGCGGAUCUGGUGAAGAUACUGUCCGACCUGUACAAGGGGGAGAAGGAGGACUUCCUACAGACGAGCCCAUUGAAUGGGUUCUCCAUGAAUAACCCUCGGAGCUAGGUAAGCAGACAUUUAUUCAUCCGACCCGUGCUUUCAAAGUUAACUGCCUUACUUUAUGAUUUUGACGCAGGAACUGCGUCGGGAUGUGGAGGGCAUACACAGUCCGGCUCCACAACCCGAGGACCCGGGAAGAUCCCUUGACCCGGCCGCCGAAUGUGACACUCCAAAAAAUUUAUUUGGUUUUUAUCAAAAACUUUGUGGUUAUGAAAAGAGGCCAUUUAAAUUUUUUUUUCUACUUUUAGAAAAUCUCCCUCUUAAAAACUUCCUUUGCUUUGGCAAGGAUUUUAUUUUUUUUCAAACUUUGGUGUUUGAUCUUUUGAAAACUUCUUCUCUGUUGGUUCCCUCUCAAAUUCAUUUUUGGGAGUUUAAUCCUUUUUCUUUUAAAAUGAAACUCUAUGAAAAUUUGGGGAUUUUCAUAUCUUGGAACCACCCUUGACUUUGCAUUGUUCCCAUGUGGUAAAACCCCUCCAAAACCUCCCCUACACCUUGUGAUCAACCUAAGUUCUCUGUCCCAACUAAUCCAAACAAGUUUUGGAUUUUAUUCUAAUUAUUUUUCCUCUCAUAUCAAUUCUGAAAAUUAUUUGGAGCCUGAGGGAUUUUCAAAGCAAGUACCCUAUUGCAUUUGAGUUUUGACCUCAAACCAACUCUCCUGGAUAGUCCUUUGUACCCACAACUCAGAACCAUCUUGAUCCACUCCUCUUUUCAAAUUUUUCAAAAUUCAGUCUCUGCAAGUUUGGACCAGAUUUGCCAAAUUUGAUGAAAUUCAUAUCUACCCUCCUCCAAAUAUUCCACCAAAAUUCAGGCAACCUAUUUGAGCAAUGAGAAGCCAAUCCACCAAGUUUCAGCUCAAGGAAAAAUCCCCAGAGGCCAAAUUCAUUCUGUCGAACACCUUGCAUGCACUGUUGCUGUUCAAAAUUCAGAAAAUUCAGUUUCAGUGUCAUCUUGCGUUCGUCAGUUUCACUCACGCGUUCACAGUGCACUUGGCACGUUCCUCGUAGCCCCUCCCUCUUGUCCGGAGCUUCACACGCGUGCGUGGAGCCUUCCUGGCGUCGGUGGUGCGCUGGCCUGCCCUCGCCGGCGUCUUCUGAGGCGUCGGGACCUCCCGUGGCGGCCGACAGAAGGCACACCACGGCAGAACGCCGUUCAGCGCCGCCCAAAGCCCCUUGGCUCUCCGCGUGUCCCUGCCAUGCCAGCGCACGCCCGUGGCACCGUCGCCGUGGCCCGGCAAGCACGGAACGUGCUCCCUGCCGCCGACGGGCCGCGCCACCCCCGUUCCGUCGAGCUCACCCAUAACGCCAAACCUCAGCCCGUUUAGCGCCUAAAUGGGACCGGUGGACCUCAACGGCACUGCCCAAGCCCCUAACCCCCCUGCACAUCCACGGCACCGCCGUAAUCACUCGGUGGAGAUCCCCGUUCAUGGCAACCGCCUCGGGCCGCCUAUAAAAAGGGCCCCCGAGCUCACCCUCGUGCACGCCUCAUCCCCACUCCUCACCAACGCCACGCCAGGCCACUAGGGGGACCCCGAGGAGGUCUCCCCCCCAACUCCGGCCGCCCCGAUCCGCCUCGGCCUCCACCACGAUUCGCUCCGGUGAGGCCGUCUCCGGCGCCCAAACCCCGUCUGUUACUCUCUCUAGCUACCAGGAGCCUAACCCCCUCGUCAAUUUUACCUCUGCAGCCCUCUCCGAUGAAUUCCUCGACCACCCGAGCCGCCGUCCGCCGGAGCAAAGCUCGCCGUCGACGUGGUACUCGCCGGCGACCACCACCAGCACCAACCGACGCGGAAUGGCGCCCUGAGCACGGAGGUACCCUCCGAUCCCCCUGCCUCACCGUGGAUCGCCGCCGGCGACCACCGCGGCUCUCGGGCGCCGACGAGCUCCGUUUGCCUUUUUUUGAAAUUCAAACCUGACGCGUGGGACCCCACCGUCAGCCUCUCUGCUCUCUCUGUUGAAACGUUUUCUGGAAGCGUCUUCGGGCAAAGUACGUUUUCCCUUUGAGCUGGCGUAGUUUCUGCCGAAGCGUUUUCUGCUUUUAUAAGCUAGCCCCUGGAAACUUUCUGUUUCAUUACAGAUGAGUCCCUGGGCAAAAACCCUUAUAACUUUUAAACAGAAAAGUAUUUUUGAUUGAUUCUUUUUCUGUUCUCUUUAAAAUUUUGUCUAGUUUUUUAUCAGAUUUAUUUGAAAAAUAUUUGGUUUACUUUCUGUGCACUCCUUGGUAUUUACGAUAGCGCAUAUAUUUUCUUUAUACCGUAGAUACCGAAGGAGGUGACGGAGCCGCGAACUUCACCGAGCUAGGCUCCGACUACUCUGAACUAGGCAAGCAUGUUUGAACUUUUGAUAUGAUGAGUGUCUUGGCAUGUUUUGCAUUUAGUUAGUUUUAUGGCAUGUUGAGAAGCAUAUCGAUGAACGUUAUUUUAUGCGAUAAUGAGGUAAGUGAGUUCGAUGAUCCAUAAGUGGAUGGAUGUAAGUAUGAAUGGCCAUGUGUUGGCAUGAGGAUGGGUGAGAUGGCAGUGUUGUAGCAUGCCAGUCUUAUGCCAGACUAUGUGACUUCAGUUGUCAAACCGUAUCGGUCCAGUUCCUCUCAUUUCCUUCCCUGUACUACCACAUGUUUUCCGCAAGGAAUAUGGUUUAGUAAGUUGCAAACCGCUUUUCUGGUACACACCAAAAAGGAGAGGCCAUGAUGAUGGUUCCAUGGCCCUGGAUUAAAGCCAGUCAUCCGGUCAGGGGGCAUGGGUGUUUCCGGUUGGGACCGAGAGGGGGGCACCCCUUAGAGCGCGCGUAUAUAAAUUUGAUCCCAUGCUAUUCGAGAUUGUGAUCUCCCCGUCUCAAAAGUUUUUCUUGGACGAUGUCUAGGGUGAUUCCUAGCAUCGAGAGGUAGGAUGGGUGUGUACUGGUUAGCUGUGUUUUCUUCUGAAAUACCGUAAACGGAACUAGUCCUUCAUGACUACGGAAAUCCGUUGGCUCUGGGAAAAUUUUUUUUGUACAAACUCUGCAGAGUCAUAUAUUCCUCCAAAUCAUCUAUUCCCUGUCCUAGACCGAUAUUAUCUUAUCCUAAUCAAAUGUCAGUUUUGAUGACAGAGACUCCGGUGAAUCGCAUGAGUGCUAAGUCCGGUUAAACGAAUAUUCCUGUGGAUGGACUAACCCAUUUAUUCUCAAGAAUUAAAUGUUUAUUAUGAGUAUUAUUUACUUGUGAAUAAAAGCCCUUUCUGUGAUGUCGCUCAGACGUCUGACUGUGGCAUUGUUGUAUUUUACUUUCUGUCAAAGCCCUUUCUGUGAUGUCGCCCCGACGUCCGACUGUGGCAUUUCUUUUUAAAGCCCUUUCUGUGAUGUCGCCCCNNNNNNNNNNNNNNNNNNNNNNNNNNNNNNNNNNNNNNNNNNNNNNNNNNNNNNNNNNNNNNNNNNNNNNNNNNNNNNNNNNNNNNNNNNNNNNNNNNNNNNNNNNNNNNNNNNNNNNNNNNNNNNNNNNNNNNNNNNNNNNNNNNNNNNNNNNNNNNNNNNNNNNNNNNNNNNNNNNNNNNNNNNNNNNNNNNNNNNNNNNNNNNNNNNNNNNNNNNNNNNNNNNNNNNNNNNNNNNNNNNNNNNNNNNNNNNNNNNNNNNNNNNNNNNNNNNNNNNNNNNNNNNNCGACUGUGGCAUUUCUUUUAAAGCCCUUUCUGUGAUGUCGCCCCGACGUCCGACUGUGGCAUUUCUUUUAAAGCCCUUUCUGUGAUGUCGCCCCGACGUCCGACUGUGGCAUUUCUUUUAAAGCCCUAUCUGUGAUGUCGCCCCGACGUCCGACUGUGGUAUUUCUUCUAAAGCCCUUUAUGUGGUGUCGCUAAGACGCCCGACUGUGGCAUCAUUUCCUUAUAUUUAUAUGUUCACCUUUCGAGGCGUCGCUUCAGACACCCGAUCGGUAUUCAUUUAUGUUUGGUGGGGAUUUCAGGCGGACUACCGCCGUUUCCCUUUUACCUACCUUGUUAUGCUAAUUUUUGAUUGUACAUUGGUGAAUUAUUCAUGACGCAUCCAUGCAUGCAUUUGUUAUAUCUUACGUCCGAACUGUCUUGCGAGUACUUUCAAAGUACUCACUGGCUUGUUGAUUUGGCCAGAUGCUGACGAAGGCGAUCUCAUGGAUGAAGAGUUUGAUAGCGAGUCCGACACCUAGAGGAGUCCCAGUCAGUCUCGUGCGACCUUGGAUUUGGUCACUGUUUUAUAGCCGCUUCCGCUACCAAAUAAAUUCAUCGAGCCUCACCUCGACGCUCGAUGAGAUGAUAGACUUAGAGUCUUGUAUUUCUCUCCCCGCUGUGUUUCUCUGCCACCGCCAUAUCCUCGAGUCAGUAGUAUGCCUCCACACCACUGUGUCAUGUCCGCCAUUAUGUAUAAUGAUUGGCGUGCUUGUAAUAAUUUGGUUGAGCAACCGCAGUUCAACCCUGUAAUAUAUUUUAUGCUACUGGCUUAUUGUAUCAAGAAUCUGUCUACCAGUGAGGAGGAUUUCUCUCAUACUGGACUCAAAAGAUUGGUUUCUCAAUAAAUAUUUUUAUUGGAAAACCGGUCGUGACAAGCUUGGUACCAGAGCCAGGCUGACUGUAGGAAGCCACUAGGUGCGAUCGCUAAUUGGUUAUUAGCAUGAUAGAGCUAAAUUAUAUUUUUGCAAUUGUAGUCAUUUUCUGUCAGUCAGCAUAAAUUUAUGAUCUGACCCUGCAGAAUUUUUGCCUACUUUUGUAGAUGGCCGACAACAGCUGCGAGUCUUAGACCUUCGCCAACGUGCCCGAUGGGUUCGUCAAGCUUCUUUCUUUCAUCGUUCAGGUCGCGAUGGGGCCAUCCGUGCGCCCAGUCUUCACACUCUGCCAGCACCGAGUCAACGACAGUCUAACCAUGCACCAGGCCGCGGUGCAGUUCAAGGGAGGGCGUGGUGAGUUACGCCGCUUCCGGUUCAUGGGAAGAGCCAUGCCUACGGAGAGGCAUGCUAUGCAGAUGGCAGCCCGCGAGGCGAUAGCUCGUCUCAGGGAUGUCCUUCCCGUGAUGAAGACUCGUCGUUACCGUUAUCUUCCAUGCCAUGUGCCUUACACCUGUCACUACGCAUACUCCUGCCCCAGAGGAGAACGAGACGAGGCUUUUGAGAUGCUCAUUGAGUAUCUCCGGGCCCUGGAGGCAGCCUUCGACAACCUGGUGGACGACUUCGUAGCUACCCGCAUGGACUCAGUUCAUGGCUGUGCUGCCAACAGGAGGGAGCUCCUACCCAUCGCUCCGCCACUGACUUUGGUCUCGUCCUCAGCAUCUUAUACGCCGACUCGUCGCCUGCCUUCUACCGAAGAAUUCAACCAAGUCAUUGCGCCCACUCCAGCGCGCACUACACCACCCUUCGCGCCCACUCCUGUACAUGUUGCCCCGCCCCUGGCAACCGUUCCGUCCACUCUGCGCAACACCACACGUAUGGAGCCCAUUAGCGAGGAGGAAGUCGAGUCCCCAACCUCGCUACGCCUCGCCCUCGGCAGGGCAAAGGAGGUCGUCAACAUCUCUGCCUGAGUACGCUUAGCUGCCGUGUAUUGUACCGCUUUGUAAGAUAUGUACAUAGGUUGUGAGAAGUAGCUUGUUUGCGCAUCAUGUAGGAUCUGGAGAAGUGCACUAGCCUAAAUAACAUGUCAGGAUUAUGUACGCAUAUCCUGAGUGAUGUAUUGUAUAAUUAUCGCCCGCGUGUAAGAUAUGUAAUGAGUAGUCCUUCUCCGUGCGCAAGUCGAUUUGUUUUUCUUAAGUAAGCUGAGUUAUUUAAUUCUAUUUGCCAGCUUUAUGCGUUUAUGGAUUUGUUUUUGCGACUCUUUCCGCUUUUCUUAUAAGUUUUACAAAAAAACAUUUCCCUAGAGUGAAAAAUGUCUCGUCCUUGGACUCGCUCCAUGCCAACUCCACCAGAGGAAAUUUAUGAUGCACAACCCAGCAACGAGUUCACUCAGGGACAGUCAAGCCAACAGAGCAGUGAAUCGGCACUUUCACAAAUGUGCCGCCUUUAUGAGCAGAGUCAACAACAACAUCGGGAAAUGAUGAACAAGUCAUCAACAUGGGAAAUCACCAUGGACAGUAUCAGCAGCAUUCCAAGUUAUCUGAGCUACAGAAGACACAUCCUCAAACAUUUUCUCACACUGACAAACCUCUUGAAGCCGAGGACUGGCUUCGAGAUAUGGAGAGAAAAUUAAUUAUUGCAAAAUGUUCAGACCCCGAGAAGGUAUUAUAUGCUCCGCACUAUCUCACAGGAGCAGCCGCAUCGUGGUGGGAGAAUUUUCUGCAUAUGCAUCCCAACGAAAAUGACAUAACCUGGGAUGAUUUCAAGGAAGGUUUCCAUGGUGCACAUAUUCCUAAGAGUAUUAUGAAAAUCAAGAAGAGAGAAUUCGAUGACCUCAAACAAAGGAACAUGACAGUAUCAGAUUACAACAGUCAAUUCACUCUAUUGUCCCGCUACGCCAAUGAAGAGCGUAUGACUGAAAUCAAGAUGGAGAAAUUCCUUGACGGUCUGGCGCCCGCGCUUAAAUGCCAACUGGUCGUGCACACUUUUCCUGAUUUUAAAACACUGGUGGACAAAGCCAUUACUCUGGAAAAUGAGAGACGCAGUCUGGAAGAUAUCCGCAAGCGAAAAAGGGACCAGACUAACCAUGCUCGCAAUCACCGAAGCAGGACAGAUUUUCAAAAGGGUGGGACACACAAAUCCUCAUCCAACGUCUCACGCCCAAUCAAGAAUUAUCAUGCAAGAGACAAAGAAUUCACCUAUCGCCCCGGCGUUACUUGUUACGCUUGUGGAGAAGAAGGGCACUAUGCCAAACAGUGCCCCAAGCCAAGGAAUUCAACCCCAAAGCCGAACAACGGCGGCAAUAAUUCAGCGCCCAAGCGAAACAAUUUCAAUCCCAACAAUAACCACAGGAAGGGUCAUCUGAACCAUGUAACCAAAGAGGAGGCACAAAAUGCUCCGGAUAUCGUACUCGAUACGUUUCCUGUCAACACAAUACCUGCAAUGGUUUUGUUUGAUUCUGGAGCUUCUCACUCUUUCAUUUCAAAAAGUUUUGCUUUGCAAAAUAAUUUUUCGAUGCUCCCUUUGGAGAAAUCCAUGAUCAUCAAGUCCCCUGGGAUUCAGCAAGUUACUCAGAAUUACUGUCAGAAUGUGGUCAUUGAGUUCGAAGGAUUGAAGUUUCACACAAAUCUUAUUGUGUUGAAAAAUAAAGGACUGGAUGUCAUCCUAGGGAUGGAUUGGCUAGCCACCAAUAAGGGUUUUAUCGACUGUUAAUAGGACCGUAAUUCUCACACACCACCAAGGGAAGACAAUAAGAGUAUCAGCCAAGGAAGGAAAAAUACCCCGGCAACCGAGAUUAAAUAAGAUGGACGUUUCUGAGCUAAACAAGGUUCCAGUAGUGUGUGAAUUUCCAGAUGUAUUCCCUGAAGAACUACCAGGCAUGCCACCAGACCGAGAAAUAGAAUUCCGCAUUGAGCUAGCACCAGGAACCACCCCCAUAUACAAGAAACCAUACAGAAUGGCACCAUCCGAGUUGAUCGAGUUGAAGAAGCAAAUAAAGGAAUUACUGGAAAAAGGAUACAUUCGAGCCAGCUCCUCACCUUGGGGAUCACCAAUUUUAUUUGCCAAAAAGAAGGAUGGAACGCUGAGAUUGUGUAUCGACUAUCGAGCACUUAACAUGGUCACAGUCAAAAACAAAUACCCGAUGCCAAGGAUAAACGAUUUGUUUGAUCAACUCACUCAGGCCAAGGUAUUCUCAAAAAUUGACUUAAGGUCAGGAUACCAUCAAUUGAAGGUACGAACGGAAGAUAUCCCCAAAACAGCCUUCACCUCCAGAUAUGGACUGUACGAGUUCACAGUGAUGCCAUUUGGAUUAACUAACGCCCCAGCAUAUUUUGUUCACCUCAUGAACAAAGUAUUUAUGAAGUUUAUGGACAAGUUCGUCGUGGUAUUCAUCGAUGAUAUUCUGGUAUUCUCCAAGACACCAGAAGAGCACGCAGAACAUCUUAGGAUUGUGCUAGGAGAGCUAAGAAAACACCAAUUGUAUGCCAAGUUCAGCAAGUGCGAAUUUUGGCUAAGACAAGUAGGCUUUCUAGGCCACGUGCUGACCCAAGACGGUAUCGCAGUGGACCCAGAGAAAGUCAAGGCCGUACUUGGCUGGAAGUCACCAGCCAGCGUAACGGACAUUCGGAGUUUCUUGGGAAUGGCAAGAUAUUACCGCAUAUUUAUUGAAGGAUUUUCCACCAUAGCCAAGCCUAUGACACAUUUGCUCAAGAAAGAUAAGAAGUUUGAAUGGACAGAAGCCUGCGAGAAAAGUUUCCAAGAGCUAAAGCGGAAGUUAACGACAGCACCGGUAUUAAUUGUACCCGACAUACACAAGAAUUUUGAAGUAUAUUGUGACGCGUCCAGAAAGGGUCUCGGAUGCGUAUUGAUGCAGGAAGGCAAGGUUGUCGCCUACGCUUCAAGGCAACUUCGCAAGCAUGAGGAGAAUUAUCCCACUCAUGACUUAGAAAUGGCAGCAGUUAUUCAUGCACUCAAGGAAUGGAGGCAUUUCUUACUUGGGAAUCAAUGUGAAAUAUAUACGGAUCACAAAAGCCUCAAAUAUAUUUUCACGCAGCCAGAACUAAAUUUACGGCAACGACGUUGGUUGGAGUUGGUAAAAGAUUAUGAUGUUGGUAUCCAUUAUCAUCCAGGAAAGCAAAUGUAGUGGCCGAUGCCCUUAGUCGGAACCCCAGCUCCGACGAAAACAAUCUGCACAGCUUGAGGCCCGAAUUCCAACAAGAAUUUGCCAAGCUCAACUUGAUAAUGGUAGCAGAAGGCACCAUAUCAAACUUGGAAAUACAACCCAACCUUGUGGAGAAAAUUAAAGAAGCUCAGCCCGGUCACACCAGCAUCGAAGGCAUCAAAAGAAAGUUGAUUAUGGGCAAGGCCUCGGAAUUCGUAAUAGACAAUGAAGGAAUAUUAUGGUACGGAGAAAGGCUCUGCGUGCCAAACAUAGAAGACCUUAAGCAGCAAAUUUUAGCUGAAGCACACACCACUCCAUAUUCAAUUCACCCUGGAGGAACCAAAAUGUAUAAGGAUAUUCAGGAAAGGUUUUGGUGGCACGGUAUGAAGAGGGACAUAGCCACCUUCAUUGCAUGUUGCGACUCAUGUCAACGCAUAAAAGAUGAACAUCAGAGACCAGCCGGACUACUGCAACCUAACAAAAUACCUGAGUGGAAAUGGGAUGAAAUAGGGAUGGAUUUUAUUGUCGGACUACCUCGGUCACGACACGGGAAUGAUGCCAUAUGGGUCAUCACUGACAGGUUGACCAAAGUGGCACGUUUUAUUCCAGUGAAGACAACCUACAACACUCAGAGGCUUGCCAGGAUUUAUCUUUCCCGCAUAGUUUGUCUGCACGGUGUCCCGAAGACUAUAAUAUCCGACAGAGGCACUCAGUUUGUCUCAAGAUUUUGGGAGCAUUUACAACAAGCUCUGGGAACCCAACUAGCCUUCAGUACCGCAUACCACCUACAGACUGAUGGACAAACAGAACGCGUAAACCAGGUUUUAGAAGACAUGCUGAGAGCAUGUGUCCUCACAUAUGGAACCAGUUGGGAAGAAAGCCUGCCAUACGCCGAGUUCGCGUAUAACAAUAGCUACCAGACCAGCCUACAAAUGGCACCAUUUGAGGCUUUAUAUGGACGAAGAUGUCGUACCCCGUUAAAUUGGUCAGAGACCAAAGACAACCGCAUCUUCGGACCAGACAUGCUCAGAGAAGCCGAGAAAAAGGUCAAGCUAAUCAGAGACCGACUUAAGACCGCUCAAAGUCGACAGAAGAGUUAUUAUGAUCAGAAACAUCGAAGGGUCAGCUUCGAACCCGGUGAGUUCGUAUACCUGAGAGUAUCCCCUAUGAGAGGAUUGCAACGAUUCAAGAUUAAAGGAAAGUUAGCACCAAGAUUCAUAGGACCAUUCUGCAUAGUGGCACGAAGAGGCACUGUAGCCUACUAGCUAGACUUACCCGAGGAAUUAUCCGAUAUUCACGACGUGUUCCACGUCUCUCAAUUAAGGAAGUGCGCAAGCAACCCAGAGAAACAAGUAUCCCAUGAAAACAUUGACGUGCAGCCAGACCUCACUUAUCGGGAACGUCCCGUAAGAAUAAUAGAGGAGUCUGAAAGAAGGACCCGACAGAAGACCAUCAAGUUUUUCAAAGUCCAGUGGAGCAAUCACACCGACAGUGAGGCAACUUGGGAAAGCGAGGAUUUUCUUCGGACAGAGCAUCCACACUUAUUUAAGGAUCAGCUGAAAUCUCGAGGACGAGAUUUUUCCUAAGGGGGUAGGUGUUGUGACACUCCAAAAAAUUUAUUUGGUUUUUAUCAAAAACUUUGUGGUUUUGAAAAGAGGCCAUUUAAUUUUUUUUUCUACUUUCAGAAAAUCUUCCUCUUAAAAACUUCCUUUGCUUUGGCAAGGAUUUUAUUUUUUUUCAAACUUUGGUGUUUGAUCUUUUGAAAACUUCUUCUCUGUUGGUUCCCUCUCAAAUUCAUUUUUGGGAGUUUAAUCCUUUUUCUUUUAAAAUGAAACUCUAUGAAAAUUUGGGGAUUUUCAUAUCUUGGAACCACCCUUGACUUUGCAUUGUUCCCAUGUGGUAAAACCCCUCCAAAACCUCCCCUACACCUUGUGAUCAACCUAAGUUCUCUGUCCCAACUAAUCCAAACAAGUUUUGGAUUUUAUUCUAAUUAUUUUUCCUCUCAUAUCAAUUCUGAAAAUUAUUUGGAGCCUGAGGGAUUUUCAAAGCAAGUACCCUAUUGCAUUUGAGUUUUGACCUCAAACCAACUCUCCUGGAUAGUCCUUUGUACCCACAACUCAGAACCAUCUUGAUCCACUCCUCUUUUCAAAUUUUUCAAAAUUCAGUCUCUGCAAGUUUGGACCAGAUUUGCCAAAUUUGAUGAAAUUCAUAUCUACCCUCCUCCAAAUAUUCCACCAAAAUUCAGGCAACCUAUUUGAGCAAUGAGAAGCCAAUCCACCAAGUUUCAGCUCAAGGAAAAAUCCCCAAAGGCCAAAUUCAUUCUGUCGAACACCUUGCAUGCACUGUUGCUGUUCAAAAUUCAGAAAAUUCAGUUUCAGUGUCAUCUUGCGUUCGUCAGUUUCACUCACGCGUUCACAGUGCACUUGGCACGUUCCUCGUAGCCCCUCCCUCUUGUCCGGAGCUUCACACGCGUGCGUGGAGCCUUCCUGGCGUCGGUGGCGCGCUGGCCCGCCCUCGCCGGCGUCUUCUGAGGCGUCGGGACCUCCCGUGGCGGCCGACAGAAGGCACACCACGGCAGAACGCCGUUCAGCGCCGCCCAAAGCCCCUUGGCUCUCCGCGUGUCCCUGCCGUGCCAGCGCACGCCCGUGGCACCGUCGUCGUGGCCCGGCAAGCACGGAACGUGCUCCCUGUCGCCGACGGGCCGCGCCACCCCCGUUCCGUCGAGCUCACCCAUAACGCCAAACCCCAGCCCGUUUAGCGCCUAAAUGGGACCGGUGGACCUCAACGGCCUGCCCAAGCCCCUAACCCCCCUGCACAUCCACGGCACCGCCGUAAUCACUCGCCGGAGAUCCCCGUUCAUGGCAACCGCCUCGGGCCGCCUAUAAAAAGGGCCCCCGAGCACACCCUCGUGCACGCCUCAUCCCCACUCCUCACCAACGCCACGCCAGGCCACUAGGGGGACCCCGAGGAGGUCUCCCCCCCAACUCCGGCCGCCCCGAUCCGCCUCGGCCUCCACCACGAUUCGCUCCGGUGAGGCCGUCUCCGGCGCCCAAACCCCGUCUGUUACUCUCUCUAGCUACCAGGAGCCUAACCCCCUUGUCAAUUUUACCUCUGCAGCCCUCUCCGACGAAUUCCUCGACCACCCGAGCCGCCGUCCGCCGGAGCAAAGCUCGCCGUCGACGUGGUACUCGCCGGCGACCACCACCAGCACCAACCGACGCGGAAUGGCGCCCUGAGCACGGAGGUACCCUCCGAUCCCCCUGCCUCGCCGUGGAUCGCCGCCGGCGACCACCGCGGCUCUCGGGCGCCGACGAGCUCCGUUUGCCUUUUUUUUAAAUUCAAACCUGACGCGUGGGACCCCACCGUCAGCCUCUCUGCUCUCUCUGUUGAAACGUUUUCUGGAAGCGCCUUCGGGCAAAGUACGUUUUCCCUUUGAGCUAGCGUAGUUUCUGCCGAAGCGUUUUCUGUUUUUAUAAGCUAGCCCCUGGAAACUUUCUGUUUCAUUACAGAUGAGUCCCUGGGCAAAAACCCUUAUAACUUUUAAACAGAAAAGUAUUUUUGAUUGAUUCUUUUUCUGUUCUCUUUAAAAUUUUGUCUAGUUUUUUAUCAGAUUUAUUUGAAAAAUAUUUGGUUUACUUUCUGUGCACUCCUUGGUAUUUACGAUAGCGCAUAUAUAUUCUUUAUACCGUAGAUACCGAAGGAGGUGACGGAGCCGCGAACUUCACCGAGCUAGGCUCCGACUACUCUGAACCAGGCAAGCAUGUUUGAACUUUUGAUAUGAUGAGUGUCUUGGCAUGUUUUGCAUUUAGUUAGUUUUAUGGCAUGUUGAGAAGCAUAUCGAUGAACGUUAUUUUAUGCGAUAAUGAGGUAAGUGAGUUCGAUGAUCCAUAAGUGGAUGGAUGUAAGUAUGAAUGGCCAUGUGUUGGCAUGAGGAUGGGUGAGAUGGCAGUGUUGUAGCAUGCCAGUCUUAUGCCAGACUAUGUGACUUCAGUGUCAAACCGUAUCGGUCCAGUUCCUCUCAUUUCCUUCCCUGUACUACCACAUGUUUUCCGCAAGGAAUAUGGUUUAGUAAGUUGCAAACCGCUUUUCUGGUACACACCAAAAAGGAGAGGCCGUGAUGAUGGUUCCAUGGCCCUGGAUUAAAGCUAGUCAUCCGGUCAGGGGGCAUGGGUGUUUCCGGUUGGGACCGAGAGUGGGGCACCCCUUAGAGCGCGCGUAUAUAAAUUUGAUCCCAUGCUAUUCGAGAUUGUGAUCUCCCCGUCUCAAAAGUUUUUCUUGGACGAUGUCUAGGGUGAUUCCUAGCAUCGAGAGGUAGGAUGGGUGUGUACUGGUUAGCUGUGUUUUCUUUCGAAAUACCGUAAACGGAACUAGUCCUUCGUGACUACGGAAAUCCGUUGGCUGUGGGAAAAAAAAAUUGUACAAACUCUGCAGAGUCAUAUAUUCCUCCAAAUCAUCUAUUCCCUGUCCUAGACCGAUAUUAUCUUAUCCUAAUCAAAUGUCAGUUUUGAUGACAGAGACUCCGGUGAAUCGCAUGAGUGCUAAGUCCGGUUAAACGAAUAUUCCUGUGGAUGGACUAACCCAUUUAUUCUCAAGAAUUAAAUGUUUAUUAUGAGUAUUAUUUACUUGUGAAUAAAAGCCCUUUCUGCGAUGUCGCUCAGACGUCCGACUAUGGCAUUGUUGUAUUUUACUUUCUGUCAAAGCCCUUUCUGUGAUGUCGCCCCGACGUCCGACUGUGGCAUUUCUUUUUAAAGCCCUUUCUGUGAUGUCGCCCCGACGUCCGACUGUGGCAUUUCUUUUGAAGCCCUUUCUGUGAUGUCGCCCCGACGUCCGACUGUGGCAUUUCUUUUAAAGCCCUAUCUGUGAUGUCGCCCCGACGUCCGACUGUGGUAUUUCUUUUAAAGCCCUUUAUGUGGUGUCGCUAAGACGCCCGACUGUGGCAUCAUUUCCUUAUAUUUAUAUGUUCACCUUUCGAGGCGUCGCUUCAGACACCCGAUCGGUAUUCAUUUAUGUUUGGUGGGGAUUUCAGGCGGACUACCGCCGUUUCCCUUUUACCUACCUUGUUAUGCUAAUUUUUGAUUGUACAUUGGUGAAUUAUUCAUGACGCAUCCAUGCAUGCAUUUGUUAUAUCUUACGUCCGAACUGUCUUGCGAGUACUUUCAAAGUACUCACUGGCUUGUUGAUUUGGCCAGAUGCUGACGAAGGCGAUCUCAUGGAUGAAGAGUUUGAUAGUGAGUCCGACACCUAGAGGAGUCCCAGUCAGUCUCGUGUGACCCUGGAUUUGGUCACUGUUUUAUAUCCGCUUCCGCUACCAAAUAAAUUCAUCGAGCCUCACCUCGACGCUCGAUGAGAUGAUAGACUUAGAGUCUUGUAUUUCUCUCCCCGCUGUGUUUCUCCGCCACCGCCAUAUCCUCGAGUCAGUAGUAUGCCUCCACACCACUGUGUCAUGUCCGCCAUUAUGUAUAAUGAUUGGCGUGCUUGUAAUAAUUUGGUUGAGCAACCGCAGUUCAACCCUGUAAUAUAUUUUAUGCUACUGGCUUAUUGUAUCAAGAAUCUGUCUACCAGUGAGGAGGAUUUCUCUCAUACUGGACUCAAAAGAUUGGUUUCUCAAUAAAUAUUUUUAUUGGAAAACCGGUCGUGACACCGAAGAGGAUCCGGACAUAAAGGUGGAGCUAAUUGACGGGGUGUUCUAUCAACUCAGCAUGGACAAUGCUCUAGUCGCCAUUACGGCUGACUACCCCGGCUUAUCUUCGGCUUCCCAGGUAAUUAUGACCGGAGUCCUGACAACAUUACUUCAUCCUUGCGUAUUUCUAACCACCGUAUACGACAGUGUCUUGCAGGAGGUGCCUUCAAGGCAGGAAGGCGAACCCGCGGCGGCUGAUCAACAAGGGUCAGUCCGGCCCAGCAGGCGGAAGAGGGGUGCGGUGUGAAUCGAAACGUCACCGCAACGGUAUAGCUCGCGACCGUUGUUUAGGAAAAAGAUUCCUAGGAGGUGUAUUAAUGCUCAUGACUUUUCCAGGAGAAAGAGCGCUCGCAGGACUGUGCCCGGAGAGGUUGCCAACCAAGCCUCCGAUAGCCAAGCUCCAACACCAGGUCCGGAGGGGGAGGCAAGUGCAAGGCGCGAGCCGGAUACUCCUCCAACGGAGGAUGCCGACAGGCUGUCCGCCACCAGGUCUGAGGUGGAGAGCGCCAUGAAUCAUAGGCGCCGCCGGACAGUUCUUCGUGACGCGUGUUUCUCCCUAGAGGCAUUAAAUGCCUUUAACACGGGAUACGCGCACCUCCGUGCCGCUCAAGAUGGUUUAACCAGAGCCACGGAGCAGUAUGUAAAAGACAUACGGGUAAAGGAUUUUAAUAGUUGUAUAUGCCAGUAGCCCCCGAGACUUAAAGUAGUUAAAAUAACUGAUUUAAGGAUCAUUUGAUAUGCAGGAUCUCAUGGAGAAGAAUGCCCAAUUGUCUCAGGAGCUACAAGGGUGCAAGGCCCAACUUGAGGCCGCACUAGCCGCCGCAGGAGGAGACACCGAGACCCCCUCCGGUAACACAUAUUUCGAAAAGAUAAGCAGUGUGCGGCGUGCGUAUAAGUCUAACAAUAAUAUUGUAGAUGUUGCCGGACUUGAUCUGGACAAGCAACAGCUACUGCGCCAGCUGAAGGCCGGUGAGAGGGUGCUUAUGAAGGUGCAGCAGGAGAGGAACAAACUCCAAGAUGCCCACACCCAGCUUGGAGAAGAGCUAAAAGGUGUUCGGGCCCAGCUGUCUGGCUCCGUGAAGGAGAAUCAGCGGCUUCGUCGCGGCAUCUAUAGUAAGUGCUUGAGCAAACUCUUUUGAAAAGAAGAGUUCGACGAGGAAGUCAAUUGACAGAAAUAUGUCUGUAGGUGUGCUCACAGGUCGCCCUGUGGAGGAAAUGCCCGGUUCAACCGGUGACCAACUUCCCGAGCUGGUGCAACUGCUCGAACGUGUUCGGCAGGCGAUGAGUGGCGUCGUCCAGGCCUUAUGGCCGUCCGUCUCCCUACCCGAGGGCCUUGGAGAGCUUGCGGAGAAGCUUCAGGGAGCACGGCAGCGCUUCCGUUUAUGGAAGAUAUCGGCCUGCCGUCAAGGUGCCAGGGAGGCCUGGGCCAUGGUGAAGACGCGGUACAAGAAGGCGGAUCCAAACCACAUGGCCAAGGUCGGACCUGUGGGGCCCGAUGGGAAGGGGAUCCCUGUGAGCUUAGCGGACAGCCAAGUAGAGUUGGCCGCUAAGUAUUCCCAACGGGACUGUAAAUUAGACAGCCUAUUAGACGGGAUUGAGGAGGAGUACAGUCAGUCGAUUUGACAAUGUAUUUAAAAUGACAUGUAAAAUGCCUUCUAGCCGGAUUGUAGAUUGUUUGUCUUUGCUGACCUUUUCGCUUCAACCUCGGGACCCUAGAGUCCGGAGUGUGUCCGAAUACCUUCUCGGUUAUGAAAAACCGGGGCAUGCAUGGAGACCAAGCGUAGGGGUCAUUAGUGCUUUAUCAGACAAGUGCCCAACUAGUUAUGUUAUAUUAUAUGGUUAGUAAGAAACAUCUUACAGGGAGAAUAGUUCCGUUAAGGGUUCCUUUCCCUGGGAGGCAUGCCCUAAAGUGCAUGUCCGGACUGCGAAAAGAGCAGGAAAACAUCUGGGGGCAGAUAAAUAAAUAUGUAAAAAAUCAUCUUUCAAGUCACCGACCGAAUAUUCCCUUAAGAACGCUAGCUUUCGGCUUCACCCAGUCUGAGGUACACAUCCGGCUGACCCGGCAGUAGCAAUCGCAGAGGUGCUCCCUUUACCUCCUAGCCGAACAAUCGGGAAUGUAGGGGUAAGCACAGGAGCCAGGCAACCCAGCUUGUCCAAAACUUAAGUCAUAUCGAUGCAUAUAAUGGUGAAUAAAAGGUACAUGCGGAAGUUUGACACAUGUGUUGGGCAUAAAGCCCGUAUAAGUAAGCUUCUGUUAAAGAAGCCCCCAGCUAUAAUGAGUGCGGGUAGCACAUCAAGUGUGUGCGAACAAUGCGCAAAUCAGCCCUCAAGGGCUUUAUGAAAAAGGUGGGAGAAAAGAGAGAAACAAAAGACAGCUGAAGUGUAAAAAUGUGGACGGAGGAAGGAGACGAACUCUGAGUCCGGCGCUAGGCGUAGAAUCUUCGGAGGCGGGCUGCGUUCCAUGGGUUCGGCUCGAGUCGGUUGUCCGAUGCGUCUUCGAGCCUGCUGCUAAUAGAAUGCGGAACGAGCCUUGGCCAGGUCGCGCGCCUCCUCCAAUGCGUCCAAGCUGUCCUGUCGAUCCAACUUGGCUUCUCUUUCUUCGUACAUGCGCACUCGAGGUGAGUCAUGAAUUAUGUCGCAGGGCAAAACUGCCUCUGCGCCGUAUACCAUAAAGAAUGGUGUGAACCCGGUAGUACGGUUUGGCGUGGUCCGCAGCCCCCAGAGUACGGAGUCGAGCUCCUCUACCCAGUGCGUGUUAGAUUACGUAAGGGACCACACUAAUCUGGGUUUGAUGCCGCUCAUGAUUAGACCAUUUUCUCGUUCAACUUGACCGUUGGUUUGAGGGUGAUAGACUGAAGCGUAGUCGAGCUUAAUGCCCAUAUUUUUGCACCAGAGUUUAGCCUCGUCGGCCGUGAAGUUCAUGCCGUUAUCGGUGAUGAUGCUGUGGGGGACACCGUAACGGUGUACUACCCCGGAUAUGAAGUCUAUCACAGGUCCGGAUUCGGCCGUUUUAACUGGCUUGGCCUCUAUCCAUUUGGUGAAUUUGUCCACCAUGACCAAUAGGUAUUUUUGCUUGUGGGUUCCCCCUUUAAGGGGUCCAACCAUGUCAAGCCCCCAGACCGCAAACGGCCAGGUGAUGGGUAUAGUUUUGAGGGCGGUGGGUGGCAUGUGGCUCUGAUUAGCAAAGAGCUGACAACCGACGCAUCGUUGGACUAAGUCCUGAGCAUCUGCCCGGGCCGUCGGCCAAUAAAAUCCUGUACGGAAGGCCUUACCUACAAGGGCCCGGGCUGCAGCGUGGUGUCCGCCUAGUCCGGCGUGAAUUUCAGCCAGAAGAUUUCGCCCUUCCUCUUCGGAGAUACACCUUUGAAGGACUCCGGUUGCGCUUUUCUUAUAAAGUUCCCCCUCAUGGACCUUGUAGGCUUUAGAUCGCCGAUCUAUGCAGCGGGCCUCAUUUUGGUCUUCGGGAAGUUCCUGCCUAAUUAAGUAGGCUAGGAAUGGUUCCGUCCACGGGGCAAUGACUGCCAUUAUUUCGUGGGCGGAAGGUGUUAUGUCAUUGGCUGAGCCACCGGUUGUGUCGGAAUGUUCGGUGUUGGGCGGUGCAGUUGGUUCCGGAUUGUUGUUUCCGGACUCCUCUUCCCAUACUACGGAUGGCUUAAAGAGCCGCUCCAGGAAGAUGUUUGGAGGGAUGGCGUCGCGUUUCGCGCAGAUGCGUGCCAACACGUCGGCCGCCUAGUUAUUGUCCCGGGCUACAUGGUGGAAUUCGAGUCCUUCGAACCGAGCUGACAUUUUUAAGAUGGUGUUAUGGUAGGCUGCCAUUUUUGGAUCUUUGGCAUCGAAGUCUCCGUUUACUUGUGAUAUUGCGAGGUUUGAAUCCCCGCGUACCUCGAGGCAUUGAAUGCCCAUGGAGAUUGCCAUCCGGAGACCAUGCAGAAGGGCCUCGUAUUCGGCUGCGUUGUUGGAGUCUAUGUACAUUAUUUGAAGUACGUAUUGGACUGUGUCUCCGGUUGGGGACGUCAAAACGACGCUAGCCCCCAAGCCGGCCAACAUUUUAGAGCCGUCGAAAUGCAUGAUCCAAUUGGAGUAUGCGCCAUACUCUUUAGGGAGUUCGGCUUCAGUCCAUUCAGUGACGAAGUAAGCCAAGACUUGCGACUUUAUAGAUCGCCGUGGUUUGUAGGUUAUGUCAAAUGGUAAGAGCUCAAUGGCCCAUUUUGCAAUCCUGCCCGUCGCGUCGCGGUUGUUUAUGAUGUCGUUGAGGGGUACUUCGGAUGCCACUGUUAUCGAACACUCUUGAAAGUAGUGUCACAGCUUCCGGGAUGCCAUGAACACCACGUAUGCUAUUUUUUGAUAAUGCGGGUACCGGGACAAGCAGGGAGUUACGACAGUGGAUACGUAGUACACUGGUUUUUGAAGAGGGAAUUUAUGCCCUUCUGUUUCUCGUUCGACGACGAGCACCGCGCUUACAACUUGAUUUGUUGCCGCGAUAUAUAACAACAUUGGUUCGCCCAGGUUAGGCGCGGCCAGGACCGGAUUUGUUGCCAAUAUGGCCUUUAUUUCUUCGAGUCCGGCAGUGGCAGCAUCCGUCCACUCAAAGUGUUCGGUGCGCCUGAGGAGGCGAUAGAGGGCCAAUGCCUUUUCUCCCAAACGGGAGAUGAAGCGGCUUAGAGCCGCCACACAUCCAGUCAAUUUUUGUAUUUGUUUGAGGUCUUUUGUAAUAUCCAGCUGUGAUAGAGCUCGGAUCUUGGCUGGGUUUGCUUCAAUUCCUCUACCGGAUACAAUGAAGCCCGGGAGCUUUCCAGCUGGUACGCCGAAAACGCAUUUUCCGGGUUCAGCUUAAUGUCAUAUGCUCGGAGGUUGUCGAAUGUGAGCCUCAAGUCGUCUACUAGAGUUUCGACGUGUUUGGUUUUGACGACCACGUCGUCUACGUAUGCCUCUACUGUUUUGCCGAUCUGGGUAGCCAGACAUGUCUGGAUCAUGCGCUGAUAUGUUUCGCCGGCGUUUUUGAGUCCGAAGGGCAUCGUGUUGAAGCAGAAUGGUCCGUAUGGAGUAAUGAAUGCCGUUAUGGCUUGGUCCGCCUCUGCCAUCUUGAUUUGAUGGUACCCGGAGUAUGCGUCGAGGAAGCACAAUGAAUCGUGCCCUGCAGUAGCAUCGAUUAUUUGAUCGAUGCGGGGAAGGGGGAAAGGAUCCUUUGGGCAAGCCUUGUUGAGGUCUUUAAAAUCGACACAUAGGCGCCAAGAUUUGUCCUUCUUUGGUACCAUUACCAGGUUUACUAGCCAGUCCGGAUGUUUGAUGUCUCUGAUGAAUCCGGCUUCCAAUAGUUUGGCUAGCUCCUCUCCUAUUGCCUGUCUUUUGGGUUCGGAAAAUCGCCGAAGAGCCUGUUUGACUGGCUUGAAUCCUUUUAGGAUGUUUAGGCUGUGUUCUGCCAAUCUGCGUGGGAUUCCUGGCAUAUCUGAGGGGUGCCAGGCAAAGAUGUCCCAAUUCUCCCGAAGGAAUUCUCCUAGUGCGGCGUCUACAUCAGGGUUUAACUGUGCCCCAAUGGAGGCCGUCUUUGUUGGGUCCGUUGGAUGGACCUGGAAUUUGACUAUUUCGUCCGCUGGUUUAAAAGAGGUGGACUUGGAUCUCUUAUCGAGUAUCUAAUCAUCCCUGUUCACCGUAGAGCGCAGCGCAGUGAGUUCCUCCGCCGCUAGGGCUUCGGAUAGUGCCUCUAGGGCUAAUGCGGCUGUCUUUUUUUCGGCGCGGAGUGCUAUGUCCGGAUCACUGGCAAGGGUGAUGGUUCCAUUGGGCCCGGGCAUUUUAAGCUUCAUGUACCCGUAAUUGGGUAUGGCUUGGAAAAUUGUGAAUGCCUCUCGUCCUAAUAAAGCGUGAUAUCCACUGCUGAACGGGGCCACUUGGAACGUGACCUCCUCGGACCUGUAAUUGUCCGGCGAGCCGAACACCACAUCAAGUGUGAUUUUUCCUGUGCAGCGUGCUUCCCGGCUAGGGAUUAUUCCUCUAAAGGUUGUGCUGCUUCGCUCAAUGCGGCUCCAGUCUAUUUCCAUUUUUUGAAGGGUUUCCUCGUAGAUGAGGUUUAAUCCGCUGCCGCCAUCCAUGAGUACCUUGGUGAGACGAAAGCCGUCCACUAUUGGACUGAGGACCAAUGCGGUUGGUGCUCGGGCUGUUUAGAAUUUAGGUUCGUCGCUGGCGUUGAAGGUGAUGGCCGUGUCGCUCCAUGGAUUUGUUGUUGCUACUUGGUAGACUUCGGCGAGGCUGCGGAUUGUUCUUUUCCGCAUAUUAUUUGAUGCGAAAGUCUCGAAGACUGUUAAUAACGUACUGGUACUGUUGGGGUGGGUCUCCGGGGCUAGAAGCUCUUCGCCACUUUUGGCCACCUGCCGCAAUAUCCAACUUGCUCGAAGGCUAUGAGUUGGAGUGGCGCCCUCUGUACUAUGAAUUUUACAGGGUCCGCUGAGCCAUCCCUCCAGUACGGUUCCGUGCCCUUUAUGGGGUUUUUGCUUUUUGGUUCUUGUCCUGGGUGCCUGAGCAUGGUGCACCCUUUUGUUUCGGACUAGGGUUGUGUUCGGAGCCGGAUUGUCCCAAAACUUAGUUUCGGUUUUCCGGACACUCUCCAUCGCACAGUAUUUUCGUACUAUGGAUGCCAGGUCGGCGAAGCGUGUAAUUUCAUGACGACUUACGGCGUUCAAGAUUCCCUUGUCCGUGCAAUUGUUGCAGAAAAUUGAAAUUGCGUUUUCCUCAUGGCAGUCCUUUAUCCUGUCCAUAACCAGGAGGAAUCUGGCCCAGUAAUGAUGUACUAUUUCCGCGGGCUCUUGCCGGAUUUGAGAUAGAUCGCAUAUGUUUGGGUGGGUGGGUGGAAUUGAGUCCGGAACCCUGCCCAUCUUGAGGCUCAAAGGCCGAAAAGUUUCCGAAUUUGGAAGCUUGGAUUGCUGGACAUUGUCCGACGAGUCUGGUCUGCUGCCGAGCCUUCUGGAGCGAGCUGCUCUCUCGGAGGAGCAUCGUUCAUUAAUGGGCACGGUGCUCGAGAAGAUUUCGUCCACCAAAAGCGGUUUGAAUGAAGCUUUUACGAGCCUGCUCAGAGGCUUUGAGGUAUGUAAUGAAAAAUACUUAAUUUUUGGCUGUGACACACUCGCUAGGUGUGCUCCAUAUGGAUAGUAGCCCCUGAUACUCUGGUUGCCCGCCCUAGGCGGCAAACGGAGGAUCAUAUUGUUUAAGUAAUGAUUGUGCUGUAUUUAUGCGCAGGUGUCUAAGGAUCCAACAGCCGACCAGUCCGUUGAAGUUUCCGAACUAAGGAGGCAGAUUGGAGCUAUUGAUGCCGAUAUCACACUGGUGAACGAGCCGCUUAACGAGUCACAAGGUAUGUGUUCUGCUUUCAGUAUAAUUUUUAAUAGGAAAAACUGAGAGGAGCAUAAUGCUAAUGUUAUAUGCUCGGACUGCAGACGGUGCUGCUGCCGUGGAAGCCCUGAGGGCGAAACUUGCCCUGGCCAAGGAACAUGCCCGGGCAAGCAAUGCAGCUGCCCUAAAGGCGGCCGAAGAGUGGAGCUAGAAAAUGCUGCCAACCGGUAUGAGCUUCUUGAAAAAGAGAAUCAUGCGAAUAAGGCUGACCUGAAGAAGGCCCUUGAUGCAGCCAAGGAGACGCGUUCCGACAUUAGGGAUGCGCGGGAGGAGCUUCGACAGGCCGGAGAAAUCGCGGAAGGAAACCCCUAUUUGUUGCUGAUGAAGUUUUUAGAUCCGAAGUACGCUGCUCUGGAUCGACGCUGGAGUCCUGCAGACGCCUAUGUGGAUUUGGCGAAGAGUAUGGUUGAUGCAGCCAAGUUUUUUGAGGAUAAAAAAGAUGAUGAAGUGGAAAAGCUGUUUUGGUCGCAGUUCAGCGCUCCAACGCGAACAUUGCCGUUGAGUGAGAAGAUGGCUGCUGUGGCCGAGCUCCACAGGCUGUCCAGUCUUGCAAUGCGGUCUGUAAUAGACCAUCUAUGGCCGAAGGGGCCUAAGCCAGAUAGUUAUUUUGGUUUAGUGCAACAAUUCCUUGGUGCCGUAUCGCGGAUCGAUGCCAUGAAGAGGUCGGCGUGUAUAGAGGGUGCACGGAUGGCUCAUGCCCGUGUUAAAGCAUACUGGAUAGAUAUGGAGGCCACCGUCGUUGCGACCCAGACUCCAGCGGGGGGCCAGGAUCCGGCCGAGCACAUCUUGGAGCAGGUAGCAGAGGGUGCUCGCUUAAUAGAGGCUCAGUGCUCGAAGAAUGUCAUGUUCGAGUGACAAAUCGUGUCAUUGUAAAAACAACAUUGUUUUGAUUAUGGAGUCUAUAUUUAUACUUUUUGCCCGAAAGUAUUAUUGUGCCUCCCGUGCGGCCGUUUUUAUGUAUAUGUGUAAUCUGAAAGUUAGCAGUCGUUGGCUUCAGCCCCCACGCAUACAAUGCGGGGGUAUGCGCGAAAAAUAUGCAUAAUCACACUUGAUCCAACGUCAUGGUCCAUUAAGGAGGUGAUCGCUCGUCGAACUAGGCAACCAGACUAUAUAGCUGUAACACUUUCACUUAGCCAUAGGAGUUUGACGGUGGGGCUAUUAUGUAUCCCCUGGUACCUUUGCGUGCAUCUGAAUACGGGCACGUGUGUACAUGACCAGGAGACGGUCCUUCGUUAAUGCGGAGGAAUCCUAAAGAUUCCGAUAAGUCUUCGCGUGGUUGAACAGUCUCUCGCUAUAUCAUGAUAGUCAGUUUUUGGCUUUCUCUACUGAGGUGCUCAUCCGGAAUAACCAGGGCACAAUCACAGUAGUUCUCCUUUGGCCGCCUUGGCCGAUAAGAAUAGAACAUAAGGCGGCAAACCCAGGAGCCAGGCAAACCCAACAUUUGACCGAAGACAUGAUUCGGAGAUGAUGCAUGUAAGGCCAAACUCGCGACGCCGAACACUCCCGAAGGUAUUCGGACUUGAUAACAUAUGCUGGGCUGAGUAACGCCCUUUAUUAUGAACUCUGUAUUUCCAGGUACGAGAAUUAGUCUGCCGUGGCGAAAUGCCAAUACCGGCAAUAUCCUCUGUGGGUGUAGUUCCCAUGGGAUGUGUGAACAACAAGAUAAAAUAAAAAGGUUUAGACAGGGGCUUAAUCUAAAGAGAAACCUUUGAGCGAGGCCCUACUGCACGUCUGCGCCUUUGUCUCCGUUGUGCCGUGUCCUGGUAGGGUACCGCACGAAUGGUGUCUGUAAAAAGAAAAACUCAUGUAGAAGAGCGUGACGUAAGCGUGCGAAGAGUUGGCUAUCACUAAUGGAUUGUAAAAGUGAAAAGUCAUUGGCCUGUUAAUAGGGUGAGGCAAAAGGUGGGCUUUAUUGAAUAUUUGAAGCCCCUGGUGUCCUCUAUGGGAUUACAUGUGUAGCGCCUAGAUCAGGCUGAUCUGGGCUGCCGGACUCGUCUAACCGUGUCCGUGGUCUUAACGACCACUCAUGCUUUCUGGUAUUAGAGGCCGCUUAGAGUCCGGCUGCUGGAGCCGCCGCGUAUUCCUCCCCGCGUAAGGAACGCUCUGUGUUUCCGUUAACGAUGAUGACGCCACGUGGAUCGGGCAUCUUGAGUUUAAGGUAGGCGUAAUGCGGUACUGCGUUGAAGUGGGCGAAGGCCGUUCUCCCAAGCAAUGCAUGAUAGCUGAUUUGGAGGGUGGCGAUGGUGAAGAGUAGUUCUUCGCUUCUAGAGUUGCCUGGGGAACCGAAUGUUACCUCCAGUACGAGGGAGCCCCUGCUGUAGGCUUCAAUGCCUGGUAUCACCCCUUCAAAGGUGGUGUUACUUUGGCUGAUUCUGGAUGGGUCUACCCCAUCAUGCGAAUAGUGUCCUGGUAUAUUAGAUUAAGACUACUGCCGCCGUCCAUGAGGACGUGAGUAAGAUGUUAUCCAUCGAUUAUUGGGUCGAGCACCAAGGCAUCUGAUCCUCCAUGCUGAAUACUAGUCAGGCAGUCCCUGUGAUCGAAAGUGAUUGGGCAAGCCGACCAGUGGUUAAAUUUGGGUGCGACGGUCCCUAUAGCAUAUGCGUCUCUGAGCGCGCAUUUGCGCCUUCUCGUGGAUGUGCGAGUCGCGUGGAUCAUGUUUACUGUUUUUACCUCUGGUGGGAAUUUUUUCUGUCCCCCAGUGUUCGGCUGGUGAGGCUCAUCCUCGUCUUCACUUGGUGUUUCCCUUCCCUUGUGUUCGGCAUUUAAUUUGCCGGCCUGUUUGAAGACCCAACAUUCUCUGUGAGUGUGAUUCGCAGGCUUUUCGGAGGUGCCAUGAAUUUGGCACAGCCUAUGCAGGACUUUGUUCAGGCCGGACGGUCCCUCUUUGCUGCCUUUAAAUGGCUUCUUUUGUUGACCGGGUCGAGAGCCCCUGAAUACGGCGUUGACAGUUGUGUUGUCUGGACUUUCUUCCUUGUUUUGACGUUUGUUUUUAUUGCGCCGUGGCUUCCAGUUGCCAUCCCUGAUUUCGGAUGUACUUGGGUCGCUGGUGCCUUUACGGGCCAACCAGCUAUCUUCACCUGCGCAAAAGUGGGUCAUAAGGCUUGUUAAGGCUGCCAUUGUCCUCGGCUUUUCUUGGCCGGGGUGUCUGGCGAGCCACUCGUCCCGGAUGUUGUGUUUAAAGGCCGCUAAGGCUUCGGCAUCCGGACAAUCGACAAUUUGAUUCUUCUUAGUGAGGAAUCUGUUCCAAAGCUUGCGGGCGGACUCUCUGGGCUGUUGAAUUAUGUGACUGAAAUCGUCCGCGUCCGGAGGCCGGACGUAGGUCCCUUGAAAAUUGGCCCUGAAAGCAUCCUCGAGUUCCUCCCAACUUCCGAUUGAAUUUUCGGGGAGGCUUUUCAACCAGUGUCGAGCUAGUCCCUUCAACUUGAGGGGAAGGUAUUUGAUGGCAUGGAGGUUGCCCCGACGAGCCAUGUGGAUAUGCAGGAUAAAAUCCUCGAUCCAGACCCCGAGGGUCUGUCGUUCCGUCAUAUGCCUCUAUGUUCACAGGUUUAAAACCCUGUGGAAAUUCGUGGUCCAGCACCCCUUCGGUGAAGCACAGGGGGUGAGCAGACCCUAUGUAUCUGGACGUUUUGUGGUAUGCCAUCGGCUGUUGUUGUGUUCGGUACUGAUUCCAAACUGGUAUCCGAUCAGUCUGAUCGUUUUGGUGACCAUAGUCCUGCGCCGGGGCGUGUCCUUUAGAUCCGUAGAUGGACCUGGCCGCGUUGGCCUUUUUAUCUAGGAGCUCACAUAAAUCGUGUGCAGCGUCAGUAGCUGCUCUAUUGCGGUUACGAAGUGGUUUGUCCGGCCUCCUGGCCGUAUUGUUCUUCGGCGGAACGGCCUCAUCGUCGAAUUCUGGCAGCAGCUUGCGUUUUGGAUAGCUCUUUGUGUAUCGAUCGUCGCCGUACUUUUCUUCAGUGUCUAGCACUUUAUUCCAUCUGCGAUUGAGCAUUUCCUGUGCGACCUUAAGCCUUUGCUUCUGCUUCUUUAGACUUCUCGCAGUGGCCAUAAGCCUUCUGUGGAGGUUAUCUCGCUCCAAGCGUAUUUCCGGGAUGAUGAAUGCAUCAUCAUUAGGACUGUGCUCUUGUCCCAGGGCGGUUUGAUGAGUUCGUCCCUCGUGAUCAUUGUGAUCGGGCGUCUGCUCCGAGCUGUGUUCAACGUGACCUGGCUCAUCCCGCUCCAUUGCUGGGUCCAUAUGGUCGUUGUUGCCCUUGGAGUUGACUAGGGUGUCAAUCUUUCUAGCGCUGUUAUCGCUAUUUUUACUGUUGCUGGACUUGGAGCGGCGUCUGCGCCGUCGUUUUGGCUUUUGUCCGAGGGUUUUAUCCUCCAGUUUGUCGCCGUCGUCCUCCUUAGGUGUAUCCACCAUGUAUAUAUCGUAUGACGAGGUGGCGGUCCAGCGCCCCGUUGGUUCUGAAUCGUCUCCUGUGCCGACGUCCAUACCAUCGGUAUCAUUGGAGCCGAGGUCAAGUAUGUCUGAUACAUCGUCGACAAUGGCUAUGAAGUGGGUGGUGGAUGGGAAACGGAUUUCUCCGUCACCUUCUUCCCCCUUGAGCCGGACAUAGUUCGGCCAAGUGUCUCCCGACAAAGCGAGAGACUUUAAUGAGUUCAGCAUGUUGCCAAAGGGCGAGCACUAGAAGAUAUCCGCAGCGAUAAACUCCAUUACCGGAGCCCAACCAGAUUCGGCGGGCUCGGGGGUGCGCGGACUGGAACCUACAGCCGGAUACGAGUCCGGGGGUCCGGUGUCACAAGCUUCCUUGGGGGUGAAGUCUGUGUUUGGUUCUACCACCGAUGGGUGUGCAGCCUCCGGGGCGGGGUCCAUCCACCCGCCCUUGGGCGACGCAAUCUGCCCCGGAUUUAGGUUCGAGAUUCCUACAGGGGCGAUAUCCCAAGCAUUGUCCGACAGCAGGUCUAGGCCGUGCUCAUCGUGACUGUCCGGCGCUCCUGGCGCAGGCCCAAAUCCGUUGAAGAUCAAGUCUCCGCGGAUAUCGGCCGUGUAGUUCAAGUUUCCGAACAUGACCUGGUGGCCAGUGGCGUAGCUGUCAAUCUGAUCCAGAUGGCCAAGCGAAUUGGCCCGCAGUGCGAAGCCGCCGAACACGAAGACCUAUCCAGAGAGAAAGGUCUCACCCUGGACCGUGUUGUUGAUGAUUGAAGGAGCCAUCAAGCCUCGCCGUGACAACACAGAGGAACUCUCAAUGAAAGCACCAAUGUCGGUGUCAAAACCGGCGGAUCUCAGGUAGGGGGUCCCGAUCUGUGCGUCUAAGGCUAAUGGUAAUAGGAGGCAAGGGACACAAUGUUUUACCCAGGUUCGGGCCCUCUCGAUGGAGGUAAAACCCUACUUCCUGCUUGAUUGAUAUUGAUGAUAUGGGUAUUACAAGAGUUGAUCUACCACGAGACCGUAGAGGGUAAACCCUAGAAGCUAGCCUAUGAUGAUUAUGAUUCUGUCUCUAAGGACUAAACCCUCCGGUUUAUAUAGACACCGGAGAGGGCUAGGGUUUACAUGGAGUCGGUUACAAAGAUGGAAAUAUAAUAUCCGGAUCGCCAAGCUUGUCUUCCAUGCAAAGGAGAGUCCCAGUCGGACACGGGACGAAGUCUUGAGUCUUGUAUCUUCAUAGUCCAACAGUCCGGCCAAAGUAUAUAGUCCGGCUGUCCGGAUACCCCCUAAUCCAGGACUCCCUCAGUCAUCAUCAACCAUCCUCCAUCACCAAUUUCAUGAUGCUCACCGCCGUGAGUGAGUAAUUCCAUCGUAGGCUUGCUGGACGGUGAUGGGUUGGAUGAGAUUUACCAUGUAAUCAAGUUAGUUUUGUUAGGGUUUGAUCCCUAGUAUCCACUAUGUUCUGAGAUUGAUGUUGCUAUGACUUUGCUAUGCUUAAUGCUUGUCACUAGGGCCCGAGUGCCAUGAUUUUAGAUCUGAACCUAUUAUGUUUUCAUAAAUAUAUGUGUGUUCUUGAUCCUAUCUUGCAAGUCUAUAGUCACCUAUUAUGUGUUAUGACCCGAGAACCCCGAAGUGACAAUAAUCGGGAUACUUCUCGGUGAUGACCAUAGUUUGAGGAGUUCAUGUAUUCACUAUGUGUUAAUGCUUUGUUCCGGUUCUCUAUUAAAAGGAGGCCUUAAUAUCCCUUAGUUUCCGUAAGGACCCCGCUGCCACGGGAGGGUAGGACAAAAUAUGUCAUGCAAGUUCUUUUCCAUAAGCACGUAUGACUAUUUACGGAAUACAUGCCUACAUUACAUUGAUGAACUGGAGCUAGUUAUGUGUCACCCUAUGUUAUAGCUAUUACAUGAGGAAUCACAUCCGACAUAAUUAUCCAUCACUGAUCCAUUGCCUACGAGCUUUUCACAUCUUGUGUUUCGCUUAUUUACUUUUCCGUUGUUAUUGAUACAAUCACUACAAAACCCAAAAACAUUAAUUUUGCUAUCGUUACCUUUAUUAUCAUACUACUUUGCUACUAAAUACUUUGCUGCAGAUACUAAGUUAUCCAGGUGUGGUUGAAUUGACAACUCAACUACUAAUACUCAAGAAUAUUCUUGGCUCCCCUUGUGUCGAAUCAAUAAAUUUGGGUUGAAUACUUUACCCUCGAAAGCUGUUGCGAUCCCCUACACUUGUGGGUUAUCAUACUCCCCAAGCUUAGGCUUUUGGCCUAAGUUGGUCUAGUACCAUGGACCACUGCUACUCUCCACGGUGUACUGGGAGGUGAAAUCAGGAUACCACUGGCUGGCCAUCUUCGGAUCCCACUGGUAGGUUGAUGCACGAUAAGGGUCCAGUUCAGGUUCCGGCUCAGGCUCAGGUUCUGGAGUGGAUGCUUGGCCUCGAUGAGUGUACACCGCUUCCGGUGUAACAAGAAAAUUAUCUGCAGUCAAAUCAAACAACAGCGGCGCAAGCAAAAUAAUAGUAUCAUUGUGUUUCUUAUUAAAUCUAGGGUUAUACAAGAGCAUCUUCUCUUUGUUGUCAACAAUAAAGGUGUGUGCUACCAUGCUCUUGUAGUCUAAAAUGUAAGGAGGCAAUUUUGUCUCCUCUUUCUCAUGGUGCCUAAUAGGUAUCUCAAAAUAUCUAGCAAGAUGUGAAGCAUAGAUACCUCCAAAUAUGGGGCCUUUUGUACGAUUUAGGCUUAGCCGUUUAGCAAUGAUGGCAUCCAUACUAAACCUAUUAUCUCCAAACAAGGCAUGUUGAAGAAUGAUAAUAUCAGGAACAUUGAAGUUUCCACUAUUUCCACGACCAAUCAAGCAUCUACUAGCAAAUAUGGCAAAGUAGCGUAAAACAGGAAAGUGUAUGCUAGAGAUUUUUGCAUCGGAACCCUUCUUGGGAUCCUCUACAGUGAUAUUGUUAACAAAGCCAUCCACAUCUUCACGAUGAGGUUCCUCUAAUUCUCCCUCAAAAGGUAUCCAACAUAUUGCGCAAAAAUAAUUCAUCAUAUAAAUGAAAUGAUACUGAAGGCGGUGACUUCUUAGGAUAAUAAUAAAAGUUUUGCACGAAAGUAUUGGUGAGUAAGAGAUACUGAUCAAUCCGGUCAUGGAGGAAACCAGUGAGGCCUGCAUUCUCGAUCAAAGAAUAAAAAUCUUCAUGAAUUCCAACUUCUUUCAAGAAAUCAUCGCAUGGCCAUUCACACGGCCGUACUUCCGCUAUGCGAGGAAGAUUAUACUUGGCUUUUUCCUUCUCUUUAGCUUGUUUUUCUUGAGAUCCUUGGCUAGAAGAGCCCCUCAAAAGUCUCCUUAACAUUUUCUGAAAAUUUCUGAAAUUUUAGUAACUUCAAAAUAGAAGUGAAUAAAACUAAACAAGAUUGGUAGCAACUACUCCUACAAGUGCCUAGAGCCUAUAUCAUGCAUUAGAAUUACUUGGGACCUCAUAAAUUUGACAUGCAAGCUCAAGAACAUGGUUACCUAUGCAGCAAAAAUUUGCAAUGAAUAAAGCACUAGAACAAAAACUAAUUGGACCAAUGGAGGAGUCACAUACCAAGCAACAAUCUCCCAAAGCAAUUAUGUGAAUGGAGCUUUGAGCAAGGAGAUCGAAAAUUGCAGCAAAAUGAGCUAGAACUCGUGCUUGAGCUGGAUGGGGAUUUUUUUGGGAAGAAGAUGGAGUGUGUGGGUGCUGGCAUAAGUGGAGGGGGGCCACCAGGGGCCCACAAGACAGGGGGGCGCCCAGGGUAGGUGGGAGCGCCCUCCACUCUCGUGGCCUGGUGCUUGCCCCUCCUGCAGUGAUUUCAGUGCCUAAAAUCCUCAAAUAUUCCAUAAAAAAUCAUACUAAAUUUGCAGGGCAUUUGGAGCACUUUUAUUUUCGGGAUAUUUUUAUUUAUUGCACGGAUAAUUCAGAAAAUAGACAGAUAAUACUAUUUUUGCUUUAUUAAAUCUAAAUAACAGAAAGUAAAAAGAGGGUACAGAAGGUUGUGCCUUCUAGUUUCAUCCAUCUCAUGAUCAUCAAAAUGAAUCCACUAACAAGGUUGAUCAAGUCUUGUUAACAAACUCAUUCCAAAUAACACGAAACUGGAGAAAUUUUGAAUAACACUAAGUUACCUCAACGGGGAUAUGAAAAUCCCCAACAAUAAGAAUAUCAUAUUUUUUCUUGACAGUAGGGAGAGGAAAUUCAAAACCUCCAAUAAUGAUAGUUGGAACUUUUCCAAUAGAAUUGAUGCUAUGAACUUGAGAUCUUGGAAAGUGUACCGUAUGCGCAUUACCAUUAACAUGAAAAGUGACAUUGCCUUUGUUGUAAUCAAUAACAGCCCCUGUAGUAUUCAAAAAGGGUCUACCAAGAAUAAUCGACAUACUAUCAUCCUCGGGAAUAUCAAGAAUAACAAAGUCCUUUAAGAUAGUGACAUUUGCAACCACAACAGGCACGUCCUCACAAAUACCGACAGGUAUAGCAGUUGAUUUAUCAGCCAUUUGCAAAGAUAUUUCAGUAGGUGUCAACUUAUUCAAUUCAAGUCUACGAUAUAAAGAGAGAGGCAUAACACUAACACCGGCUCCAAGAUCACAUAAAGCAGUUCUAACAUAAUUCCUUUUAAUGGAGCAUGGUAUAGUCGGCACACCCGGAUAUCCAAGUUUCUUUGGUAUUCCACCCUUAAAAGUGUAAUUAGCAAGCAUGGUGGAAAAUUCAGCUUCCAGUAUCUUUCUUUUGUUUGUAAUGAUAUCCUUCAUAUUCUUAGCAUAAGGAUUUACUUUGAGCAUAUUAGUUAAGCGCAUACGUAAGAAGAUAGGUCUAAUCAUUUCAGCAAAGCGCUCAAAAUGCUCAUCAUCCUUUGUCUUGGAUGGUUUAGGAGGAAAGGGCAUGGGUUUCUGAACACAUGGUUCUCUUUCUCUACCGUGCUUCCUAGCAAUAAAAUCUCUCUUAUCAUAACGUUGAUUCUUUGAUUGUGGGUUAUCAAGAUCAACAGCAGGUUCAAUCUCUACUUCAUUAUUUUUGCUAGGUUGAGCAUCAGCAUGAACAUUAUUAUUAACAUUAUCACUAGGUUCAUGUUCACCACCUGAUUGUGUUUUAGCAUCAGAAAUAGAAAUAUCAUUGGGAUUCUCAGGUGUGUCUACAGUAGGUUCACUAGAAGCAUGCAAAGUCCUAUCAUUUUUCUUUUUCUUCUUUUUAGAAGAACUAGGUGCCUCUAAAUUAUUUCUCUGAGAAUCUUGCUCGAUUCUCUUAGGGUGGCCUUCAGGAUACAAAGGUUCCUGAGUCAUUCUACCAGUUCUAGUAGCCACUCUAACAGCAAAGUCAGGUUUAUUAUUUAAUUCAUCAAGCAAAUCAUUUUGAGCUUUAAGUACUUGCUCAUCUUGAGUGGCAACCAUAGAAGCAUAUUUGCUAAUGAGUGUAAUUUCACCUUUAACUCUAGCCAUAUAAUCACUCAAGCGUCCUAUCUCGAAAGCAUUAUUCUUUAAUUCUCUACCAACAUUAGCAUUAAAACUUUAUUGUCUAGCCAUAAAGUCAUCAAAUUCAUCUAAGCAUGGGCUAUGAAAUUUAGUAGAGGGGAUUUCAACUUUAUCAUAUCUAUAGAGAGAAUUUACCUUUACUAUCGGUGUCGGGUUAUCAAGACAAUGUGGUUAUUCAACAGGCGAUACAUUAAGACCAUGUAUUUCUUCAACAGGUGGUAAAUUCUUAACAUCUUCAGCUUUAAUACCUUUUUCUUUCAUUGAUUUCUUUGCCUCUUGCAUAUCUUUAGGACUAAGAAAUAAAACACCUCUCUUCUUCGGAGUGGGUUUAGGAAUAGGCUCAGGAGUUGGCUCAAUUGGUUCAGGAAUUGCCUCGGGAAUUGGCUCAGGAAGAGUCCAAUUAUUUUCAUUAGUCAACAUAUUAUUCAAUAGUAAUUCAGCUUCGUCGACUGUUCUUUCCCUGAAAACACAACCAGCACAACUAUCCAAUUAGUCCUUGGAAGCAUCGGUUAGUCCAUUAUAAAAGAUAUCAAGUAUUUCAUUUUUCUUAAGAGGAUGAUCAGGCAAAGCAUUAAGUAAUCGGAGAAGCCUCCCCCAAGCUUGUGGGAGACUCUCUUCUUUGAUUUGCACAAAAUUAUAUAUUUCCCGCAAGGCAGCUUGUUUCUUAUGAGCAGGGAAAUAUUUAGUAGAGAAGUAAUAAAUCAUAUCCUGGGGACUACGCACACAACCAGGAGCAAGAGAAUUAUACCAAGUCUUAGCAUCACCCUUUAACAAGAACGGAAAUAUCUUAAGGAUAUAAAAAUAACGAGAUUUAUCAUCAUGAGUAAACAGGGUAGCUAUAUCAUUCAACUUGGUAAGAUGUGCCACGACAGUUUCAGAUUCAAGGCCAUAAAAAGGAUUAGAUUCAACCAAAGUAAUAAUCUCAGGAUCAACAGAGAAUUCAUAAUCCUUAUCAGUAACACAAAUAGGUGAAGUAGCAAAAGCAGGGUCAGGUUUCAUUCUAGCAUUAAGAGACUGCUGCUUCCAUUUAGUUAAUAAUUUCUUAAGAUCAUAUCUAUCUCUACAAGCAAAGAUAGCUCUAGCAGCUUCCUCUUCCAUAACAUAACCCUCAGGAACAACAUGCAAUUCAUAAUCAUUAGGAGAACCUUCAUCAUCACUAUCAUCAAUAAUAGCAUCUUCAAUAAUUUCGUUCUCUCUAGCCCUAGCAAGUUGUUCAUCAAGAAAUUCACCUAAUGGCAAAGUAGUAUCACGCACAGAAGUAGUUUCAUCAUAAGUAUCAUGCAUAGCAGAAGUGGCAUCAUGAAUAACAUGCGACAUAUCAGAAUUCAUAGCGGUAGCAGGUUUAGGUGUCGCAAGCUUACUCAAAACAGAAGGAGAAUCUAGUGCAGAGCUAGAUGGCAGUUCCUUACCUCCCCUCGUAGUUGAGGGAUAAAUCGUAGUUUUAGCAUAUUUCAAGUUCUUCAUAGUGAUUAACAAAUAUAAAUCCCAAGUGACUCAGAGAAUAGAGCUAUGCUCCCCGGCAACGGUGCCAGAAAUUAGUCUUGAUAACCCACAAGUGUAGGGGAUCGCAACAACUUUCGAGGGUAAAGUAUUCAACCCAAAUUUAUUGAUUCGACACAAGGGGAGCCAAAGAAUAUUCUUGAGUAUUAGCAGUUGAGUUGUCAAUUCAACCACACCUGGAUAACUUAGUAUCUGCAGCAAAGUAUUUAGUAGCAAAGUAGUAUGAUAAUAAAGGUAACGAUAGCAAAAGUAAUGUUUUUGGGUUUUGUAGUGAUUGUAACAAUAGCAACGGAAAAGUAAAUAAGCGAAGAACAAUAUGUGAAAAGCUCGUAGGCAAUGGAUCAGUGAUGGAUAAUUAUGUCGGAUGCGAUUCCUCAUGUAAUAGCUAUAACAUAGGGUGACACAGAACUAGCUCCAGUUCAUCAAUGUAAUGUAGGCAUGUAUUCCGUAAAUAGUCAUACGUGCUGAUGGAAAAGAAUUUGCAUGACAUCUUUUGUCCUACCCUCCCGUGGCAGCGGGGUCCUAGCGGAAACUAAGGGAUAUUAAGGCCUCCUUUUAAUAGAGAUCCGGAACGAAGCAUUAUCACAUAGUGAAUACAUGAACUCCUCAAACUAUGGUCAUCACCAAGAAGUAUCCCGAUUAUUGUCACUUCAGGGUUGUCGGAUCAUUACACAUAAUAGGUGACUAUGGACUUGCAAGAUAGGAUCAAGAACACACAUAUGUUCAUGAAAACAUAAUAGGUUCAGAUCUGAAAUCAUGGCACUUGGGCCCUAGUGACAAGCAUUAAGCAUAGCAAAGUCAUAACAACAUCAAUCUCAGAACAUAGUGGAUACUAGGGAUCAAACACUAACAAAACUAACUUGAUUACAUGGUAAAUAUCAUCCAACCCAUCACCGUCCAGCAAGCCUACGAUGGAAUUACUCACGCACGGCGGUGAGCAUCAUGAAAUUGGUGAUGGAGGAUGGUUGAUGAUGACGAUGGCGACAAAUCCCCCUCUCCGGAUCCCCGAACGGACUCCAGAUCAGCCCUCCCGAGAGAUAUUAGGGCUUGGCGGCGGCUCCGUAUCGUAAAACACGAUGAAACUUUCUCUCUGAUUUUUUUCUCCACGACACGAAAUAUAUGGAGUUGGAGUUGAGGUCGGCGGAGCCUCAGGGGGGCCACAAGACAGGGGGCGCGCCCCCCACCCUCGUGGAUAGGGUAUGGGCCCCCUGGUCUUGAUUCUUUCGCCAGUAUUUUUUAUAUUUUCCAAAAAGUGCCUCCGUGGAUUUUCAGGACAUCCCGAGAACUUUUGUUUUCUACACAUAAAACAACAUCAUGGCAGUUCUGCUGAAAACAGCGUCAGUCCGGGUUAGUUUCAUUCAAAUCAUGCAAGUUAGAGUCCAAAACAAGGGCAGAAGUGUUUGGAAAAGUAGAUACGUUGGAGACGUAUCACCCGCCAAGAAGAAAACAGACACAACAGAGCUAUUUGCACUGAACGAUGAGUUGAAGGUAGAACUCGAUUCUCUUGGCUCCUUUUUUGUACAUCUUAUUGACACUGAACACUCUCAGGACGAUGCGGAGACCAGCCAGGCAGAUGUUCAAGAGGUAACUAUUAUUUCCUCCGACUCAGAGCCUUUACCAAGAAAAAUCAUUCGGUAAGUGACCCGGAAAGUAAGGUUUUCUCACCCUUUAGCUUACUUGGAUCCCAACUUUAUUUUGAAGAAACAACAACAUGAGGCUCGAUGCACAACCCGGAACAGCGGAGGCGGAGAACUCUCUGCCGGCUUACCCAACACGCCGGCCCCUCGCAAACACUUAAAAUAGGUGCUUCAGAGUUCAAUCUGUUGGAAAUAUGCCCUAGAGGCAAUAAUAAAAUGGUUAUUAUUAUAUUUCCUUGUUCAUGAUAAUUGUCUAUUAUUCAUCCUAUAAUUGUAUUAACUGGAAACCGUAAUACAUGUGUGAAUGCAUAUACCAACAACAUGUCCCUAGUGAGCCUCUAGUUGACUAGCUCGUUGAUCAAUAGAUGGUUAUGGUUUCCUGACCAUGGACAUAGGAUGUCAUUGAUAACGGGAUCACAUCAUUAGGAGAAUGAUGUGAUGGACAAGGCCCAAUCCUAAGCAUAGCACAAGAUCGUAUAGUUCGUUUGCUAAGAGCUUUUCUAAUGUCAAGUAUCAUUUCCUUAGACCAUGAGAUUGUGCAACUCCCGGAUACCGUAGGAAUGCUUUGGGUGUACCAAAAGUCACAACGUCACUGGGUAGCUAUAAAGGUGCACUACAGGUAUCUCUGAAAGUGUCUGUUGGGUUGGCAUGAAUCGAGACUGGGAUUUGUCACUCCGUAUGACGGAGAGGUAUCUCUAGGCCCACUCGCUAAUGCAUCAUCAUAAUGAGCUCAAUGUGACUAAGUAGUUAAUCACGAGAUCAUGCAUUAUGGAACGAGUAAAGUGACUUGCCGGUAACGAGAUUGAACGAGGUAUUGGGAUACCGACGAUCGAAUCUCGGGCAAGUAACGUACCGAUUGACAAAGGGAAUUGUAUACGGGAUUGCUUGAAUCCUCGACAUUGUGGUUCAUCCGAUGAGAUCAUCGUGGAACAUGUGGGAGCCAACAUGGGUAUCCAGAUCCCGCUGUUGGUUAUUGGCCGGAGAGAUGUCUCGGUCAUGUCUGCAUGGUUCCCGAACCCGUAGGGUCUACACACUUAAGGUUCGGUGACGCUAGAGUUGUUAUGGGAAAUAGUAUGUGGUUACCGAAGGUUGUUCGGAGUCCCGGAUGAGAUCCCGGACAUGACGAGGAGCUCCGGAAUGGUCCGGAGGUGAAGAUCGGUAUAUUGGACAAAUGGUAUUGGAGUCCGGAAUUGUUUGGGGGGUACCAGGUGAUGACCAGCGUGUCCGGAAGGGGUUUCGGAGGCCCCUGGCCGCCGCCCCCUCCUCUAGAUCCAUCUAGAGGGGGUGGCCCCCUCUCCCCUUCCCCUAUAUAUAGUGAGGGGGUGGGAGGGCAGCCACACCCUUCCCCUGGUGCAGCCCCUCCCUCCUCCAACACUUCCUCCUCCUCCGUAGUGCUUAGCGAAGCUCUGCCGGAGAACCACGAGCUCCAUCACCACCACGCCGUCGUGCUAUCGGAGUUCUCCUCAACUUCUCCUCUACCCUUGCUGGAUCAAGAAGGAGGAGACGUCCCCGAGCUGUACGUGUGUUCAACAUGGAGGCGCCGUCCAUUCGGCGCUAGAUCAGAUCUUCCGCGAUUUGAAUCACCGCGAGUACGACUCCUUCAUCCGUGUUCUUGCAACGCUCCCGUAUUGCGAUAUUCAAGGGUACGAAGAUGCACUAUCCUCUCUCUCGUUGCUAGUCACUCCAUAGAUUGAUCUUGGUGACGCGUAGAAAAUUUUGAAUUUCUGCUACGUUCCCCAACAGUGGCAUCAUGAGCUAGGUCUAUGCAUAGUUCCUAUGCACGAGUAGAACACAAGUUGUUAUGGGCGUCGAUUUUGUCAAUUUACUUGCCACUACUAGUCUUAUCUUGAUUUGGCGGCAUCGUAGGAUGAAGCGGCCCGGACCGACCUUACACGUACGCUUACGUGAGACAGGUUCGACCGACUGACAUGCACUAGUUGCAUAAGGUGGCUAGCGGGUGUCUGUCUCUCCCACUUUAGUCGGAUUGGAUUCGAUGAAAAGGGUCCUUAUGAAGGGUAAAUAGCAAUUGGCAUAUCACAUUGUGGUUUUGGCGUAGGUAAGAAACGUUCUUGCUAGAAACCUAUAGUAGCCACGUAAAAACUUGCAACAACAAUUAGAGGACGUCUAACUUGUUUUUGCAGCAUAUGCCGUGUGAUGUGAUAUGGCCAAAAGGAUGUGAUGAACGAUAUAUAUGUGAUGUAUGAGAUUGAUCAUGUUCUUGUAAUAGGAAUCACGACUUGCAUGUCGAUGAGUAUGACAACCGGCAGGAGCCAUAGGAGUUGUCUUAAUUUAUCGUAUGACUUGCGUGUCAUUGAAUAACGCCAUGUAAUUACUUUACUUUAUUGCUAAACCAUUAGCCAUGGUAGUAGAAGUAAUAGUUGGCGAGACAACUUCAUGAAGACACGAUGAUGGAGAUCAUGAUGAUGGAGAUCAUGGUGUCAUGCCGUUGACGAUGAUGAUCAUGGCGCCCCAAAGAUGGAGAUCAAAAGGAGCAAAAUGAUAUUGGCCAUAUCAUGUCACUAUUUGAUUGCAUGAGAUGUUUACCAUGUUUUUGCAUCUUAUUUGCUUAGAACGAUGGUAGCAUAAAUAAGAUGAUCCCUCAUAAAAUUUCAAGAAAGUGUUCCCCCUAACUAUGCACCGUUGCGAAGGUUCGUUGUUUCGAAGCACCACAUGAUGAUCAGGUGUGAUAGAUUCUAACGUUCGCAUACAACGGGUGUAAGCCAGAUUUACACAUGCAAAACACUUAGGUUGACUUGACGAGCCUAGCAUGUACAGACAUGGCCUCGGAACACAAGAGACCGAAAGGUCGAACAUGAGUCGUAUAGCAGAUGCGAUCAACAUGAAGAUGUUCACCCAUGAUGACUAGUCCAUCUCACGUGAUGAUCGGACACGGCCUAGUUGACUCGGAUCAUGUAUCACUUAGAUGACUAGAGGGAUGUCUAUCUAAGUGGGAGUUCAUUAAAUAAUUAGAUGAACUUAAUUAUCAUGAACAUAGUCAAAAGGUCUUUGCAAAUUAUGUCAUAGCCUACGCUUUAGUUCUACUGUUUUAAGAUAUGUUCCUAGAGAAAAUUUAGUUGAAAGUUGACAGGAGCAAUUAUGCGGACUGGGUAUGUAUACUGAGGAUUGUCCUCAUUGCUGCACAGAAGGCUUAUGUCCUUAAUGCACCGCUCGGUGUGCUAAACCUCGAGCGUCGUUUGUGGAUGUUGUGAACAUCUGACAUACACGUUUUGAUGACUACGUGAUAGUUCAGUGUGUAAUGUUAAACGGUUUAGAAUUGAGGCACCAAAGAUAUUUUUGAAACGUCGCCGAACAUAUGAGAUGUUCCAAGAGCUGAAAUUAGGAUUUCAGGCUCGUGCCCACGUCAAGAGGUAUGAGACCUCCGACAAGUUUCUUAACCUGCAAACUAAGGGGGAAAAGCUCAAUCAUUGAGCAUGUGCUCAGAUUGUCUGAGUACUACAAUCACUUGAAUCGAGUGGGAGUUAAUCUUCCAGAUGAGAUAGUGAUGGUUCUCCAUAGUCACUGCCACAAAGCUAUUAGAGCUUCGUGAUGAACUAUAACAUAUCAGGGAUAGACAUGAUGAUCCUUGAGCAAUUCGCGAUGUUUGACACCGUGAAAGUAGAAAUCGAGUAGGAGCAUCAAUUGUUGAUGGUUAGUAAAACCACUAGUUUCAAGAAGGGUAAGGGCAAGAAGGGAUACUUCAUGAAACGGCAAAUCAGUUGCUGCUCUAGUGAAGAAACCCAGGGUUGAACCGAAACCCAAGACUAAGUGCUUCUGUAAUGAGGGAACGGUCACUGAAGCAAAACUACCCUAGAUACUUGGUAGAUGAGAAGGCUGGCAAGGUUGACAGAAGUAUAUUGGAUAUACAUUGUAUUAAAUGUGUACUUUACUAGUACUCCUAGUAGCACCAGGGUAUUAAGAUACCGGUUCGGUUGCUAAGUGUUAGUAACUCGAAAUAAAAGAGCUACGGAAUAAACGGAGACUAGCUAAAGGUGAGAUGACGAUGUGUGUUGGAAGUGUUUCCAAGGUUGAUUGAUCAAGCAUCGCCUGCUCCCUCUAUGAUCGAGAUUGGUGUUAAACCUAAAUAAUUGUUAUUUGGUGUUUGCGUUGAGCAUAGACAUGAUUGGAUUAUGUUUAUCACAAUAUGGUUAUUCAUUUAAGGAGAAUAAUGGUUACUCUAUUUAUUUGAAUAAUACCUUCAACGGUCUUGCACCUAAAAUGAAUGGUUUAUUGAAUCUCGAUCGUAGUGAUACACAUGUUUAUACCAAAAGAUAUAAGAUAGUAAUGAUAGUACCACAUACUUGUGGCACUUCUAUUUGAGUCAUACUGGUAUAAAACGCAUGAAGAAGCUCCAUGUUGAUGGAUCUUUGGACUCUCUCGUUUUGAAAAGAUUGAGACAUGCGAACCAUGUCUAUUGGUAUAUAUGCAUGAAGAAACUCCAUACAGAUGGAUCGUUUGGACUCACUUGAUUUUGAAUCACUUGAGACAUGCAAAUCAUACCACAUGGGCAAGAUGACUGGAAGGCCUCGUUUUUCAGUGAGAUGAAACAAGAGAGAAACUUGUUGGAAGUAAUACCUUUGAUGUGUGCAAUCCAAUGAGUGUUGAGGCACGCAGUGAAUAUCAUUAUGCUCUUACUUCACAAAUGAUUUGAGUAGAUUCUGAGUAUAUUUACUUGAUGAAACAUGAGUCUGAAUUAUUGAAAGGUUCAAGCAAUUUUAGAGUGAAGUUGAAGAUCAUCGUGGCAAGAGGAUAAAAUGUCUAUGAUAUGAUCAUAGAGAUGAAUAUCUGAGUUACGAGUUUGGUACACAAUUAAGACCUUGUGGAAAUUGUUUCAUAACUAAUACCGCCUGGAACACCAUAGUGUGAUGUGUGUCCGAACAUCAUAAAUGCACCCUAUUGGAUAUGGUGCAUACCAUGAUGUCUCUUAUCGAAUUACCACUAUCGUUUAUGGGUUAGGCAUUAGAGACAACCGCAUUCACUUUAAAUAGGGCACCACGUAAUUCUGUUGAGAUGACACCGUAUGAACUAUGGUUUAGAGAAACCUAAGCUGUCAUUUCUUAAAAAAUUUGGGGCUGUGACGCUUAUGUGAAAAGUUCUGCCUGAUGAGCUCGAACCCAAAGCGGAUAAAAUGCAUCUUCAUAGGACACCCAAAAACAAAUGGGUAUACCUCCUAAUUCAGAUCCGGAAGCAAAAGUGAUUGUUCCCAGAAAUGGGUCCUUUCUCGAGGAAAAGUUUCUCUUGAAAGAAUUGAGCGGGAGGAUGGUGGAGACUUGAUGAGGUUAUUGAACCAUCACUUCAACUAGUGUGUAGCAGGGCACAAGAAGUUGUUCCUAUGGCGCCUACACCAAUUGAAGUGGAAGCUGAUGAUAGUGAUCAUGAAACUUCAGAUCAAGUCACUACCAAACCUCGUAAGUCGACAAGGAUGCGUACUACUUCAGAGUGGUACAUAAUCCUGUCUUAGAGGUCAUGUUGCUAGACAACAAUGAACCUAUGAGCUAUGAAGAAGCGAUGGUGGGCCCGGAUUCCGAUGAAUGGCUCGAGGCCAUAAAAUCCGAGAGAGGAUCCAUGUAUGAAAAAAAAGUAUAGACUUUGGAAGAACUACUCGAUGGUCGUAAGGCUGUUGAGUAUAGAUGGAUUUUAAAAGGAAGAUGGACAAUGAUGGUAAGUGUCACCAUUAAGAAAGCUCGACUUGUCGCUGAGAUGUUUUCCGACAAGUUCAAGGAGUUGACUACGAUGAGACUUUCCCACUCGUAGUGAUGCUAAGAGUCUGUUGGAAUUAUAUUAGCAGUUACUGCAUUAUUUAUGAAAUCUUGCAGAUAGGAUGUCAAAAAACAUUGUUUCCUCGACGAUUUUCUUGAGGAAAGGUUGUAUGUGAUACAACCAGAAGGUUUUGUCAAUCCUGAAAGAUGCUAACAAGUAUGCAAAGCUCCAGUGAUCCUUCUAAGGACUAGAGUAAGCAUCUCGGAGAUGGAACAUACGCUUUGAUGAGAUGAUCAAAGAUUUUGGGUUUAUACAAAGUCUAUGAGAAACUUGUAUUUCCAAAGAAGUGAGUGGGAGCACUAUAGAAUUUCUAAUGAGUAUAUGUUGUUAACAUAUUGUUGAUCAGAAAUGCUGUAGAAAUUCUGGAAAGCAUAUAGGGUUAUUUGAAAAGUGUUUUUCAAUGGAAAACCUGGAUUAAGCUACUUGAACAUUGAGCAUAAAGAUCUAUAAGGAUAGAUCAAAAAACGCUUAAUAGUACUUUCAAAUGAAUACAUACCGUGACAAGAUUUUGAAGGAGUUCAAAAUAGAUCAGCAAAGAAGUAGUUCUUGUCUGUGUUAUAAGGUGUGAGUAUUGAGUAUGACUCAAGACCUGACCACGGCAGAAGAGAGAGAAAGGACGAAGGUCAUCCCCUAUGCUUUAGACGUAGGCUCUACAGUAUGCUAUGCUGAAUACCGCACCUGAAGUGUGCCUUGCCAUGAGUCAGUCAAGGGGUACAAGAGUGAUCCAGGAAUGGAUCACAUGACAGCAGUCAAACUUAACCUUAGUAACUAGUGGACUAAGGAAUUUUCUUGAUUAUGGAGGUGGUAAGAGAGUUCGUCGUAAAGGGUUACGUCGAUGCAAACUUUGACACUAAUCCGGAUGACUCCGAGUAGUAAACUGGAUUCGUAUAGUAGAGCAGUUAUUUGGAAUAGCUCCAAGUAGCGCCUGGUAGCUGUAUCUAUAAGAUGACAUAGAUAUUUGUAAACCACACACAGAUCUAUAAGGUUCAGACCCAUUGACUAAUAAACCUCUCUCACAAGCAAGAUAUGAGCAAACACCAUGGGAGUUGGAUUCAAUACAAUCACAUAAUGAUGUGAACAAGAUUACUGACUCUAGUGCAAGUGGGAGACUGUUGGAAAUAUGCCCUAGAGGCAAUAAUAAAAUGGUUAUUAUUAUAUUUCCUUGUUCAUGAUAAUUGUCUAUUGUUCAUGCUAUAUUUGUAUUAAUUGGAAACCGUAAUACAUGUGUGAAUGCAUAGACCAACAACAUGUCCCUAGUGAGCCUCUAGUUGACUAGCUCGUUGAUCAAUAGAUGGUUAUGGUUUCCUGACCAUGGACAUAGGAUGUCAUUGAUAACGGGAUCACAUCAUUAGGAGAAUGAUGUGAUGGACAAGACCCAAUCCUAAGCAUAGCACAAGAUCGUAUAGUUCGUUUGCUAAGAGCUUUCUAAUGUCAAGUAUCAUUUCCUUAGACCAUGAGAUUGUGCAACUCCCGGAUACCAUAGGAAUUUUUUGGGUGUACCAAAAGUCACAACAUCACUGGGUAGCUAUAAAGGUGCACUACAGGUAUCUCCGAAAGUGUCUGUUGGGUUGGCACGAAUCAAGACUGGGAUUUGUCACUCCGUAUGACGGAGAGGUAUCUCUGGGCCCACUCGAUAAUGCAUCAUCAUAAUGAGCUCAAUGUGACUAAGUAGUUAAUCACGGUAUCAUGCAUUAUGGAACGAGUAAAGUGACUUGCCGAUAACGAGAUUGAACGAGGUAUUGGGAUACCGACGAUCGAAUCUCGGGCAAGUAACGUACCGAUUGACAAAGGGAAUUGUAUACGGGAUUGCUUGAAUCCUCGACAUUGUGGUUCAUCCGAUGAGAUCAUCAUGGAACAUGUGGGAGCCAACAUGGGUAUCCAGAUCACGCUAUUGGUUAUUGGCCGGAGAGAUGUCUCGGUCAUGUCUGCAUGGUUCCCGAACCCAUAGGGUCUACACACUUAAGGUUCGGUGACGCUAGAGUUGUUAUGGGAAAUAGUAUGUGGUUACCGAACGUUGUUUGGAGUCCCGGAUGAGAUCCCGGACGUGACGAGGAGCUCAGGAAAGGUCUGGAGGUGAAGAUCGGUAUAUUGGACGAAGGUAUUGGAGUCCGGAAUUGUUCCGGGGGUACCAGGUGAUGACCAGCGUGUCUGAAAGGGGUUUCGGAGGCUCCGGCAAGUGUUGGGGGGCCUUAUGGCCAAGGGGAGGGGGCACAUCAGCCCACUAAGGGGCUGAGCGCCCCUCCCACCCCAUCUCACAUAACGUGGAGAGGCAGGGGUGCCACCCCUAAGGCAGCCUCCCCUCCCCGCUUGGGGGCAAGUUUCCUAGGGGGUGGGGCGCCCAAACCCAUCUAUACGGUUUCCCCUGGCCGCCGCCCCCUCCUCUAGAUCCAUCUAGAGGGGUUGGCCCCCUAUCCCCUUCCCCCUAUAUAUAGUGAGGGGGUGGGAGGGCAGCCACACCCUUCCCCUGGCGCAGCCCCUCCCUCCUCCAACACUUCCUCCUCCUUCGUAGUGCUUAGCGAAGCUCUGCCGGAGAACCACGAGCUCCAUCACCACCACGCCGUCGUGCUGUCGGAGUUCUCCCUCAACUUCUCCUCUACCCUUGCUGGAUCAAGAAGGAGGAGACGUCCCCAGGCUGUACGUGUGUUGAACGCGUAGGCACCGUCCGCUUGGCGCUAGAUUGGAUCUUCCGCGAUUUGAAUCGCCGCGAGUACGACUCCUUCAUCCGCGUUCUUGCAACGCUACCGUAUUGUGAUCUUCAAGGGUAUGAAGAUGCACUCCACUCCAUAGAUUGAUCUUGGUGAUGCGUAGAAAAUUUUGAAUUUCCGCUAUGUUCCCCAACACAAUCUUCUCCUUUCCAAAGGCGGGUCUUAUCCGUCAACCACUUAAUCCUUCUAACUCAAAUUAUCAUGGAACCUCUCACUCAUCCUCCGGUGACUCUACUGGAACUCAGAUACCUCUCUUUAAAGUUGCCCCUGGGUGAAAACAUUUAACUUCUUUGCUGUAACAUUCUUGAACUGAUAUAUUAACAUCCUCAUGUGUCUCACUUUUAGCGGUAUAGCCAAACCACGCAAGAAUUUGAAGAUGAACAAGCCGGCCUAAGACCACAAGGUCACUGAGCCGAAGACACAAACAAUAUCAUAAGCUUCUCAUCAAACUCCUGAAGCUGCUACUGAUGAGCCGCCACUAGAGACUCAUGAUGUCCUAAUGGAUCCAGUAGGUGUUGACCCGUCCAGCACUAAGCCGCCAAGUCCCACCAUGCCUGCUGAAGAAAAUGCUAAAGACGUUGUGGUCACCGGGACUGGCUAUAUAGAACCAAGGAACCUGUUGGGGAUAUAACCCUAAGGUAUGACCUGCCCAGGAGAGGCCGGGUUAUACCAUUGGCGGCUUAUAGUGAAGAAGGCCCAAAAGGUCCAAGAAGCCCUAAAGAUGGUAGUUCAUAAAGCAAAGCUUAUUGGAGGCCCAAGACUCAGAGGUAGUUCAAGACCCGAAGGUGUGAGCCGUUCAAGGUUAACUUACUCUGUAAGGCAAUUUUGGUUAGAAACCAAGCCGGUUACGUUGUGUGAGCCGGACGGGACUCUAUAAGCCGCAGGGCAUCAACCUGUAUAUAAAGGUGACCCGACGGCGGGUUAACUCAAGAAAGAAUAAGUCGAGAACUAGGUCAAGUGUAUUCGCUCCCUUGUAAUUGAAACUCAAGUAAUACAACUCGAAGCGGGACGUAGGCUUUUACCUCAUUGAGAGGGGCCGAACCUGGGUAAACUCCUUGUGUCCUUUGUCCCGCUCAACCCCUUCAAGCUAACCUAGUUGCGAUGGCUCCACACUGAUACCUCUCCAUCGUAUCUAUAAUUUUUUAUUGUUCCAUGCCAAUAUUAUACAACUUUCAUAUAUUUUUGGCAACUUCUAUAUUAUUUUUGGGACUAACAUAUUGAUCCAGUGCCCAGUGCCAGUUCCUGUUUGUUGCAUGUUUUAUGUUUCGCAGAAAUCCCAUAUCAAACGGAGUCCAAAUGGGAUAAAAACGAACAGAGAAUAUUUUUGGAAUAUUUGUGAGAUCCGGGAAGAAGAAUCAACACGAGACGGUGCCCGAGGGGGCCACAAGGCAGGGGGGCGCACCCUAGGGGGCAGGCGCGCCCCUGACCGUCGUGGGCACCCCGUAAGGCGGUUGAUGCUCUUCUUUUGCCGCAAGAAAGUUAAUUUUUGGAGAAAAAUCUGGGCGAAGGUUUCAAUCCAAUCGGAGUUACGGAUCUCCGGAUAUAAAAGAAACGGUGCAAGGGCGGAAUCAGGGAACACAGAAAUAGAGAGAGACAGAGAGACAGAUCCAAUAUCGGAGGGGCUCUCGCCCCUCCCAUGCCAUGGGAGCCAAGGACCAGAGGGGAAACCCUUCUCCUAUCUAGGGAGAAGGUCAAGGAAGAAGAAUAAGAAGGGGGGCUCUCUCCCCCUUGCUUCCGGUGGCGCCGGAACGCUGUCGGGGGCCAUCAUCAUCACCGCGAUCUUCACCAACAACUUCACCGCCUUCAUCACCAACUCUUCACCUCUCUAUGUAGCGGUGUAACCCCUCUCUUAGCCGCUGUAAUCUCUACUUAAACAUGGUGCUCAACACUAUAUAUUAUUUUCCAAUGAUGUAUGGCUAUCUUAUGAUGUUUGAGUAGAUGCAUUUUGUCCUAUGGGUUAAUUGAUGAUCGUGAUUGGUUUGAGUUGCAUGUUUUAUUAUUGAUGUUGUCCUAUGGUGCUCUCUGUGUCGCGCAAGCGUGAGGGAUCCCCAUUGUAGGGUUUGCAAUAUGUUCAUGAUUUGCUUAUUGUGGGCGGCGUGAGUGACAGAAGCACAGACCCGAGUAAGUAGGUUGUUUGCGUAUGGGAUAAAGGGGACUUGAUGCUUUAAUGCUAUGGUUGGGUUUUACCUAAAUGAUCUUUAGUAGUUGUGGAUGCUUGCUAGAGUUCCAAUCAUAAGUGCAUAUGAGCCAAGAAGAAAAAUAUGUUAGCUUAUGCCUCUCCCUCAAAUAAAAUUGCAAUAGUGAUUACCGGUCUAGUUAUCGUUUGCCUAGGGACAAAUAACUUUCUCGUGACAACAAGCUCUUUACUAAAACUAAUUUAGUUGUGUCUUCAUCUAAACAGCUACUUUUUAUUUACGUGCUCUUUAUUAUUUUGCAAGCCUAUCCAACAACACCUACAAAGUACUUCCAUUUUCAUACUUGUUCUAGGUAAAGCGAAUGUCAAGCGUGCAUAGAGUUGUAUUGGUGGUUGAUAGAACUUGAGGGAAUAUUUGUUCUACCUUUAGCUCCUCAUUGGGUUCGACACUCUUACUUAUCGAAAGAGGCUACAAUUGAUCCCCUAUACUUGUGGGUUAUCAAGACCUUUUUCUGGCGCCGUUGCCGGAGAGUCAUAGCGUGGCGUGAAUAUUCUCGUGUGUGCUUGUUUGCUUUAUCACUAAGUAAUUUUUAUUUGCUGUUCUAAGUUGUUCCCUAUCUUUAGUUAUGGAUAUGGAACACUAAAUACCAAAAAAAUUAGGUGUACUUGGAGAUGGGGAACCUCCUAAAACCCUCGAUGCUCAUUAUGUGAAAGAAAUUAUGUACUACUUUGAUAAACCCGAGAAAACCCCAUUCAAUUAUGUUAUGGGAGACACGUUGGAUCAACAUGAAUACUUUAGGGAUUAUCGCUUGACACAAAAAGGGAAACUAUUAUGGGAUCAAAUUUAUAUGUUGCGUUGGUAUGCUCGGGAUCUAUGCUUGAGACAUGAUUAUACAUGUUGCUCUAGGAUGAAGGCUCCACACCUUCCCUUUUCUUGCAAAUUUAAUGAUAAUGAAACCUUAGCUUCUUAUGCUAAUGGUAUAUAUGAUUACUAUGGUGUGGAAUGAAUAGAAGAGUUCGUUGCUUGUAUGGGUGCUUAUGAAAUUGAAUCUUUGUUUAAAGAGUUUGAAGAUUUUGAUGAUUCAGUUUAUAGACCUGAAAAUUUUGCUACACUUAAAUAUUGUUAUGAGAAUUAUGAAUACAAUUCCGAUAUUGAUGCAUUUAUUGAGAAAGUCUCCGCUGUCCAAGAAGAGACUAAUAUUUUGCAGAAAACUAUGGAAGAGGAAAUUACUGAAACUGUGAGCUCAUUGGAUGAAAAAGAUGAUGAGGAGAGCGAAGAACAAAAGGAGGAAGAGCGGAUUAGCUACCCGUGCCCACCUUCUAAUGAGAGUAACUCUUCAACUCAUACAUUGUUUAAUUUCCCUUCGUGCUUACCGAAGGAUGAUUGCUAUGAUGAUUGUCAUGAUCCCUUGAAUUUGUUUGAAAUAUCCCUUUUUGAUGAUGCUUGAUAUGCUUGUGGCCAAGAUGCCAAUAUGAAUUAUGCUUAUGGAUAUGAACUUGCUAUAGUUCCUUAUGUUAAACAUGAAAUUGAUGCUAUUGCACCUACACAUGAUAGUCCUUUUAUCUUUUUGAAUUCUCCAAACUUCACUAUAUCGAAGAAGUUUGUGCUUAUUAAGGAUUAUAUUGAUGGGUUGCGUUUUACUACUACACAUGAUGAUUUUGGUAGAUAUAAUAUGCAUGUGCUUGCUGAUCCUACUUGCAAUUAUUAUCAGAGAGGAACUAUAUUUCCACCUCUCUAUGUUUCCAAUAUGAUAAAAUUGCAAGAAACUGUUUAUACUAUGCAUUGGCCUUUACUUGGUGUGCAUGAAUUGUUCUUUUAUGACAUGCCGAUGCAUAGGAAGAGAGUUAGACUUCGUUGUUGCAUGAUAUAUGUUACUUUGUGCUCACUACUAAAUCACAAAUCAUUGUUAAUUAAAAUUGGCUUUGAUAUACCUUGGGAUCUGGGUGGAUCCAUUACUUGAGCACUAUAUGCCUAGCUUAAUGGCUUUAAAGAAAGUGCUGCCAGGGAGACAACCCAGAAGUUUUAGAGAGUCAUUUAUUUCUGUUGAGUGCUUUUAUAUAGUCUGAAAACAAAAAAAAUAAAGAGGGGAACCCAGAACUUUUUCAAAAAGGAAAGUGAAAGUGAGAGAGACAAGCAUUGUUGAAGUGGGAGAGAUCCUUGAACUUUGUUCAUGCUCACGGAAACUUUGUGAAUCUUAAUUACAGAAACUUUUCAUCAAAAGCAAUUAUCCCCUUGUACAAUUCCAUUGUAUUAUAAAAUAAUGUGCCAAGGUUUGCCUUUAGGAUGUUUACAAUGCUUGUAUGUUUGUACGGUGCAGGACAGAAACUUUGUCUGUAGUGCGUGAUUUUACAUUUUUUACUGGAAUGUCAAAUGGUUCUGACUCUUUUUGCACUGUCUUGCUGUGCAAAUUUUUUAUUUUUCCUAAUUUUGGUAGAAUUGUUGGGGUACCAGAAGUAUGGUGAAUGUUCAGAUUGCUACAGACUAUUCUGUUUUUGAUAGAUUCUGUUUUUGAUGCAUAGUUUGCUUGUUUUGAUGAAACUAUCAAUAUAUAUAUCAGUGGAUUAAGCCAUGUAAAAGUUAUAUUACAGUAGAAACAAUGCAAAAACAAAAUUUGAAUUGGUUUGCAAUAGUACUUAGAGUAGUGAUUUGCUUUAUUAUACUAACAGAUCUUACCGAGUUUUCUGUUGAAGUUUUGUGUGGAUGAAGUGUUUGAUCGAGGAGGUCUCGAUAUGAGGAAAAGGAACAGAGGCAAGAGCUCAAGCUUGGGGAUGCCCAAGGCACCCCAAGUAAAUAUUCAAGGAGACUCAAGCGUUUAAGCUUGGGGAUGCCCCGGAAGGCAUCCCCUCUUUCUUCAACAAGUAUCGGUAUGAUUUCGGAUCCAUUUCGUUCAUGCGAUAUGUGCAAGUCUUGGAGCGUCUUUUGCAUUUAGUUUUCAUUUUUCUUUUAUGCACCAUGCUGGUAUGAGAUAGUCCUUGGUUGAUUUAUAGAAUUCUCAUUGCACUUCACUUAUAUCUUUUGAGUAUGGCUUUAUAGAAUGCUUCAUAUGCUUCACUUAUAUCAUUUGAAGUUUGGAUUGCCUGUUUCUCUUCACAUAGAAAACCGCCAUUUGUAGAAUGCUCUUUUGCUUCACUUAUAUUUGUUAGAGAAUGGGCAUGUAUUUUGUAUAAAGAAUUAAACUCUCUUGCUUCACUUAUAUCUAUUUAGGGAGAUGACAUGAAUUGGUCAUUCACAUGGUGAGUCAUAAAAUCCUACAUAAAACUUGUGGAUCACUGAAUAUGAUAUGUUUGAUUCCUUGCAAUAGUUUUGUGACAUAGAGAUGAUAAUAUGUGGGAGGUACUAGUAGAUGGUUGUGUUUAGUAAGGAUAUUGGUGUUAAGGUUUGUGAUUCCCGAAGCAUGCACGUAUGGUCUACUAACUAUGUAACCAAAUUGGCGCGCAUUGUAUUUUGAUUGUUUAUCUUUGCGUGAAGGUCGGGGGCGCGCGAUGGUUAACUCCUACCAACCUCCCCCUAGGAGCAUGCGCGUAGUACUUUGUUUAGAUGGCUAAUAAAUUUUUGCAAUAAGUAUGUGAGUUCUUUAUGACUAAUGUUGAGUCCUUGGAUUAUACGCACUAUCACCCUUCCAUCAUUGCUAGCCUCUUCGGUACCAUGCAUUUUCCUUUCUCACCUCGAGAGUUGGUGCAAACUUCGCCGGUGCAUCCAAACCCCGUGAUACGAUACGCUCUAUCACACAUAAGCCUCCUUAUAUCUUCCUCAAAACAGCCACCAUACCUACCUAUCAUGGCAUUUCCAUAGCCAUUCCGAGAUAUAUUGCCAUGCAACUUCCAUCAUCAUCAUAUACAUGACUUGAGCAUUCAUUGUCAUAUUGCCUUGCAUGAUCUUAAGAUAGCUAGCAUGAUGUUUUCAUGGCUUGUCCGUUUUUUGAUAUCUUUGCUAUGCUAGAUCAUUGCACAUCCCGGUACACCGCUGGAGGCAUUCAUAUAGAGUCAUAUAUUUGUUCUAGUAUCGAGUUGUAAUAUUGAGUUGUAAGUAAAUAAAGUGUGAUGAUCAUCAUUAUAGAGCAUUGCCCCAUAAAAAACGAGAGUCCAAAGAAGCCUAAAUAAAAAGGGGGCCAAAGAAGCCCGCCAAAAAAAGGGGGCAAUGUUACUAUCCUUUUACCACACUUGUGCUUAAGUGUAGCACCAUGUUCUUCAUAUAGAGAGUCUCUUGAGUUAUCACUUUCAUAUACUAGUGGGAAUUUUCAUUAUAGAACUUGUCUUGUAUAUUCCAACGAUGGGCUUCCUCAAAUGCCCUAGGUCUUCAUGAGCAAGCAAGUUGGAUGCACACCCACUUAGUUUUCAGUUUGAGCUUUCAUACACCUAUAGCUCUAGUGCAUCCGUUGCAUGGCAAUCCCUACUCCUCGCAUUGACAUCAAUUGAUGGGCAUCUCCAUAGCCCAUUGAUUAGCCGCGUCGAUGUGAGACUUUCUCCCUUUUUGUCUUCUCCACAUAAACUCCACCAUCAUAUUCUAUUCCACCCAUAGUGCUAUAUCCAUGGCUCACACUCAUGUAUUGCGUGAGAGUUGAAAAAGUUUGAGAAUGCUAAAGUAUGAAACAAUUGAUUGGCUUUUCAUCGGGGUUGUGCAUGAUGGGAGCAUUUUGUGUGACGAAAAUGAAGCAUGGCCAAACUAUAUGAUUUUGUAAGGAUGAGCUUUCUUUGGCUAUGUUAUUUUGAGAAGACAUAAUUGCAUGGUUAGUAUGCUUGAAGUAUUAUUAUUUUUAUGUCAAUAUUAAACUUUUGUCUUGAAUCUUUUGGAUUUGAACAUUCAUGCCACAAUAAGGAAAAUUACAUUGAAAAAUAUGUUUGGUAGCAUUCCACAUCAAAAAUUCCGUUUUUAUCAUUUACCUACUCGAGGACGGGCAGGAAUUAAGCUUGGGGAUGCUUGAUACGUCUCCAACGUAUCUAUAAUUUUUGAUUGUUCCAUGCUAUUAUAUUAUCCAUCUAGGAUGUUUUAUAUGCAUUUAUAUGCUAUUUUGUAUGAUUUUUGGGACUAACCUAUUAACCUAGAGCCCAGUGCGAGUUUCUAUUUUUCCUUGUUUUUGAGUAUCACAGAAAAGGAAUACCAAACGGAGUCCAAUUGACCUAAAAUUUCAAGGAGAUCGUUUUUGGACCAGAAGAAGCCCACAGAGUACCGGAGAUGGACCAGAAGAGCCCCGAGGCCACCACGAGGGUGGGGGGCGUGCCCUACCCCCUGGGCGUGCCCCCCUACCUCGUGGCCGCCUCGUGGACCCCCCUGACUUGUUCCCGACGCCAACACCUCUUAUAUAUACCCAAACUUCCAGAACAUAACCUAGAUCGGGAGUUUCGCCGCUGCAAGCCUCUGUAGACACCAAAAACCAAUCGGGACCCUAUUCUGGCACCCUGCCGGAGGGGGAUCCAUCACCAGUGGCCAUCUUCAUCAUCCCGGCGCUCUCCAUGACGAGGAUGGAGAAGUUCACCCUUGGGAUUGAGGGUAUGUACCAGCAGCUAUGUGUUUGAUCUCUCUCUCGUGUUCUUGACUUGACACGAUCUUGAUGUAUCGCGAGCUUUGCUAUUAUAGUUGGAUCUUAUGAUGCUUCUCCCCCUCUACUCUCUUGUAAUGGAUUGAGUUUUCCCUUUGAAGUUAUCUUAUCGGAUUGAGUCUUUAAGGAUUUGAGAACACUUGAUGUAUGUCUUGCAUGUGCUUAUCAGUGGUGACAAUGGGAUAUUCACGCGAUCUACUUGAUGUAUGUUUUAGUGAUCAACUUGCGGGUUCAGUGACCUUGUGAACUUAUGCAUAGGGGUUGGCACAUGUUUUCAUCUUGACUCUCCGGUAGAAACUUUGGGGCACUCUUUGAAGUUCUUUGUGUUGGUUGAAUAGAUGAAUAUGAGAUUGUCUGAUGCAUAUCGUAUAAUCAUACCCACGGAUACUUGUGGUGACAUCGGAGUAUCUAGGUGACAUUAGGGUUUUGGUUUAUUUGUGUCUUAAGGUGUUAUUCUAGUACGAACUCUAGGAUAGAUCAAACUGAAAGAAUAGCUUCGUGUUAUUUUACUACGGACUCUUGAAUAGAUCGAUCAGAAAGAAUAACGUUGAGCUGGUUUCGUACCCUACAAUAAUCUCUUCAUUUGUUCUCUGCUAUUAGUGACUUUGGAGUGACUCUUUGUUGCAUGUUGAUGGAUAUUUAUGAUCCAAUUAUGUCAUUAUUGUUGAGAGAACUUGCCUUAGUGAAAGUAUGAACCCCAGGCCUUGUUUCAACGCAUUGCAAUACCGUUUGUGCUCACUUUUAUCAUAGUUACCUUGCUGUUUUUAUAUUUCAGAUUACAAAAACCUAUAUCUACCAUCCAUAUUGCACUUGUAUCACCAUCUCUUUACCGAACUAGUGCACCUAUACAAUUUACCAUUGUAUUGGGUGUGUCGGGGACACAAGAGACUCUUUGUUAUUUGGUUGCACAGUUGUUUGAGAGAGACCAUCUUCAUCCUACGCCUCCCACAGAUUGAUAAACCUUAGGUCAUCCACUUGAGGGAAAUUUGCUACUGUCCUAUAAACCUCUACACUUGGAGGCCCAACAACAUCUACAAGAAGGUUGUGUAGUAGACAUCAGAUGCUCAUAUUGGCUCCUACAUAUUCUACAAAGAUCUUUAUCGGUCAAACCGCAUAACAACAUACGUUGUUACCUUUGUCAUCGGUAUGUUACUUGCUCGAGAUUCGAUCGUCGAUAUCCUCAUACCUAGUUCAAUAUCGUUACCGGCAAGUCUCUUUACUAGUUCCGUAAUGCAUCAUCCCAUAACUAACUCAUUAGUCACAUUGCUUGCAAGGCUUAUAGUGGUGUGCAUUACCGAGAGGGCCCAGAGAUACCUCUCCGAUACACGGAGUGGCAAAUCCUAAUAUCGAUCUAUGCCAACUCAACAAACACCAUCGAAGACACCUAUAGAGCAUCUUUACGAUCACCCAGUUAUGUUGUGACGUUUGAUAGCACACAAGGUGUCGUGGAUUUGUCACGGCAGAUGUCCUUGUGAAAGGACUUAGUCGUGGAGCCAUCGCUACGGGUUAACUUGAAGGGGUUAAAGCGGACACAAAGACACAAGGGUUUAUACUAGUUCGGCCCCUUUGAUGAAGGUAAAAGCCUACGUCUAGUUGUGAUGGAAUUGAUGUGGUCUCGAUGACUAGGGAGCAAACAAGCUUCGCCUAGGCCUCGAGUUGUAGUUGUCUCUCCUUGAACCGCCGCCGGGUCGUCCCCUUAUAUACACGGGUGACGCCCGUCGGUCCACAGAGCCCCACACUGGUUCAUACUCAUAUCCCAGUUGGUCUCUCUCUAUUCCUAACUUACAAUUCAAGUUUACAUAUCAAGCCGGUUUACGGCUACAAGUUCUAAACCGACUACAGGCCUUGGGCCUUCAUCUGCUUAAUCACCUUUAAACUACUAAUGAAGCUAACCCGGCCCAGGUAGGCCGGUUCACGCCCAGUGGUAAUAUCCCCAACAUUAGGCCCCAGAUUGAUUUGAACUGGUUCAUGUCAAUCCUUCACAAAAAUCUUUGUCUUCAACAUCUUCUGGUAAUUGGUAAACCGCCAUAUCGUCAUCAUCUCUGGUUGCUGUAAACCGGCAUGAUGUCAUCAUGAAGUUAACAUUUAUGACGCCUUCUUUUAUUAAUAGAUCUGCGAUACCCAAAGCAACAACUCCACUUCCAAAUUUUGUGGCUCCUGGAUCCGCGCGCCUGACACACGUCCUUUGCCUUAUAAAUAGGACCGAAGGGUCAUUUCCUUUUCUCCCCUUCGUCUCUUUCUCUUCGUCUUCCUUGCGUCGCUAGCCUCGGAGCUCCGCCGCCGCCGUUGACCUCUGCACCGUCUUGGGCUGCUGCAUCAACCUGAACGCACCAGAGCACCGCGGCAGCCUUCCGCGUCUUCCUCGAUUCUGGUAAGCCUUCUGUUCUUCUUAACAUAGAUCUGUUCUAGGGUUUCGUGUUCUUGCCGUGUUCAUCACUUGUUCAUGCUCGCACUUAGACUCCUGGCUAGAUCUGUGAAACCCUGCUCUGACUAGCAGUAGCUUUUUAACAUCCACCUGUAGUUUCACGCUCAAGUCUAUAGAUCUCAUCCACAUACCUGCCCAUUGAUUUACUUCCGUUCUGCUUUAACCUUUUGAAUAUUUUCUGUUUUUCUGAACUUGCUUCAGAUCCAUUGCUGCAAUAAGACCUUGUGAAACCUGUUUCUGCAUACUUAGCCAUCCGCAACCUCAAUUGCUUUCAAUGUUUAGAUCAGGCGGUUUAACUUAAUAUAGAAAAAUUUAAUAAACCGGUAUAUACCAUUAGUCCCCUUGUUGAACCGCCAGAACUCUUUAGCCAUAUAAGGCCACUUCAUAGAAAUCCGGUUUAAAUAUACUGCCUCCGGUUUAGCAUUGUUCAUACCAGCGCCUUCUUCUAUCCAACAUAUUCUUGAACCGGAAUCACCUGUUUCUUGUAGAUCUCACCAUGGACAAACAAGUAUAUGAGUGCAACUGGGUUCCUUCUCGUGUCACAGAAACUCAGUUGGAUAAUUUAGUCUCGAUCGGCGCUUUAGACAGCAAAGAGACUAUCCACUGGAGGGUUCCUGGUGAUGAAUGUCCUCCCACACCUCGAGAGGGAGAGGUUAUGAUCUUUGCGGAUCAUUUAGCCCGGGGCUUCAAACCGCCCGGCUCUAAAUUUUACCGGGAUGUGUUAGCCAAUUUUCAACUCUGCCCGCAAGAUACUGGCCCCAACUCUGUUACCAACUUAUGUCACUUCCAAGUGCUCUGUGAGGUAUACCUUCAAGAGGAACCCACAGUUGAAUUGUUUAGAGACUGUUUCCACUUAAACCGCCGCACAGAAUUCACUGAUGGUCCCAAUACCAAAUUGGGCGGUAUGGCAAUUCAGAAAAGGAAAGAGAUCACUUAUCCCCAUGCCAAACUACACAGCCACCCCAAGGAGUGGAAUGCAACAUGGUUCUACUGCAAAGACACCUCCCCUGAUGAUGAAAAUCCUUUGCCCGGCUUUCGUCCGGAGCGGCUCAGCAAUACACACCCCUUCCCAAAAAGGUUAAGUGCCAAGGAGAGGAGUAAAUACGCUCUACAAUUAUCCAAGCUCCGAGCCUUCAUGGCCAAUGGUUUAACAGGAGUAGAUCUCGCACGUUGUUGGAUAUCAUGGAGCAUACUGCCUCUCAGCCGGCGCUCUGGUUUAAUGUGCAAGUAUACUGGUAGCGUUGAUGACCCACUCCAACACACCAACAUCCAGCUCUCCGAUGAUGAAGUCACAGAGGCUGUGAAGAAAAUGCUGAACGAACCGGAACACCUCUGCGCUCAAACCGGCCUGCUCCCUUUCUGUGCUACCAACAAACCGCCAGCUGUAAGAUUUUGAUUGUACUUUUUACUGAACCUCUUAUUGCUAUCUCUGUCUGACAUCAAUUGCUGCUUAACCAGGGUGAUAAUCCGUUUUGGAGCAAGAAGCUUCCACAAGACAAACCGGAGAAAACAGAACGGUCAACCCGGCCAAAGACCAAGGUUAUCAAGAGGCUUGCUAAAAAGAGGAAAACCACUGCUUCAUCUGAUCCGGCUGUUGAUGAUGAUGUGGGUAACUCGGACCUUGAGGUAGAACUCGAUUCACUAGGCUUACUUUUUACACGCCUUAUUGAUGAUGAUACUUGUCAGGACGACGCUGAAGCCAGUAAUGCUGAUGUCGUUGAGGUAACUAUUCUCUCUUCCGAUUCAGAUCCUUUGCCUUUGCCAAAAUUUCGCCAGGCAAACCGGAAAGUUAAAUUUUCUCAUCCUCUUGCUUAUUUGGAUCCCAAAUUUCUUAUGAAGACUCAGCAACAUGAAGCUCACCGCACGACCCGGCACAGCGGCUAGGUAGUUACCUCCGCCGGUUUACCAAACAGUCCGGUUCGAAAACGCUGAUCAAAGGUCUCUGACCUUUUUAUUAAUUUCUAUCCUAAAGCGGGUUUCAUCCGUCAACCUCUUAAUCCGUCCGACUCCGAUUAUCAGGUUACUUCUCAUUCAUCCUCUGGUGAAUCAUCGGCCACUCAGCUACCACCACUGAAAACGGUUCUUGGGUAAGCUAGACUGAACAUAUGCUUCUGGUAUACUGCGUUAUAACUUAUGUUGUUCCUUGACUCUUUGUUUCUCUUUCAGGGCUAAACCUAAACCGAGCAAGAAAGCCCGCCUGGAUAAGGCGGCCGAGGAAGAUGUCGCCCCUGAACAGGAUAAAGCACCAGAUCUUGAAGCGUUCAUUCAUGGGGAUAUUCCCAAUGAUCCUCCCUUGCAAGAUGAUGCUAUUCCUGAGAAAAGGCCUAUCAAUACUUCAGUCCCUGUUGACCAGCCUGCCAGCUCCGUCCGGAUUGAAAGAUCCCGCGGUCCUUCAAAACCUGCCGAUAAACCGACCGUGCCAACGCAAACCGGUGAGUCCAAGGAUGAUGACGUUGUAAUUACCGGCGUAGGUCGCUUUAAACCAGGGAAUCCUGUCGCUUUAGCCAAGCAUACUGUGAAAGAAGAUUUUUCUGCCAUGAACAAAGGCAAAUGGGAUGUUGAUCUGGAAACAUAUGCUGCUCUGAGUGCCCAAGAUCUUCAUUCUGGCUACUUGAACCGGCUAUAUACUAGUCGUGACUGUGAAGCUGGUCUGGUAAAGAUGAUGAGAGAUAAAUUUGAGGUAACUUCCUUGUGCUUCUUCUUUCUUUAAUUACUGCCACUGUAUUAAUCCUCCUAGCCCCCAAGGGCCGGUUUGUAACCUUCUUCAAACCGGGACUUUAAUAUAGUCCUCAGUACUUUGAAAUCCCUCAAUGUAGCCCCCAAGGGCCGGUUCAACUUAGCAUAGUUAAACCGGGACUCCAAUAAAGAUUCUCACAUCAGAACAUAAUUGAGCAAAUAGCCAUUAGCCCCCAAGUGCCAAGUUGAAAUACCUGUAUUGAGCUUGGGACUUUGCUAUUUAGUAAUAGAUGAAGAUUGAAGGUGCAUUAGCCCCCAAGUAUCAAGCGUAUAACUUGUUAUGUGGUUGGUACUUCAAAUUCUUGUACCGUUUGUUUAAAGCCAAGCACUGUCUUGAUGCAGGCUGAAGUGAGGAUCAAAGAGGACCGGAUUACUGAUCUGCAAGAAACUUUGAAAACCCAACAAGCCGAAACCGACAAAGCAAGGGAGGAAUUGAUCAGCGCUUUGAGCAUCACGGAACAGCUGAAGGAGGGCUUCAAGAAGGAGCGGGCUGAUUGGGCCACUGAGAAGGCCGCUUUAAUAAAAAGAGCUAAAAACGCUGAAGCUGCCCUUAAACCGGUGGUAGAUGAGCUAACCGCCGUAAAGCGGCAAGUACAUUCCAUGACCGCUGCUAUCUUUGGUAAGCUCCUUUUGGUUUCUUUGACAACUCUGGCCUGCUUAUAAUAGAUCCGGUUUGUGAUCUUUCCUGUAUUGUUGCAGGUACACGCAUUGGUCACUUAGGGUCAGAUGUUCGGAAGAAGUUGAAGGCUUCCUACACUUUAAUUGAACAGUUGUAUACCGGAGCGCAGCGGAUCAUCACCACUGCAUCUCAUAACAAUCCGGCACCCACUUUAAUCCAAGAUACUCUGAAUAGGUUGUCAACGCUUCCUGCUUGGAUUGAAGAGCUGAAAAAAUCUGCUGCUCGAACCGGAGCCAUUAAUGCCUUGAUCCGGGCAAAAGCAUGGGUGCCGGAUUUCGAUCCUGUUGAAGCAGCUCAAGGCUAUCCCAGCUUGAAGGAAGAUGGCUUAGAGUUCAAUGAAGAUGAUUUGAGGGCGAUAAACCGUGCAGUACGCCCUCUGGCUUAUCAAUUGGCUGAAGAGGCAGACUUGUCGCAUUAUCAAGCUCAGUACAAUGAUCAGAACAAACGAGUGGCUGCACCAGUCCCUGAAGCGGAGAAUCUGAUUCCUCCAAUCCGUAAGCAUACUUACGCUCCUGAUAUUGAACCGUCUUCUCUGAUCCAUGAAGAGGCUGUCUUUCAAGCUUUAAUGGGAAUCGACUGGACCACUGUUGAUUUCCAGCCAAUGGAUAGAGAUGAGGAAGCUGAAGCGGCGCGGGACGAUCCACAACCAUCAGACCGGGGUGAUGAGCAGGCUUGAACCGGAAGCCGGUUUAAAUAGCUGCUUAAUUAUGAUCCGCCAGAACAACAAUGAUCUUAUUUGGGCACCGCGCUGCCUUGUAAUAGAAUAGCAAAUAUUGUUGUUUUAAAUAUGCCUUCGUGCAUAAGUACUGAUGCUUUUGCUUGAAAUCCUCAAUUUAUAUUUCCUGCAAUCAGAAAAUCUUGAACUGCGGUGGCGGUUAUACCGCCAGCCGAUUUAUGAUCUUUAUAUAUAUAUAUCGUCAAUGUAUUUAAGACAUAUAAUCAAAUAUGUGAUACAAAAUACCUGCCAUCGCUGGGCAUGAAGUUGGCUUAGCCAGGAUUGAAACGGAGUAUUUAUAAACCGUUACCAUCAAAGGGGAGAAAACAACUCCCAUGUAAACCGUGCUGGGUUAUUAUGAGCCCCCCUGCUACUCCAUGAUGUUAACAGGAAAACUAAACCGGGCAUAUUUCUCCGGAUUAAAAAUGAACCGAAUUCCGUCAGCUGAACCGGUAAAAAAGUGUUGUUGGUUUAAAGGAAACACAACAAAAAUUGAAGAAUAGUCAUAAAAGAAAUAUGGAAGCAAAGGCAAUGAUAAAAAACUGUUUGCAAAAACAUGCUUUACUGAGCUGAUCAAAUGGUGUUACCAUGAUCGGACAGGACCAAGCCCCCAAUAGGAUUGACAAUGGUUCAAGUCAGCCAGGUCCCCAAAUGAAACCGUGGCAUUUAUGCCGAUCAAAAAGGCGUGGCAAUGGUUCGGGUUCGACCAAGCCCCCAAGUGAUUCUGUGGCCUUAGGCCGAUCAAUAGGCGUGACUGGUUCAGACCUGACCAUGUCCCCAAGUGAUCUGGUGGCUUUCGCCUAUCAAAAGGUGUCGCAUUGGUUCGGACACGACCAAGGCCCAAAGUGAUAUCACAAAGCUUUUUUGAAAAGCAAAUUUCAAGGGGUAAACCGGAGGCCGCUUUAAAACAGAACCACUCCAUGUAACCACACAUGAUAUGAAAGGACAGAGACCCCGCUUUAGCUGAGGCUCCGGUUUUAUUAUAUCAAUGAUAAUAUAUACACUGUCAUAAUAUGUACAUAGAUAGAGCCGAUGGCUCAAGUGUAGUAAGGCCGAAGAUGAGCUAUGUUCCACGGCCUGUUGGUCUCCUCCUCUGAUGUGCGUGAGUCUUUAUGCUCUCGAAUAUCAAUCAGAUAGUACGACCCGUUGUGCAGAUUCUUGCUGACCACGAAAGGUCCCUCCCAAGGUGGGGAUAACUUGUGCAUAUCUGUCUGGUCUUGGAUGAGCCGAAGCACCAAAUCUCCUUCUUGAAAAGCUCUGGUUCUGACCCGGCGACUGUGAUAGCGACGAAGAUCUUGUUGAUAAAUCGCCGAGCGGGCAGCCGCUAUGUCACACUCCUCAUCUAAUAGGUCCAAAGCAUCUUGUCGUGCUGUCUCAUUGUCCGCUUCAACAUAAGCCGCCACACGAGGCGAAUCGUGCCGGAUAUCACUAGGGAGAAUUGCCUCCGCUCCGUAGACCAUGAAAAACGGCGUGUAUCCUGUAGAUCGGUUGGGCGUAGUAUUGAUACUCCAUAGCACAGACGGUAGCUCUUCAACCCAACAACCUGGUGUUCUUUGCAAUGGAACCAUAUGCCGGGGUUUGAUGCCUUGCAAGAUCUCUUGAUUAGCCCGUUCUGCCUGCCCAUUGGACUGGGGGUGAGCCAAUUAUGAUACGUCAAGUCGGAUGUGCUCACGUUCACAGAAUGCCUUCAUAGCACCCUUGGAUAAAUUGGUACCAUUGUCAGUAAUGAUACUGUGUGGAAAGCCAAACUGGAAAAUCACCUUUUUAAUGAACUGCACCGCUGUAGCUGCAUCACACUUGCUGACAGGCUCCGCUUCAACCCACUUGGUAAACUUGUCAACGGCCACCAAAAGGUGGGUUUUCUUAUCCUUGGAUCUUUUAAAAGGUCCGACCAUAUCCAGCCCCCAUGUUGCAAAUGGCCAAGUAAUUAGAAUCAUCCUCAAUUCUUGAGCCGGCACAUGAGCACGCCUUGAAAAUUUCUGACAGGCAUCACACCGUUUAACCAAAUCCUCCGCCUCAGCAUGAGCUGUCAACCAGUAAAACCCGUGACGAAACGCCUUAGCCACCAGAGACUUUGAACCGGCGUGGUGACCACAAUCCGCUUCAUGGAUUUCGCGUAAAAUUUCACAGCCUUCCUCAGGAGAGAUGCAGCGUUGAAACGCCCCUGAUACACUGCAAUGAUGCAAUUCGCCAUUGACAAUGGUCAUAGACUUGGAUCGCCGGACUAUCUGCCUGGCUAGAGUCUCAUCCUCUGGCAACUCUCCCCGGUUCAUGUACGCAAGAUAAGGAACUGUCCAAUCCAGUAUAAUAUGCAGGGCUGCCACCAAUUGAGCCUCCGGAUCAGGAAUAGCCAAAUCCGCUUCACCCGGGAGCUUGACUGACGGGUUGUGCAACACAUCAAGAAAGACAUAGGCGGGACCGGUUUACGCUGAGAGCCCAACCGGCUUAAAGCGUCCGCCGCUUCAUUUUUUCGACGAUCCACGUGAUCCACCUGAUAACCUUUGAAGUGACCCGCAACCAUAUCCACCUCACGACGAUAUGCAGCCAUAAGUGGGUCUUUAGAAUCCCAAGUGCCAGACACCUGUUGAGCCACGAGGUCCGAGUCACCGAAGCACUUGACCCGACUUAAAUUCAUCUCCUUGGCCAUCCGGAGACCAUGGAGCAAAGCUUCAUACUCAGCUGCAUUAUUAGUACAAGGGAACAUUAAGCGGAGAACAUAACAAAACUUAUCACCUCGUGGGGAAGUUAAUACGACUCCAGCCCCCGAGCCCUCCAAUUGCCUGGAUCCAUCAAAAUGGAUAGUCCAAUAUGUAUGAUCCGGCUUCUCCUCUGGUGCUUGCAACUCCGUCCUAUCAUUGAUGAAAUCAACAAGUGCUUGAGACUUCACCGCCGUCCGAGGUACGUACUUCAAUCCGUGCGGCCCAAGUUCUAUAGCCCACUUGGCAAUCCGGCCAGUCGCCUCCCGGUUCUGUAUGAUAUCGCCCAAGGGAGCUGAACUGACCACUGUGAUGGGGUGCCCUUGGAAAUACUGCUUCAACUUCCGACUUGCCAUGAAAACUCCAUAUACCAGCUUCUGCCAAUGCGGUUACCUUUGCUUGGAUUCAAUAAGCACCUCGCUGAUAUAGUAAACCGGCCGCUGAACCGGAUAUUCCUUGCCCGCCUCCUUGCGUUCUACCACAAUAGCCACGCCAACUGCGCGAGCAUUGGCCGCUACAUAUAGUAACAAUGGCUCCUUGUUGACCGGAGCCGCAAGAACGGGCGGAUUGGCUAAUUGCCACUUCAAGUCCUCCAACGCUUCAUCAGCAGCCGGACUCUAGAUGAAUUGAUCUGUCUUUCUCAGCAUCUGGUAUAAAGGGAUGGCCUUCUCUCCGAGGCGGCUGAUAAACCGGCUCAGCGCGGCAAUCCGACCCGCCAAACGUUGAACACCGUUGAUACACUUCAGUUUAGCCAGGGAGGUGAUAGCCGUAAUCUUCUCCGGAUUAGCCUCAAUUCCUCUAUUGGACACAAGAAAGCCCAGUAACUUGCCUGCCGGAACACCAAAGACACAUUUGGCCAGGUUAAGCAUCAUCUUGUAAACCCGCAAGUUGUCAAAGGUUUCCCUCAAAUCAUCAACCAGCGUCUCCUUCUGCCUUGACUUGACUACAAUAUCAUCCACAUAGGCGUGCACAUUACGGCCGAUCUGUUUAUGCAGGCAGUUCUGUACACACCGUUGAUAGGUGGCUUGGGCGCUCUUGAGCCCAAAAGGCAUAGAUACAUAGCAGAAGGCUCCAAAGGGAGUAAUAAACGCCGUCUUCUCCUGGUCCUUAACCGCCAUUUUGAUCUGAUGAUGCCCAGAAUAUGCAUCCAAAAAACUCAAACGCUCACAACCCGCCGUGGCAUCAAUAAUCUGGUCAAUGCGGGGGAGGGCAAAAGGAUCCGCUGGACAAGCCUUGUUAAGAUCCGUGUAAUCCACACACAUACGCCAAGUGCCAUUUUUCUUAAGGACCAGCACCGGAUUAGCAAGCCACUCUGGGUGGAACACUUCAAUGAUAAAACCAGCUGCUAAGAGCCUAGCCACCUCCUCUCCAAUAGCUUUGCGCCUUUCUUCGUUAAACCGGCGGAGAAACUGCUUUACCGGUUUAUACUUGGGAUCAACAUUAAGAGUGUGCUCAGCGAGUUCUCUCGGUAUACCUGGCAUGUCAGAAGGCUUCCAUGCAAAAAUGUCCCGAUUCUCACGGAUGAACUCGAUGAGCGCGCUUUCCUAUUUAGGGUCCAAGUUGGCAUUGAUAGUGAACUGCUUGGACGAAUCGCCGGGCACAAAGUCAACAAGCUUGGUCUCAGCCGCUGAUUUGAACUUCAGAUCUGAAUCAUGCUCCGUAGUUGGCUUCUUCAAAGGGGUCAUGUCCGCCGGAUCAACAUUGUCCCUAUAAUAUUUCAACUCCUCCGUGGCACAAACCGACUCUGCAUAGGCCGCAUCACCUUCCUCACAUUCCAAAGCAAUCUUGCAGCUCCCAUGAAUCGUUAUUGUCCCUUUGUUACCCGGCAUCUUGAGCUGCAAAUAGAUAUAACAAGGUCGUGCCAUGAAUUUGGCAUAAGUCAGCUGCCCAAACAAGGCGUGAUACGGGCUCCGGAUUUUCUCCACCUCAAAGGUUAGUGUUUCAGAUCGGGAAUCAUGCUCGUCCCCAAAAGCCACCUCCAGGGCUAUCUUACCAACAGGGUAUGCUGAUUUGCCAGGCACCACACCAUGGAACACCGUAUUAGACGGUCUGAGAUCUUUGUCCGUUAGCCCCAUGCGGCGGAAUGUCUCAUAGUACAGGAUGUUAAUACUGCUCCCACCAUCCAUGAGCACUUUGGUGAAUUUAUAACCUCCCACCUGAGGGUCUACCACUAACGCCAACUGGCCCGGAUUGUCAAUCCGGGGUGGGUGAUCCUCCCUGCUCCACACGAUAGGCUGUUCCGACCAGCGUAAGUAACAUGGUACGGCUGGUUCAACAGAGUUCACCACUCGCUUGUGAAGUUUCCGGUCGCGCUUAUCCAAGCUAGUUGUGAAAACGUGAUACUGCCCAUUGUUCAACUAUUUUGGCUGACUCUGAUAACCUGACUGCUGCUGCUGCUGCUGCUGGUUGUAACCCCCUGGACCGCUCUGAUUAUUCUGGUUGUUGUGACCGCCCUGAUUGAAACCUGAACCGGAAGCUCCAUCGUGACCCGGCCCAUGGAAACCGGAUCCUGAGCCACCACCUGACCCAUGGUCAUACUGGAAGGCAUUAGAGUUCUUAAAUUCCUGCAUAAUGUAACAAUCCUUCCAAAGGUGGUUAGCCGGCGCCUCCUUCGUCCCGUGCUUUGGACAAGGCUGAUUCAACAAAUAGUUUAAGUGAUCCGGGUUAGGAUUUGGAGCCCCGCUACGAUUCGCCGCUUUACCUCUGCGCCGCUGACCCUUGUCCUGCGCAUUAGUGUUAGCCGCAAAGUCCAUGCUGCCAUCCGCUUUACGCUUGCCUCCGUUUCCAUGGCCCGCCGGUUUGUAUUGAUGCCCCUUGGAGUUGCUAUUCUUCUUUCCCUUCCCUGCUUCGUCAUCGUCAAUCUCGGGAUCCUUGGUACUAUCAGAAUCAGCAUACUUCACUAAAGCGGCCAUGAGAGUUCCCAUGUCGUUGCAGAACCGCUUCAUAUGCCCCAACUUCAAUUUUAGAGGCUUAAACCGGUAGUUGCCCUCCAGGGUUAAGAUCGCAGAGUCAGCAUUGAUCCUGUCGGACGAAUGCAAGACCUCCGAAACACGACGUACCCAAUGGGUUGUUGACUCUCCAUCCUCCUGAACACAAGCCGCCAAGUCUACUAUGGACUUAGGCUGCUUACACGUAUCUUUGAAAUUCUGGAUAAACCGGGCUCGCAACUGGGCCCAUGAACUGAUAGAAUUAGGCGGCAGGCUCUUCAACCAAGUACGGGCCGUGCCUUCAAGCAUCAUGGUGAAGUACUUUGCACACGCGGCCUCAUCCACAUCCAGCAUCUCCAUGGCCAUCUCAUAACUUUCUACCCACGCUUCUGGACAUAAAUCAGCGGUGUAAUUCGGCACCUUGCGCGGACCCUUGAAGUCUUUGGGUAGGCGUACAUUGCGUAAAGCGGGGACUAAACAGGGCACUCCCAAGCUAGAUGCGGCCCCUGGCCCGGCAGAGGUGGUAGGACGAACCGGUGUGAGCUGACCCGCCUCGUUCUGUGCUGCUAACUCGGCCUCCCUUCGUGCCCGGGCCCGGUCCACUACAUCCUGAGCAUCAUGAACACCACCGGCCGGGUUAUUGCCACGGGCCGCUUCACGGCCCCGCGCAUUGCUUGAUAUGGUCGGUUCAUCCAGGCACCUACUAUAGCUCCGGCUUGGACGAGGUGUGGAAUGAAUCCGAUCGCGGCUGUAUGAAUAUGCCUCCUGUUGAAUCAAAGCAGUCCGGAGAAGUUCCUUAACCCGGCGCGUCUCUAUUGCUUGUGGAGAGUCUCCUUCGACCGGGAUAGCUUCUAAUCGCGCAGCAACUGCAACAAGGUUGUCCAUAGGAUUAGAAUAAUGACCCAGAGGUGUCUGGACCGGCGGAGGAAUCACAAUGUUCUGCCGAGGAGGUUCCAUCAGGCGGGGUUGGACCGUCGCUCCUGGCCCUGGUGCCUCGACCCGGUUUACCUCCAGGUGCCCCGGCGGAUUACUGGUUCCAGCUCCCGGAGUGUGAAAGAGAUUUCGAGGGUCGAACCCUAACGGCAGGCGUGAUCUGUGCUUCCGCUUCAAGUCCUCCUAUGAUGCGUUCUGGUCGAGCAUGAGCUUAUAGGCCUGGGCAUCCAAAGCGGCCCACUCUGCGGCCAUCAUGUCCUUCUCUGCUGCCAGGUCGGCUUUGGCCUGUACGAUCUGCUCUCUCACCUUUGCAACCUCCGCAUAAUGGGCCUCCUGAUCCGCCGGAUUGGCCUCUGCCAUAAGUACCGCUAGUGCGUCAAACAGGUCAGACAGAACUUGAACUGGUGGGCGCACAAGGCCUCCUGCCCCUGCUGCCGCUGCCGCUGCUGAUCCUGAGAGCAUUGCUGCUGCGGUCGAAGAGUGAUUCGCCGCCUGCGUGCCGGCCAUGAAUAUUCCAACCCGGUUGAUCUGAUCUGGGGGGGUCCGGAAUACUGUCGCCAUCGGAACAGCCCCUAAUCUGGUCGUCUUGCAACUGAUACAAUGAUUCGGUCUCUCCGGUUGAGGACUCGUCGCCGGAAUAGACGACGGUCUCGCUACCAUGUUCUGACUCGUCCUCAUGCUCUCCUCCGUGGAUGACUCCCACGAAGGCACGCUUCACGGCCGGUUUAACCUGGGUAGAUAUCGCACGCUGAGCCAUCUCGACGAGGUCGGUGCGGAUGUCCGGCUCAGGCCCAGGCUCACCAAUCUUGCCGAUAAAAAUGUGUAUGCCACCAAAGGGACCCGGUACCCGUACUCAAUCGAGCCGGCUUCGGGACCCCAUCCUGCAUCGUCGAUGUAGAGCUUGCCGCGACGACUCUUGGUCAUCCGGCCCACAGCAUAGCCUUUGAGUCCUUCGAACUUGACCUCCAAGAUCAUCAAACCGUCGUGCGAUAGCCCCACGGUGGGCGCCAACUGUCGUGGAUUUGUCAUGGCAGAUGUCCUUGUGAAAGGACUUAGUCGUGGAGCCAUCGCUACGGGUUAACUUGAAGGGGUUAAAGCGGACACAAAGACACAAGGGUUUAUACUAGUUCGGCUCCUUCGAUGAAGGUAAAAGCCUACGUCUAGUUGUGAUGGAAUUGAUGUGGUCUCGAUGACUAGGGAGCAAACAAGCUUCGCCUAGGCCUCAAGUUGUAGUUGUCUCUCCUUGAACCGCCGCCGGGUCGUCCCCUUAUAUACACGGGUGACGCCCGUCGGUCCACAGAGCCCCACACCGGUUCAUACUCGUAUCCCGGUUGGUCUCUCUCUAUUCCUAACUUACAAUGCAAGUUUACAUAUCAAGCCGGUUUACGGCUACAGGUUCUAAACCGACUACAGGCCUUGGGCCUUCAUCUGCUUAAUCACCUUUAAACUACUAAUGAAGCUAACCCGGCCCAGGUAGGCCGGUUCACGCCCAGUGGUAAUAUCCCCAACACAAGGUGUUCCUCCGGUAUUCGGGAGUUGCAUAAUCUCAUAGUCAGAGGAACAUGUAUAAGAAGAAAGCAAUAGCAAUAAAACUAAACGAUCAUUAUGCUAAGUUAACGGAUGGGUCUUGUCCAUCACAUCAUUCUCUAAUGAUGUGACCCCAUUCAUCAAAUGACAACACAUAUCUAUGGUUAGGAAACUUAACCAUCUUUGAUUAAUGAGCUAGUCAAGUAGAGGCAUACUAGGGACACUCUGUUUUGUCUAUGUAUUCAACAUGUACUAAGUUUCCAGUUAAUACAAUUCUAGCAUGAAUAAUAGAUAUUUAUCAUGAUAUAAGGAAAUAUAAAUAACAAUUUUAUUAUUGCCUCUAUGGGCAUAUUUCCUUCACUCCCCGCAAAGCAAAGUCAAGGCAAUGGUCGUGUUGCGUGCGUUGAUCCACCGCUUGGCCCACAGCUCAUGCAGCAAUGGGCCUAAGGUUAGUCAGCUCAAGGCCUUAGGGUUCGUUUGUGCGAUGGCUUUAGCGGCUGUAGAUUUAUCAUGCAGAUUGUAGAACAAGGUAAGCUUAAUUAGUGAUAUAUGCGAACCUACAUUAGGUUCAUAUGAUCUUUGAGCAGUAAAAUGUGGUCUUUCUUUUUUAUUCAAAAUUUUUUCCUCUUGUGUGUCUGGUUGGUUGCUGACUCACACAACACGAGUUGGCCACACUGUGACAAAUGGAGAGAAUGGCGUGAAGCAAAUGCAAGAGGGGCAGCAAUGGUCGUGGUACAACUACGGUAACGUCUAGCGGGAUUGUCUAUUAGUUAUUGCAUUUAUUGGUAUAGAACCGAACAAAGUAAUUUUUUGUUACAAUAUCACUGUGCACUAUUGUAAACUGAGCAACCAUAUUGAGAUACAUUCACUUCCAGGUGUCGUUUAUGGGUUCUUUAUUUGAUAUGACUUUGUUUACUCUUUUUAUGAAUUAUGAUAAUUGUGUAUUUGUUUCCAGGAUUCGACGUGUUAUCUCUUGCCCAAUACUUCCCUCGUGUGACUGUCGCGAAUUGGAGCACAUUAUCAUGUUGUUCUCUGAUGAAAUAUAUUGGUAAAUUAUUAUGGUGAGUGUUUUCCGUCUAUUUUUGCCACUGUUGCAGUUUGUCCAUCCCUUCGUCUGUGAGUACACUAACAAGAUAAAUGCAUAAGAAGGGGAAUCUCUUUCCAAAGGUCUUAGCCUAAUAUUUUCAUAGAGAGAGAAGAUAAUGGAAAAGUUCAUUGGAAUGAACAGAUGAUAGAACAGUGUGGUCGACUUUGAUAUUGUAACAAAUGGAGAGAAUGGCAAUGCCAAUCGUUCUCCCGUUUAGUUCUUCAAUAUUUGGUCUGUUUUUGCUUCAGGGUCUACAUAGAAGUUUAUUUUGUUAUUGUUGAAAUGGGAUCAUGGCAUGCAACUACAUGCAAUGCAACUAAUGAUUAUGUAUUUUUACCUGAAUUAAUGAUAAAUAGUUAGAAAUACCUAUUUAUAGACUAACUGUUGGUACAUAUACAAGUGUAUGUAAACAUGUUUAUGAACUCAAGUUAAUUGAUGUGGACUCAAGUGUCCUGAUAGAAGGAACUACCUCUCCAAAAGAAGAUGGUUGGUCAUCUGUUCACAAAAUGUUUGCAAAAUUUGAGUUGUUGAAUGCUACUUGCAUGCAUGAAACAUAUAAUGCAAUUCGCGAUAUGUUAAUACUCCAUUGUCGAGUACAGAUGAUCAUUUCGCGGGCAUGGCUAACCAUUCCUAUGACAAAAUCUUAAACUUAGUGGUGUCAUUUCUCCUCCUGAAAUUAACAUUUUGUUCUUAUGUGUAGGAGUUUCUAUAAGGAUUCUCAUCGGCGAGUAUGAUGUUGAACAAAUGGAUAAUGCCUUGAGCCAACAUUACAUGGCCAUAAUACACAGAAUGUUGUAGUGUGGGCUCUCAUUUCAGGUGAGUUCCAUCAUUUGCUGUGUUCUAGGUGCUGCAUGACUGUACAAAGAACAUUAUCAUUCCACUCUUAGGUUGUAUAAGUACAAGGGAACCACUUUGUAGUUACUUACUAUAGUAAAAUCAACUAAUUCAUCUUCAUUUUGUGCAUGACGUGGCCCAAAUAUUCUGAUGUAUUCUGUAACUUGGGCAUGGUGCUCUGCACAUAAAUUGUUAUCUGCUAUAUUUAAGCCCCAAUAUUCUGCAGUAAUGCUAACAAUGCCUUAGAAGUUUGUUAGCUUUUAUGUGAAGCUGAUUGGCAGUAUACAGAAAUAGUUUUUAUAUGUUAUCUUAUUUGAGUUUUCUAACAUACAGAAAUGCCAUGAUCUGUUAUCUCCAAUCUGCAGUUGGUACUCCAUUGAUGUAGAGUAUGUUGCAGCAGCUGGGCAUCAUCCUCCCUAAGUUGUGUGGUAGAUGCCUUCACCUACAGAUUUAGUUUUGACAUUUUGGGGAUUCAGUCAAGCAUCCUCACCUUGGCUCUAUUGUCGCAAGAGCUUUUUCCGACUCUGGAUGAGGUUUAUGGUGAGGUGGAUAGUGGUGGCUGCUGGGCGACGAGGCGGGGGCUGGCUUCGUGGUCGACGGCGGCCAGCCGGCAAUGAGGGGGUCAACGAAUGACAGUGCCAGCUCCGGCUCGCCACCCUUAGGGAAGGACGCCGCCCUCAGCGGGGCGCCACUGGUGGAAGGCAUCAUCUAUGGAGUGGAGAAGGGGCACCCGUGCUUCCCAGUGCUCGGGUCGAUGGCGUCCAUGGAGGGACGAUCUUCACAGUCGAUGGAGAGGAGGUGGUCGACGACGAGCACAGGUGGAAGGAGAGCGAGGACUGCAAACGGUGGUCUCCAAAAUUGAACCUUCACGGGCGGCGGGCGAAGGGGAACAAGGUGGUGGGCGAAGGGGAACGAGGCGACGGUGGCGGUAUGGGGAGACGGGAGGGAAGCCAGGCGGAAGCGGCGGGGCGACCAAAUCUGCCGACGUCAGAGGAGAUUGAGGAAGGACGGGGACCGCGUGUUUUGUCGGGAAAACGACGAGGACUAAAUUGCAAAAACAACCUCGCGACAAGAAUUGCGGGACAGAGGGAGUAUAUUAUUUCUUUUAUUUUCAUAUUUGCAUUUUCUUGUUGUACCGAUUAUUAUGAGAUCUGUCAAUUUAUUUCUUGUUGCUUUAACUUCAUGUUUGCAACUGUUGAUUCUGAUUAGUGUUGAAGUAAGAACACACCCAGUUUCAACUCACUUCUUUGAAGAUGUUUAUGAGAAAAUGUAGUACUAUCUUGCUUUGGAUUCUCGUGCAUCAAGAGCAUACUUCGCACAACAUGGAGAAAAGGUUCCCUUUGCUCAAUAUUUAUUCAGUGAGUACACAUUGAUCAACCAUGGGAAACCCUCUUUUAGAACCUUACUGUUGGAGCGACUGCUGCUGAUUUAUCUCAUUUACAAUAUCUUGUAAAUAUCCUCUAUUUUCAAACUAUAUACUAUAUCUUGUAAAUAUCCCAUAUUUUCAAAUUAUAUACUGAUCUAAUAAAUUUCCUCAGUUUUCCAUCAUUUGAGUUACUACAGAACACAUCUUAGGGUUUUGUGAGUGCUAGAUAUGUUUUCCUUGAUCUUCUAUGUUUGAUCAUAGUUGUUUAUUGUUGGUUUUGUCCAGCUUUGUUUAUUUUUUUAGUUUUGUAUAUGAGGAUCAUAAGAUGAGAAUGAAAGCGGGGAGGUGCCAUUUAAGUACACAUCUUCAGGUUAUCCCAAUUAAAAAUGUUGACAUAUGCUUCAGUUGUGGUCAGAGAUGCGUGUGGAGUAGGCAAAAUUAUAUGAGGGUGUUGUUUUGUUGACAGCUGCCUAGAUGCUUUGACCUUCUGUUUGUUUUCUUGGAGUUGCGUCUCCCUGUUGUCGACCAUGUUAGUCCUAGAUUCCUAUUCCUUUGGACGGAGAACAAUUUACUGAAAGUUAUAAGCUUGGUAUGUAUGACCAUUUCUCUGAAUAAAAUGUUGCAAUAUAAGUUGUACAGAAUGUUAUAAGUUGUACUGAACCUAGAUGCUAUUGCAAGAUAAGCUUGGUUUCUAUGACCUUUUCUCUGAAUAAAAUGUAGACAUUAACACACCUGGUCUAAGUAAAAUGUUGACAUUAGCACACUGAGACCAGCAACUCAGAGCAUAUGUGCAGCUACAGUUUUUAGUAGAAAACAAAAUAACUCUCCUUCAACAAAUGCAUAGUGUGUUUUUUUUACUACAAGACAACUAAAAUUUUAAAAGGUCAGAUUAAUCUAGAUGCAGCAGCACAAGGAGCAAGUCAAUAUUUGGGCAGAAGGAGCGAGGAACUAAACCAAGGAGCAUUUUGUAUACAUAGAAAUUAAAAAUAGUAGUUGGCAUGGGUAAUUGAGUAUAUUCUCCGAGAUUCUGAGAAUAAGAAGUGUACUAAUGGUUUGGAAUGACAAUUCAAUACCUUCAUAGCAUGCUUUCAGAUGAAAUCAUUUUCCAGUAGCAGUGCUUGCCUGUGAGAUGUGUGAUAUUUUCAUGUUUGGACAUGUCUCCAGUUUCCUCAUGUUUCUAAACGUCUGCUCUCGCGUGUAGCGGUAACUUGGCUAUUGUGCAAUGUGUUUCCAAAGAUGCAGUCAAGGUAUAAUUUUGAUGCACUUUCUUAACAUAUCAAACAACCACAUGUUGUUUCUCAAGCUUUAUGCCGACAGAACCUUGUAAGCUUUAGUGCACAUGAUAUUUUUGUGAAGCUUCCUUAUUAUAUCCAUUUGAAGUGUACGUUAGGAAACAAACACAUUGUUAGUGGCACAUGACAUGACAUACAUUGAAUAUGGAGAAGGUAGUGCCAAUAUGAGGGCUCUAGCAUGUGACUUAUAGGCUUCACUUGUGGAUGUUUUGGAAUGACAAUGACGCACCUUUGUUCUGCGUUGUUGUAUGUCUAUUUAUGAUCCAUAGAAAUAUAAAGUUAAGUGAUGGAGGUGCCGAGGGAGAAAGAGACCAUCUUAUGCGGAGAAGAAGGCAUAGCCCAUGUGUAGGUUGGAGGCAAACAAAACAACAUUCAAAUCAGUCGCUAAAUGAGGGUGUGGUGGAACGAAUGUUUUGUUGCCGAGUCCCUUCUCUUAUUUCAUUUUUAAUUCAUUUUUCUUAUUAUUUGCACUAAGGUGACGCACUUUAUGAAUCACCAUUCGCUGAUGGUUCGAAAUAUAUUAGAGAGCAACACAACAACAAAGAAGCCACAAACAUAGUGAAACGGCAGUGAAUUGAAAGAUCAAUGAUGUAGGGACGUAGAAGGUGAUCGAUAACAACUUGGAUGAAAAGGUAUGCUGGAGGAGUGAAUGUUCUUUGUUAAAAAUAGAGAGGAAGAUGCUUGUGUUGUCUCAUGGAAUAUCACACACAAUAUGCACACUCAUGCUAAAAAACUCGAGCAAUAUUUACAUUUAAUUGUUGGCCCGUGGCAACGCACGGGCACUCUACUAGUAUAGCUGGGGAUGCACUGCUAGAAGUAGUCCCACUAAACUGCUGCUAGUAGUGCAACCCAAAGUUGUCAAUGAUGAAACUCUGCUUGGGGUCCUUGUGAUUGUCGGCACUCGUCGGUCGACCCACCUGUAAUGAUGAAGUCAUCAUUGACCUGGAAGCACUGACGGGUUGUUGCAUGUCGGUGAUGAUGUGCUUUGGUCAAUCAGUGUUGUUUUUGGCCCUAUAGUACUGAUUAUGUCAGAUCUACAAAUAUAUGCUACAAUAAGAGAACACUUGCAACACCCUUUUAAAAAUAAAAUUACAUUAUAGUAGGAACACUUUCAUGACAAGAAACUUGGGAAAACAUGUAUUGUUGUGAUUGCAUUUACAGAUUACUUAUAUGACUAAGUAUUAUGAGAAAUGUCCAAAUAGCAUCCUGCACAGGCCUACCGCACACUUGGAUGACAUUUUUGGGCCUUCCAUGACAAGAAUAUUCGUGUAGAAGAGAGGGCGGGAACUUUUCGACGAUUGCUCGGGUGAGUUACACCUCACUCGAUAUACGCUCAAUGGUACCGACCUGGUCAUGCUCGGAUGCCAGCCUCUCAUACAAACGCCACAUGCGGUGUAGUUUGCAUCUAAUAUAUUUUCAAAAUAAUGUUCAUGCAUUUAAAAAACAAUUUUAAAACGAGUGGGAGAGGGCAGUGUAUGAACCAAGUGUAGGGAGCUCAUAGAGGAUGGCCCUCAUAUCCAACUCGACGAGGUUGUUUUUAAAAGUUUGAAACAUUCCCUAGCGCUGGCGUGGUUCAAUGGCAGGUCAUUCAGGUGUGUCAUGUGGUGGUCUAGGUCACUGCCUUGCUAUUGAUCAUGUUCGGACGCUUUGCAAUUAGGUGGACACGGCGACACUUUCAAUGAGGACAGGAGGUAGGAUAAGUAGCACUGUGACAACACAUAUGGGCGCCGUAUUGAAAUUGAUGGAAUUGUUGAGGAGUCUCGAGUCGUGCUUAUUGUGACAGGAGCAUACAAUUUUGUUCUCCAGUUACAAUGCACACACAUGUUUCCUAGUAUGGUUAAACAUAUGAAAAAAAGCUGUUUUCAUGCCUAAGCCCAUGUUUGUUUGGAUUUUUGCUUAUGCUUUUGCAGCUUUUUCACUUUGGCAAAAAAGCCACAAAAGCUCCUAGAUAGGGACUUUUUGCUUUGGCUCCAAGAUGGUAUAAGCCAAAAGCGGAAGCAAAAAAACACCUUUUUAGGAGCUUAUUUGGCUUUUUUUUUACCAAAGUGAGAAAGCUGAAAAAUAGAAGCAAAAGCCCAUACAAAUAGGGUCUAGCUCAUACAAUUAGAUACCUAUCGUGCUUCUUUUGCUCAGACUCCCUUUUUUGAUUACAAAAAAUGUGAUACCUAUCGUGCUUCUUUGGUAAGCAAGACCUUCAAAUGGAUGACAUGAAAACUUGUUUUCUGAAAUACCUUCGAAAGGACACAAAUUUGAACUGAAAACUAAUGAAAAUACAAGCUUGACAAAAUUAAAAGGUAAAUAUCUAUAUCGGCCGACCGGCCUUGCUCUUCGUCGGUCGUCCCGCUUACUCGCUUUUAGUAGGCUCCUUAUGUAAGCCACAUACGCUCGGUAGGGCCCACCCACCGCUUAUCCCUUAUUUCUUUAUCCUAUCAAACGGAGAGCACUUAGCCAUUCAUCUUCUCCCGCACCUCUCUCCUGCUCGUGUCACACCUCCCACCUAGCAGCUCACCAGCGAUGGCCGCCACCACCCCAUGCGCACAGUCAUUUGCCCGCACACGCGUACACCCCUGUCAUGAUGUGGCAUGCAAGGUCAUCGGCAUGGGGACGGCAGGGACCGCAUGUUGCGCCCCUAGCCAGUCACCGGGACGACGAGCUGCGAUGACAAGUCCCUCCCCCCUCGCACAUGAAGACGCCAUGACCGUGUUGCGCGCUCCGACGGGUCGUGCUACAACCGGCGACCAGUCGUGUUACGACCAAUGACCGAACAUGAUGCAACCAUGAUAGACGAAGAUGCGCCCGUGGGCGGGGCGUGCUACAACCGCCCAGGGAGGAGUAAGCAACCUGUAAAUCCCCCAUAAAACUCCGGACGUCUAGCAAAGUCCAAAAAACAAUUAUGCGAUUGAUACACCUCAUUUUGGCAUGUGCUUAAGACCAAUACAAACUAAGAUUGAUUUUUGUACCAUCCAAUUUCUCUAAAGCCAAAUUAGCAAUGAAUUUUCUAUCUGCCUUUACCAUCCUCUUCCUAUUUAUGAUAGAAAUUCGUCAAUAGGAUGCAGAGGCGUCCAGGUUUUUUAACUGAAGAAAUCCUAUUUAUGGACUGAGAAACUGAAGACGUUCUACUACUUCUUUCUUCAGUCAGUUAAAACAGCUGGAUUAACAGCGCGUGAGAUUGCCGCAGCCGAGCUCAAGUUCGAUCCCAGUUCCAAUUCAGCCGGCGACAGUUCCAAUCCGAGUUCGGCAAGAAUCAGGAGCUCUCCCCUGAAUAAAUGGGCGGCGCCGGUGGGAGCAGCAGCCCCAGUUCGAUCUGCUCCCCCACCUUCCCGAUCUCCAGACCUAGGCACGCCAUCGAUGGCGGCCAAGGUGCUCCAGCUCCGCAGCGCCGAUGGCAAGGUGCUCGUCGCUCCGGCGUGGGACCAUCGCCCGGCCGCCGCCCAAGCCCUCCCGCUGGAGACGCGGGUGCCCUCGCGCGUCCUCGAGAGGGUGCUCCAGUACUGGACCAAGCACAGCCUGGCCAAGGCCACCGGUGAGUCCCGGGACUCCCUCGCCCGCUGGGACGCCGACUUCCAGCGCCGUCUCGAGGAAGACGGCCUCGCCAAGGAGGCCGCCGCAGCCGCCCAAGAACUCCGCCGCCACGGCGUCCACCAUGGAGGGCGUCCCCAUCGCCACGCCGGCACGGGCGCAUCUGGUGUCGCUGCUCCAGCCACCGCUACCCGUGCUGAUCCCGUCCGUGCCUGGUGCCAACUCGUUCACCACCUCAAGGGUGUCGACCACGGAGAACCUAGCCCAGCGCCGACGGCGCCCAUCGCUUUCCAUGCCUCCGAUAUUGCCGUCGCCGCGCGUCCUGGGCCUGCCACCACCUUGCCGGCCGCUGCUGGUGCUCAACCCGUUGGUGUCCGGUGCGCCAUCCGUGCCCGUGGACGCCAGAUGGAUGAAGACGAGGAGUCCGCUUGCCACCACCGCAAGCUCCCGGCUUCCAAGGCUUCCAAGCCUCGCUCUUCGGUCUGCCUGCCUGCCACUGCUGCUGCGCCCGUGAAGAAGGUCUCUCGUCAGGUCGCUUCCAAGGCUUGCUCUUUCGUCGGCUCUACACCACUGCCUGCCCCUGCCACUGCUGUGAAGAAGAUGACUCCAGCAGCUUCAACUCUGCGCGCAAGAAGGGGGAUGGGGGAGCUCAGCUGCAACGUUCCCAAGCAAAACCAAUCGCCAUUGCCUGUCAUUGCUGUUGCAGCACCAAUGAAGCAACCAAUUCCUUGGCUGCGUCCAGUGGUAUUACGCCUUCCCUAGUCUUUUAGUUGCUUCCUAAACCAUGCACACAUAAGUUUCAUUUAAUCUUUGCAUCUCUAGGUUCUGCACUUGCUUACCAAGAUUUCUAGUGUUCUUUGAAUCCCGUUCAGUCAUUAGUAAUUUUACUAGAGUGUCAGCAGAGUCUCCAUCUAGUCUAGGCAGCAAAAACCUUGUUAAGAUGUGUACGACAUAGUUACCACUGCAUCCAUACCUGAUCCUAAGUUAAGGGUUUAAGUAAAUAAAGGGCAUUUUCAAUAAAUCAAAGUAAGCAGAUGAGCCUAAAAAGGAAACUCAUGUACUGCAAUUCCGGCACGAGACAGAGCGUAAAACGCACUCGCCGCAAAAUCCAAAACGCCCGUUUGCUACCCGGCUUGUAGCAGGAAAAAAGGAGUAGAAUUGAACUUGUCGAUACACGUAAUCUUGUGAGCUGCCUAGCGUUUGGAGACUAUGCUGACUCUCCUGUAAAAUUAAUCUUGGCUGAAUUGGAUUCUUAGGCAUUGGCGUCUUGGUGAGUUAAAGUUGCAGUUUCCGACGAGUAACAUUGGUUAGUGAACUCUUGUGUGUAUGUGUGGGUGAAGCUUUGAGCUAAGCAAGUCCUCAAUGUACCGACUAUCAAGUC